RNAcentral lists this long non-coding RNA (116982 nucleotides) under Populus trichocarpa (black cottonwood). RNAcentral's name for it is "long non-coding RNA (PTRI_LNC004072)". Lineage: Eukaryota; Viridiplantae; Streptophyta; Magnoliopsida; Malpighiales; Salicaceae. The record is from RNAcentral.
AUCCACUCACAUGUAUAAAUUCAGAGACUAUCUCAAUACAUUUCUCCACAUCCAUAUCAAACAACAACAAAGAGCUGUCGGAAGAAAGAAAUUAGAAGAUGCACAAUCCCCCACCGCCAGAGCCCCGUCACCAGCCCGGCCACCCACCGCCAGAGCCCCAUCCACCACCACCCGGUCCACCACAGCGCGAACCUCCUCCCCCUCGUGGCCAUUCUCCUCCUCCUCCAGGUCCGCAUGCACCACCAUCCGGUCCACCACACCGUGAACCUCCUCCUCCAGGCCCGCGUGCACCUCCACCUGAUCAUCACCGUCCUUAGUCGAUCAUAUAUAUGAAGAACUCGAUCGAAGCUAAGCCUAGCAAUAUAUGAAUAAGCGUAUCCAUAGGGGUUGAUGAUGUAACGGAAGGAUGCUCUGUAUAGCUAGUUUUACCUGGCUUAGCUCACCAGUAAUUUUAUUUUCACUUCCAGUGUGUGUAUGUGUAACGUGCUUGCUGUUUCAUUCUCGGAGAAACAUGUAUGGUGCUUGGAUAAUUAAUUAGUAAUAAGAGUAGAGUACUGUUUAUCGUCUAAGAAUAUGCCUUUCUUUCUUUCUAAGAACGUACGAUAAAUCUAAAAAAAGGAAGAUUUACAUGGAUGAAUUUUGUUGAAGGUGCUACAAAAUUCCAUUAAGAGAUUUAUAAAACUUAAUUUUUUUUUUAAAUUAAUGUGGGUGUUUAUAGUGGCGGAGGAAGUGGCAAGAAAAUGCCCCUCCCAUGUAAAUAUUUAUAACAUGGAUGAAUUUUGUUGAAGGUGCUACAAAAUUCCAUUAAGAGAUUUUAUAUAAAACUUAAUUUUUUUUUUUAGAUUAACAUGGGUGUUUGGUCCUUAAUAUUUUUUUAAUGUGACCGCUUAAGAAAAUAACAUCAUGCAUUUUAUUGGAAAUUAAUGACUUCAUGUCAUCAUUUACAAUAUAUUUCUAAAAAAAAAUGUAUCUUGUGAAUAUAAAAGACUUCUUGUAAGGUUAUGGAGUUUUAUUCAACGUUUAAAAACAUGAAAAUUAAAGUCAAUAUGUUUUUUCAACUCUAGCUCUUUUACUUCCUUUCAGUCCAGAAAUUGUUUACUUUUUAAUUAUUUUUUAUUCUCUUCUUUUAUUUAAUAAAUUAAAUUAUAUUAAAAUUAAAAUGUUACGACACAUGGAUCUAUUCAAAUUAAUAGUGUUGCAUUGUUUCAAAUAAACAUUCAAGGAGAGCACUGCGUAUGUAAAACCAAUAUAAAGAAAAUCAUAUCAUCUAGGUGUCGGUCUAGUGGUAAAAACUUGAGAUCAAAUUUUUUUUAUAUAUAUAUAAAAAAAAUCAUGCCUAAAUGAAGGGCACAAGAGAUAAAAUAUCGGUAAAGACAAACUAUCUUUAUAUUAAUUUUUAUUUAUUUAUUGUCUCUUAUAAAAAUUACAUUUUAACUCUUAUGAUGAUAUCCUUUACAAUUAUGUUCCUAUAUAAUUACAUUAUUAUGGUUCAUUAUUUAAAUUUUUUAUGUAAUACUUGUAAUAUCAUGGUUAUUACAAUUAUGAUAUAUCGUCCAUUAUAUUUGUUUGAGAUUUAUUACAAGAAGCCCAAGUUAAUAAAUCAGAACAACACAAAAGCCCAUCAAAAUAAAGCGACCGCGAUCCGCCCACCAUAAGGAGCUCGCUCUCUCCAGAACCCGAACCCGAACCCAACCCCUUCAAAAACCUCUCCCUCUAUCUCCACUCAAACCCCUCCCCCUCUUUUGCUUCUCUUGCAGCGAACUUCUCUCUCUCUACAGGGUAUGCAGCAGCUUCUCUUCUUCCUUUAUUACUAUAUUUCAUGCCUUCAUUUUUGCUUAUGUAUGUGUUUAUAUACGUUGUUUCGCGAUUCAGUUUCUAUUUACGCAAGCUGUACUGGUUUAAUCUAGUUAGAAAUGAAUGGUAUUAUCGUAAUCUCUUUGCUGGAUUGUCUGUAGAAGAGAAUUUAAGGGAAUGGGCUGUUAGAUUUGUAGAGAAAAUUAGACACCCAGAUGCAAGAUUUAGCUUGUUAAGUUACUGUGUUUGUGUGUUUGUUUUUUUCAAGUGGAAGGAAGUAAAAAGUGGAGAUCUGAAGUUUAGGUGAAGUGGUAAAAAGGGUCGAUGAGAUUAUUGUCAAAACCCCUCCUGUGUGGUAACUUUGGUAAAUUAGAGAUUAUUGUGUUUUUGUUUUUAAUCUUGAUUAAAAGAAAAUAAGGAGAUUUUUUUUAGCAAGAAUUUAGUUUGUAUUUACGGGUUCUUGUGUAAGUUUAGUUGAUUUCGUGGUUGUAUUUGGUUAUUGAUUCAUGAUUUGGUAUGGCAGGUUUGAAGUGGUGCCAUGGAUGACAAUUUGUAUGAUGAGUUUGGGAACUACAUUGGUCCGGAAAUAGAGUCGGACCGAGAGAGCGAUGGCGAGGAAGAAGAUGAAGAACUUCCAGACAAGCCUCAUGAAGACGAGGAGGAAUCUGACGGUGAAGAGGCAGUUCAUGCUUCCAAUGGUUGGCUUACUGCCCCUAAUGAUGUUGAUAUGGAUAACCAAGUUGUCCUUGCUGAGGACAAGAAGUACUACCCAACCGCGGAGGAGGUUUAUGGUCCAGGUGUUGAAACGUUGGUUAAUGAUGAAGAUGAGCAGCCUCUUGAGCAACCGAUAAUUAAGCCUGUUAGGAACAUCAAGUUUGAGGUUGGGGUUAAGGAUUCCUCAACUUAUGUUUCCAGCCAGUUUCUUGUUGGUCUUAUGUCAAAUCCCUCUUUAGUACGCAACGUUGCCCUCGUGGGCCAUCUACAGCAUGGGAAGACAGUUUUUAUGGACAUGUUGGUUGAGCAAACACAUCAUACGCCAACUUUUGAUAUAAAUAGCGAGAAACAUAUUAGGUACACAGAUACAAGGAUUGAUGAGCAAGAAAGAAGGAUAUCUAUCAAGGCAGUUCCAAUGUCACUUGUCCUUGAGGAUAGCAAUUCAAAGUCGUACCUCUGUAACAUCAUGGACACCCCUGGUCAUGUGAACUUCUCUGAUGAAAUGACUGCUGCCCUCAGGCUUGCUGAUGGUGCAGUGUUGGUUGUGGAUGCUGCUGAAGGAGUGAUGGUAAGAUUUGUUUUUAGGUUAAUUUUGAUAAAUUCAUUACAAAAAUAGUAUGAUCAUAUCUUAAUAUGAUUUUAUCUGUUCUUCUGUGGAUUAAUUUGCGAAGUAUUUCUCCGUAGAUAUUAAAUCCAUCAUUCUUGAUGAGUUCAAUACGCAAUUUGUUCUAGUUUUCUGCCUAUCAUAUCAGCAUUUAUACAGGCAUUAGUUGCAAAUGGUUUUGUCUAUGAUUGGACCGAUUGCAGCAACAAGGCUAUAAUCUUCUAUUGCAUGACUUGUGACACUUGUUCUCAAUACCAUGCACUUAUGAUCGUGGUUGAACUUCGAAGAUGCUAUUUCAUGAUAUAACUGUUGUUUUCAUAAGUGCACGAGAAUGUUCUAGCCACUUGAUAUGGUCAAUUUACUAUUUUGUAAUGCUUAGGUAAACACAGAGAGGGCCAUACGCCACGCAAUUCAGGAACAGCUGCCUAUUGUUGUUGUGAUCAAUAAGGUAAUUCCCUCUUACCUCUAUUUUGUUUGGCACUUCCGAUUCGAUUUUUUCCAAAUAUUUUGACUGGUUCAUGAAGUGUUAUUUGCACAAAUUUUCUUUUGAAGGUUGACAGGCUCAUAACAGAGCUCAAAUUGCCCCCAAAGGAUGCGUAUCACAAGCUAAGGCAUACCAUAGAAGUCAUUAACAACCAUAUAUCUGCUGUCUCUUCAACUGCUGGAAAUGUUCAAGUGAUAGAUCCAGCUGCUGGAAAUGUUUGUUUUGCUGGUGCAACCGCAGGAUGGUCCUUCACUUUGCAUUCCUUUGCUAGAUUGUAUCUCAAACUCCAUGGUAUCCCAUUUGAUGCUGAAAAGUUUGCAUCUCGUCUCUGGGGGGAUAUGUAUUAUAAUCCCGAGGACAGGACUUUCAAGAAGAAACCUCCUGCUAGUGGAGCAGAAAGAUCGUUUGUCCAAUUUGUGCUGGAACCUCUCUACAAAAUAUACAGCCAAGUGAUUGGAGAACAUAAAAAAAGCGUUGAGGCUACUCUUGCUGAGUUUGGUGUUACUCUUCCUAAUUCAGCUUAUAAAUUAAAUGUCAGGCCUUUGCUAAGACUGGCUUGCAGUCAAGUUUUUGGCUCAGCCUCAGGUUUCACUGACAUGCUUGUUAAGCAUAUACCUUCGGCUAAGGUUGCUGCUGCCAGGAAGGUUGAUCAUACAUAUACUGGGCCCAAAGAUUCAAUGAUUUACCAGGCCAUGCUAGACUGUGAUCCUGCUGGCCCCUUAAUGGUUAAUGUGACGAAAUUGUAUCCGAAGUCAGAUUGCAGUUCAUUUGAUGCUUUUGGUAGGGUUUAUAGUGGUAAAAUUAUGACAGGGCAGUCUGUAAAAGUUUUGGGAGAAGGCUAUUCACCAGAGGAUGAGGAGGACAUGACAGUAAAAGAAGUGACAAAACUAUGGGUAUAUCAAGCUCGGUAUAGGUUACCCAUAAGUAUGGCACCUCCUGGUUCCUGGGUUCUCAUUGAAGGUGUGGAUGCUUCAAUUAUGAAAACUGCAACUCUCUGUAAUGUGAAUUAUAAUGAAGAAGAUGUAUACAUAUUUCGACCUCUUCAGUUCAAUACUCUUCCAGUAGUGAAAACUGCUACUGAGCCUCUAAAUCCAAGCGAGUUGCCCAAAAUGGUGGAGGGUCUUAGGAAGAUCAGUAAAAGCUAUCCUCUGGCCAUAACUAAAGUUGAGGAGUCUGGGGAGCACACUAUACUUGGUACCGGAGAGUUGUACUUAGAUUCUAUUAUGAAGGACCUUAGGGAGCUAUAUUCUGAAGUGGAAGUCAAGGUAGCUAUUUCUCAUACGCUUUUUUGAUAUACUUUUGUUAUUUAUUCUCCUAUUUCCUUUUAUGGGACGCUCUUAGUUUCCAUGCACAUUUGUCCUGUUUAAUGCUUCAUGUCAAAUGUAGGUAGCCGAUCCUGUUGUCUCAUUCUGUGAAACUGUGGUGGAGUCCUCGUCAAUGAAAUGCUUUGCUGAAACACCCAACAAGAAGAAUAAAAUAACCAUGGUAAAGAAGACCACUAGUUUUAUUUGAUCUACUUGCUUUUGAGCAUUCUAUCUCAAUGCUCUGGACUUUUAAUUUUGUUCAUCUGGAAUGUUUCUUAAUUUUAUAGAUCGCUGAGCCAUUGGAGAAAGGGCUUGCAGAAGACAUUGAAAAUGGUGUUGUAAGCAUUGACUGGAAUCGGAAAGCUCUAGGUGACUUCUUCAAGACAAAAUAUGAUUGGGAUUUGCUUGCAGCACGAUCCAUAUGGGCUUUUGGCCCUGAUAAGCAGGUAAUCUAGUUGCUUAAUGUAUCCAUGAUUUGAUUUUUUCAAAUGAUAUGUGAUCAAAUCCUGCUCAUGUUUUGAUACCUCAAUUCCUCAUUUUUUCAAUGAUUGGAUUAAAUGAACUUAAUUUAAUCUUAUUUGUUUUUGAUAUCUGCAGGGACCUAACAUUUUGCUAGAUGACACACUUCCAACUGAAGUGGACAAGGGAUUACUAGGUGCCGUGAAGGAUUCUAUUGUUCAAGGGUAAACUGGAAUUUUUGUCUGUUCUUUUACCAUUUAACCAAAUGCCUAACUAGAACCUUCAUUUUCUUUUGGACAGGUUUCAGUGGGGUGCACGAGAAGGACCACUUUGUGAUGAACCAAUCAGAAAUGUUAAGUUCAAGAUAGUUGAUGCUAGGAUUGCGCCUGAACCACUUCAUCGUGGAUCUGGUCAAAUAAUUCCAACAGCUCGGCGUGUGGCCUACUCAGCUUUUCUUAUGGCAACCCCAAGGCUCAUGGAACCCGUAUAUUAUGUGGAGGUACUUACUUGAUAAUUGUAUUAUAUUAAAGAAAUAUGCAUACCUAAGGGAGAAUAUAUAGACUUUUCCUGCUUGUUACUGUGACUAAAGGAACAAGACAGCAGUGGAAUAUGAUGAAUUUGACAGAAAGCUCAGUAGAAUGCUCAUCCUCAGUUUCCAUAACAUACUAUUUUGAAUAAAUGCAAUUAGCUCAUUUAGAGUUAGAGUUUCUUGCUUGGAUUGUCCUACUAAUUGUGUUUUAUGUUCUUUCAGAUACAAACACCAAUUGACUGUCUCACUGCAAUCUAUACGGUGUUAUCUCGCAGACGUGGGCAUGUUACAGCAGAUGUUCCUCAGCCUGGGACUCCAGCUUAUAUUGUUAAGGUGAUAGCAGCACUUUUUCGUACCCAGCUUACAUGCUGUUGGUUUUAUACAAGUAAAUAUAUGGAGAUGGUUGACACACACCCACAUAUACUUCAAGCUUUCUCUUAUUCGUUUCUAAUUUUUGAAAUUGGAUUUCAGGCAUUUUUACCUGUCAUAGAAUCAUUUGGUUUUGAGACGGACUUGAGGUACCAUACCCAAGGUCAAGCAUUUAGCCUCUCGGUGUUUGAUCAUUGGGCUAUAGUCCCUGGAGAUCCCCUUGAUAAGAGCAUUGUUCUGAGGCCACUUGAGCCUGCACCAAUCCAGCACCUUGCCCGUGAAUUUAUGGUGAAGACAAGGCGUCGCAAGGUAUACCCCUCUCCCUUCUCCCAGGGUCUCUCUCUUUCUGUUACGUGGAUGACUUUUUCAAGCUCUUGGAGCGUUGGAAGAUUGUUACUUCAAAAUUUAUUAUUUUUCUGAGCUGCACGAGAAUUCCAAAUCUAGCAUAGUGCUCUAUGGAAAUGGGUUUUUUAUAACACCUCCUAUGCUGUUAAUAGAUAAAACCAAUAGCCAUUUGGUAAUGCUUUUUGUUUCGAUUCUAUAUUCCAGGGAAUGAGUGAAGAUGUGAGCAUUAACAAGUUCUUCGAUGAGGCUAUGGUGGUUGAGCUGGCUCAGCAAGCAGCUGAUAUUCAUCAACAAAUGAUGUGAUACUUCCAAUGUUGGUGCUUAUUUAGCCAUAGGCCAUAGGAAGCACUUCUUUCAGGCAGUUUUUAUCUGUCUUUACAUGUGUUGAAACCUGGAUAGCAGAUAGUAGUGCAGACUGAUAUCCCUAGCAGUUGGGGCAGAACACCGCUAACAAAAAGAAAGGAUGUCCAACGAGUAAAUUCAAAAUUUUGAAUGUUUGAUGUAAUAUUGUAUAAUAUUUACUGUUAGUGGCAUGAAAAACUCUCCUUUUGAGCCCAGGGAGGUGGUAAUGCAAGCAAGGUUGGAUUAUUUGUUCGAAGAUCUCAUGAUUGGUUUGCUCACCUUAUUUGGGUUUGCCUUACUGGCAUGCCUCCCCACCGCAAUACGGGCAUCGAGGCCUCCAAACAAACAUCCUGCCCUCCUGGGAUUAAAACAUUAACCUUGAAGUGAAGGGAUAAAAAUAAAUCAAGAAGAAACAUAGUAUGUGUUAUUGCCAUUAAUAUAACCUGGAACAGAAUCUCUUUUAUCAUCGCAACAUUAACUUCAGCUAACUACUAACUCUUGAUAACUACUAACUCUUGAUGGUUACAAAUCGUCUAUUCGUUCUUUUUAUUUUGAUGUUCUAUUUUUGGAUCUUAUCAUUUCUCGAUAAAUUUGCUUUAAUUGCCUAUAAUUUUUUUUAUAGUUGAUUUGUUUGUGUGAACAACAAUUCGUAGUUGAUUUGUUUGUGUGAACAGUAGCAUGCUGAGUAGUGUUUUCACCAUGCCUUUUAAAUUAUAAUUAAUAAUAACAAGAGGAUUAUUACUUUGUUUCAAUGUGUAGCCAAUAUUGUAUGAGAGCUAGGUGGUCGGAUGAUGUUUUACAUUGUAGUUGAACUAUAUUUUUAAAAUAUUUUGAAUUUUUUAGUUUUAAAUUUUUUUGUGUGUGUUUUUGGAUCGUUUUGAUGUGUUGAUGUUAAAAAUAAAAUUUUAAAAAAUAUUAUUUUGAUAUAUUUUUAAAUAAAAAAUAUUUUAAAAAACAAUUUCUAACACUCUAAGACAGUGUUUGUUUAAGAGGUUGCAUCAAAAACCUAUUUGGUAAUUAAAAAAAUAUCUGUUAUUGUUCAUGGGUCUCACGGAAUGCUGCAUUUGAAAUGCAAGAACAAGAGAAGUAGCUUUGAAAUGCAAGAACAAGAGAAGUAGCUAGGAGCUGCUUCCUGCGCAGCAAAACGCUGAACCAUGCUCCACUGUUCAGUGAACAGUGGAGGCAUGCAUCCACUGUUCCGGCCGGACCGGGUCCGGUUUAAAGCUCAAAAUGCAUUGAACCAGUCCGACCCAGUAAAAUAAAAAAAUUAUUUUUUAAUUGUGUUUUAUUCGAAAAACUAGUGUUUAACAUUAUUCAAUGACACUACUUAAAUUAGACGGAGAGCGCUUGAACACGUAACAUUUGUAGAAUUUGAUCGCAAUCCCAAAUUAUAGAUAGUUUAAUGGAACAAUAAAAAAUAUUUUAUAUAAAGUAUUAUUUAUUUCAUGAUGUAAUAACAAUAGUUAAAUCUACAAUAUUUAAAUUAAAAACCAUUAAUAUUAAUAUAUAUUUUUUUAAAAUUAUUUUAUAACGUCAAUUUCAAAAACAUUCUUAACCAAACACAUUAAACUACUUUUUAUUUAACCUCAAUUUCAACUACAGUUUUAACCAAACAUACAUAAAUACCAAACCAACCUCAACUAAAUAUAUUUUUUAUAAAAUAACUUUUUUUAAAUUAUAACCACAAAAGCCACAGAAUACCAAACAGUUGCAUGACUUAAAGAUCUUCUUAGAGGAAAGGAGAUGGAAAUGCAAGGGGCUUUUUAAUACUUUUUUUAAAAAUUCUGUUACUAGGUUUUGCAAGAAUAUAUGAACUUGUUAUUAUUAAUCUAAGUUUUUCUUUUUAUUAUGAAUACUAGCAUGUUGUUUUGCAAGUGGAUUAACCCUUUUUUUCUCUUCAAAUCUGAUCUUAAAAAAAGAAGGAAAAUCAACCUAUUCACUUUAAUGUCGAGUCAAACAUUUCUCCUUCUCAGUUAAGAAAACAAAACACAUUGGGGGCUUGGACCGUUAAUAAAAUGCCGAGAAUCACGAAUGGUCCAUCUCCUUCUCAUAUUUGAUCAUAUCAAAUUCCUUACUUUUAAUUGGAUCAAAUCUACCCUCCCAUCUUCACCAAUAAUCAAAUGGUUAUAUGAAUUCCAUGUGUUUUGAUAUAUUAAUUAUUAAGAUGAAGGAUCUCUAAUCGAAAAUAAAGGGACCAAUUUGACUCAAUGUAAAAAUAAAUGAUGUAAAUUGACCAAUUUACAAAACUAUAGGGAUGAUUUUGAAGCAACUGGAAAACGAAACAUCAGGCUAAACCCCAUCUGAGAUCCAACUCUCUGCCCAGAGAACCUAACCCUCCCUUUGGUCUAAAACUAACGUAAUCAUCUUCUUUUUUUCCUCUUAAUCACCAAUCCAUGUCUUAAAAAUCAUAAAAUUCUUAUCGAUUGGGUUUUCAAUUUUGUAAUACACGAUACACACACUUCCCCUUCUUUUCUCAUUUCUGCUCAAGAUUUCAUCUUUUUCUCUUUUUUUCCAAAAAGGCACACGCAUUGUGAUUUCUCUAAACCCUAAUCACAGAUCCAAAAUUUUUCUUCGGCUUAACCUCAAUUGCUAUUGAGUUCCACAAUUUCUUCUUAUACAGCAGAUUUACCCUUAAAAGUUUGGAACUUUAAGGGUAAAUCAUAUUGAAGGUUAGGAUUUUUUUGCAAUGAGCUGAUGCUACUGUGAUUUUUCUUUAUCAAUUACAAUGCAAUCGAAAACCCAAAUUCUUGCUCCAGCUUUUACCCUUUUCCCAUCUCUUAAACCUCCAAACAAGACCCUAACUUUUCACCAAUUUACAGUCUUGGCCAUCACCUUUCUCGCUUAUGCUUCAUUUCAUGCCUCAAGAAAGCCACCAAGUAUUGUAAAAGGUGUGCUUGGACCCAAAAUUCAAUUGAACUCUUCAACGAUUGAGUCUAAUUUAACUUCAUUAGAAUCCAAUGGUACUGGUUGGGCUCCCUUUAAUGGCCCUAAAGGGACUCACCGGCUUGGUGAGCUUGAUCUUGCAUUUUUGUCUGCAUAUUCAAUAGGAAUGUAUUUUGCAGGACAUGUUGGUGAUAGGAUUGAUUUAAGGUUGUUUCUUGUUUUUGGAAUGGUGGGUAGUGGUCUUUUGACCAUUAUUUUUGGGUUAGGUUAUUGGUUUAAUGUACAUUUGUUAGGAUAUUUUGUGAGUGUGCAGAUUUUGUGUGGUUUGUUUCAGUCUAUAGGGUGGCCUUGUGUGGUGGCAGUGGUUGGGAAUUGGUUUGGGAAAGCUAAGAGAGGGUUGAUAAUGGGAAUAUGGACUUCCCAUACAUCGGUAGGGAACAUUAUUGGGUCGGUUGUGGCAUCCGGGGUUUUGGAGUUUGGUUGGGGUUGGUCAUUUGUGGUGCCCGGAGUUUUGGUAAUUUUAGCUGGGGUUUUAGUGUUCCUGUUUCUUGUUGUUAAUCCUGAAGAUAUUGGAUUUGAGACUCCAGGGAAGGAAAUUGAAAUGGAUGUGGAGGUGAAUGGUUUGGAGAAUUUGGAGAAGGUGGAAUCAGAAGAAGCAGGGCUUCUUGGGGAGGAAAACUUGGAUUCUACCGCAGCCAUCGGAUUCCUGGAGGCUUGGAGAUUACCUGGUGUGGCACCAUUUGCUUUCUGCCUCUUCUUUUCAAAGCUAGUGGCGUACACUUUUCUAUAUUGGUUGCCCUUCUACAUAAGUCACACAGGUAUUUGCUUCUUCUUGACUUUGAAAUUCUUAUCAAGAGCUGAUUUGCUCAUGCUAAUCAUUUUUGCAUGCAUUUAGAUAUGAGUGUCAUAUAAGAACGGGACUGUGAUGGCGAUGAGAAUUUGCUAUCAUCAACACAAAUGGUGCCCUUAUUUAUGAAUUCUCGAAAUUUGAUUGUAGGAGACCAUUUCUUCUUAUCAUGGCUUGAACUCUCUUUUAUUGGUUCAUCUGGCUGAUGCACUCGCAUCUUUUUGCUUAGUUUGCUGAAGUAUGCCUUUGCAUAUAUUUGAAUUUGUUAGAUGCUGGAUGUCAGUUUUAAUAAUUUUUUUUUUGGGAAUUAAAGAUGUUGCUGGCGUGCAUGUGUCCCACAAGACUGCUGGAAUUCUUUCAACGGUAUUCGAUAUUGGAGGAGUCUUUGGCGGAGUUUUGGCAGGAUUUGUAUCUGAUAUGAUUGAAGCUCGGGCAGUGACUUCAAUAGUAUUCUUGCUUCUAUCAAUUCCAGCCCUUGUUCUGUACCGGGUUUAUGGAAGCGUGUCUAUGCUCCUCAAUAAUGCUUUGAUGUUUCUUUCUGGGCUGCUUGUAAAUGGCCCGUAUGCUCUAAUUACAACAGCUGUUGCAGCUGAUCUUGGUACCCAGGACUUGAUUAAAGGAAAUUCCCGAGCCUUAGCUACUGUGUCUGCAAUUAUAGAUGGCACAGGUUCUGUUGGGGCAGCUGUUGGCCCCCUUCUGGCAGGGUAUAUCUCCACAAGAGGAUGGAACAGUGUCUUUCUUAUGCUUAUUGUUUCUAUAUUCCUUGCGAGUUUGUUCUUGAUUCGAGUUGCGAAAAGUGAGAUUAAAGGGAUGCUGAACGAUAGAAAAUGGCUUUCAAACAAUGCAACUGCUCAAUGAUGGAAAGUGCUUCUAAGAUUAUCGUCUGUAUUCCUUUUACAUCUAGUCAUAGAACAGGUUCCAUGGAAAAACACUUGGAUAUAAAGGAUCCUGCAAGUAUACAUGUCUGUAUUUUGUAACUCAUUCUUUGAUCAGAUAUAUUCUUACUUUCUGUUGUACAUGUACAAACAAAGAUACCAAUAAUAUAAGCCUUCUACAUUCUACACUACUGUUCAGGGACACUCUAGCACCCGCUAUUUCUAACAUUUUUUAUUGGUUCAUCACAAAUUGGUAUUCCUAGCACGUCCAGCAAUCAACCUUUAACAGUCGAAGAUACAACACUUGGAGGGCAUUCUCAAAAAUAAAUAAACAAAUAAAAUUUGAGGGGCAUGAGAUGGAUUACAAGCAUUGCAUGUUGUGCCCUGUAACAGAACAGUUUAAGUGAUUUAUCAAGAAGGUAAAGCAACACCAAAUUUCACAAAUGAUAGUCUUACAGCUUUGUGGAUAUGUAAACUGAUUGUUGGAGAUCAAACAUGCCAUUUCAAUAUAAGCGAUUAAUUACCUUAUAUGGUGAAUCCAGAGAAUGAGUACACAGAGAUAAGAAUGGCUGUGCUAUUUUUAGUAGUAACUGAAACUGUAUAUAGCAACGAGCUUGAGAUUGAACUAGCUAUAUGACCUACCCGUGCUCUGCCACAACUGCGAUAAAAAAAAUUUAGAAAAAAAUAAUGUUCAUCAAUGCAGCGUAUUUUAAAGGAAGCAUGAAAAAAAAUAAUAAUAUUAGAUGAUAAAAUAAAAUAAAAAAAAAGAUGUUAUUUGAGUUAUUUUAUUAAAAACAAUAAAUUUAAAAUAAAAUUAAAGUUUAACUCUCAAUAAAUCAAAUAUUGAAUGAUAUAAUUAAAAAUAAUAUAUAUAUAAGGAUUAAAAAAUGUAAUAAUUGUUAGCUAAAAACUAACUUGAGUUUGUCUGAGUUAACUCACCAAACUAAUAGUUAGGUUAUGAGAUCGAGAUAAACUGAGAGAAGAAAAAUAAAAAUAAAAUUACGAAAUCUUAUUUUUUAAAAGACCAAUGUUAAUCCUUGUUAGCCUAUAAAACCCAUGUUUUAGGCCAUUUGACUAGAAGUAUCAAACAUGAAAAAAUCAUGAAAGUCAAUUCUUAACAAAUCAAAUAUUAAUCAAUUCUUAAUAAAUCAAAUAUUAAAGGAUAAAAAAACAUCAAUCACACAAAAAGAUUCAAAAGAAAAAAACAACAAUAAUUAAAACGAAAAAAAAAUAGUCCACUCGAGUUAACUCCUAAUUAUAAAAUCAAUGUAAAAAAACUAAAAAAACCAUUAAAUCUAUUUUUUUAAAAAAAUUCAACUUCGGGUAAAGACGUCUAAAUAUAUACACCGCAAAUUGCUAUGUUUAAAAACUCAUAUUUUUAUAAAAUAUAAAAUAUUGACUUAUAUUAACGAAAAUUCAAGUCUCUAUGAAUCUAUUUUAAAGGAAGAAUUAAAAGCCGGAUUAUUUCAUUUAAAUAAAAUAUUGAAUAAAGAUUAAAUAUUGUAUUAUUUGGUAUGAUAGAGUAAUUCAUCUUAUAACUAAUAAAACGAAGAAUAUCAUUUUGAUGUUUCUUUUGCUGUUACGUAUGAUUGGAAAUAAGUUUUGAUAAAUUAGUUUGCAACAUAAAUAGAUUUGUCCCUCAAAUAUCAAUUUUAUUGAUUGGGUCCUUCAUCUAUAUACCUCUCCGCAAUCGGAUCCUUUUGUUAAAAUAAUUGAAGGCAGUAUUGAACAACGAUGCACCUUCUGGCCAUUAAAUGUUUGGUCACCGUAAUUUUUUUAAUAUGUUUUGGAUCGUUUUAAUGUGCUGAUCUCAAAAAUAAUUUUUAAAAAAUUAAAAAAACAUUAUUUUGAUACAUUUCAACACGAAAAGUACUUUAAAAAACAAUCGCAACCAGACUCCUAAAAUCCAGCUAUCACCUUCAAUUCCAGACAAGUUAGAAAAACAAAGGCAUGAUUGAAGCAAUUUUAUGACCACACGCAUGCUCCUACAUGUGUUAAAUAGAGGGGAAAGUUGGCAUUCUCACAUCUAAUUGAUAAAAUUGGUGGCCUUUUCUUUUAUUUCCACGAAAUUCAAUUUUCAAUUUCAUCCUUCUUUACAUGGUGCCAUUUUGCAAGCCACUUGCUCGUUAGCCUAGUAGAGAGUAUCUCUUAGCCCUUGGGUCCAAAUCUUUGAGUUAAGUAGAAACUUAGUUGAAUGAAAAGAGCCCUGAGACGUUCGUAUAUGAUUUUACACAAGCGUGAAAGAGAAUGCGCCUGCAUAAACAAAACAUUAAUUGUUACUGUGAUCAAUGCAUCUUCUGGAUGAAAGAAUACCAGAGAGGUGAAAUCAUGCAGUUAAGGGCAUGCUUACUCUGGCAUUGAUCAUUUACCCUAAAUCAGUCCCUGCCUCGUAUAAGCAAAUCCAUUCUUCGGACCAAUUUCUUACUAGGCACCUUUAGCAGGCAAUGACAAGAUAAAGGGGAGAAAAGGGAAUGUAUAGACUGUUGCAAGGACUCCAGUGAAUGAGGCAAGAAUGAUAGGAGGGAAGAAAAAUGCAGAUUCUAUUUGCCCAUGAAUUUAUAUACAGCAUACACCAACAAAACUUGAGGACAGCCAAUUUAGCUAUGUACUGUUAUUUGAUUGGCUCUACCCUCCUCCACCACCUGGGGAACUUGGAUGGAAAGUUUUAAGCACUACCUUCUAGCAAGCAUUUGAGAUUCUGAAGCCCCUCGGCGGAAAUGCUUCGCCUGACUCUUGCCCUCUGUACCACCACUGGUGGCGGUGGCUCUGAGUGAAAGCUAACAAUUACAACUGUCAAGUUGUCAGUUGCUCCCCGUUUUAAUGCUUCCCCUACCAUUUCUCUGCAGCAUCGCUUCAAAUCAUUGUGCUCUUGAAGUCUCUUCCGAACAAAAUCUACUGCAUUUUGAUUUGAAUAUACAUCCCAUAUUCCAUCACUUCCGAUUAUCAAGAACUCAUCUUCCUUCGUCAGUGUAACCAAUUUAAGUUCUGGUUCGGCACUUAAGGGCCCACUUCUGUCACCCUUUUUCUUCAUUCCUUCAAGGUGCCAAUCACCUAAUGCGCGGGUAACAGCUAACUGACCAUUUAGAUAACCAUCAUCAAUGAAUCCACCUAAGGACUCAAUUCUUGUCCUUUCUUUCAUGCAGCAAGGUCUAUGAUCCUCUGACAUUUCCUUCGCCCCUCCACCCCGUGAUAAUACUGCCCGACAAUCACCAGCAUUUGCCACAAGCAAUGACCUGUCCAAGAAAGACAUUUUUUUAAGAUAACGCACUUUGUGAGAAGACAUAACAGAAUGUCAAUAUAUGAUAAAACUAAUGGAUUGGAGCAAUUCCUGACAACGCAAGAUCUUAGGUGACAUGACAGAUCUUUUUGAUUGGUCAGAAAGCUACAAUUGGGUCAUCAUUAACCUUAAUGACUAUAGCACAUUCAGGACUGUUAACCCAGCACAGAAUGGCCUUGGAAGUGACAGAUGGACUAAACAAAAGGGAUGCAAAGGGCUAGAAAGUCAUGAAUAAACCAUAGGAAGCAGAUGACUGACUACAGAAAAACGAUAAGAAGCUGUUACCUCCCAAAUAUCAUUGCAGUAAGUGCAGUCGUGCCAGAAGAACGGCCUGACUCAAGGGAGCAUGACUUUUCAAAUGCAGCAUCAAUCUCAAUGAAUGAUCUUGUAACCACUUUCUCAAGUUUUACAGGGAAAUCGGCAUCCUCAACAAUGACUCUUGGUAAAUGCUCGCGUACAAAAUGUGCUGCAGUCUUUCCUCCAUGCCCAUCAAAUACCUGUUUUCCAAAGUAUAUUUAAUUCUUAAAAUAAGAAAGAAAAAAUUCCACUUCCAAUUGCUUGUUGGCUUUGUUUUUCUAAACUAUUCAUGCAAUGCAAUUACAUCUUAUCUGUUUCCAGAUGAGCAAAGUUCAAAUGAGAGAGCUAUUCUUGGUGUCAGAUGAGCACAGGUUUCUAGGAUGCUGAUUGAAAACAUGGAAGUUUCAGAUUUUCAAGUUUAAAGUGAUGCUCAGAUUUAUUUAAAGUGGUAAGCUCCGAUUCAAUUUUAGAUUAAUACUUUCUAGAACCUUCACACUUGCUAUCAUAAUCAUAAGUGAUAUGUUCAAAGAGAGAUACUACAGUCUUCCAUCAAGGUACACUAUGGUGUAGUUAAUCUCAUAAGCGAAAGAAGCCUAUAUCCUAAAAUAUUGCUACCCGAUGAACUAGAAGACCAAAAGCUAUGAUUUUUCCAUAAGGGAACAGAAAGCACAAGUAAAAAUACAGUAUUGAUUAGAACCAAAACAGCACAAAAACAUAAAAUUCAUUAGCAGCUGAAAUAGCAGAUGAACAACAGAACAGGAAAAUAACUUACACCAUAGAAAGAAAUAGCAUGCUCGCUUAGUAAACUGUAACCAAACUUCUUAGCCAAGUCACUAAUGCAAAUGUGCGUAUCUUCCAUAUAAGGCCGACCACCAAUAUCAGACCACUCUCCUGAGCGAAGGGUGGGAAAAAAAUCUGUUAACAGAUUCUGUUUCCUUUCUGUGACCACUCUAUCCUCACAAAUGCUUUCCAACUGAAUGAACCACCACAAACAAAAAAAACUAAAAAUGAGAUAGCAGAAGAACAAAUAGUGAUAAAGAAUAAUAUUCCAUCAGAGGGUAUAGCAACAAUGAUAUGUGUAUCUGGCCAAUAUAAGUAUGCACUAUUGCAAACUAACAGUGAAGGGAAAAAUAAAUGGAUAAGAACCAAGUACAAAGGCAAUAACAAAAAUGAGAUUAUAGACAUAGAAAGGUAUUAAAUGAUUGAUAAUUAAGAAUAUAGAAGGGUUCCUGCAUACAGUUUACAAGAUAUUAUAUAAAUAAAAGUUAAAUCAGGGUUACUAUGACAAAUUGACAACCAUUACUGCUCUUUAAUCAAUACCGAAGUCACUGGAGAAAAUCUCUCUCUCUCUCUCUCUCACACACACACACUAUCUAUCCAUCUAUUUCUCCAUGACAACCAUGAGUCCAAGAAGAACAGCGACUAAGUCAAGGGAAUAUAAUUGAAGUUAAUUAUUUACCACAGAAAGCAACACCACCAUGUUGGUGGUGUGCAAAAAGGUAAAUUAAUACAAAAGAAAAGUCAUAAUACUGUAGCUACCAAAUUGAAGUACCAAACAAUAAAUUAUUCAAGGCAGAGAUAUUAAGCUAGGAAAAAAAAAGUUACAGCCACUUAUCUCCAAUGCCCACCAAAUACAUGAACCAGCAACAAUUUCAUAAUUACACAACCAGCUAAAAGUCUGAAACUUUUUAGAGUAAGGAAAAAGAAAUCAGAAAGCAAUUAUGGAUCAUCAAUAACUUCAUAAGUUUCAGAAAAAGAAAACAAUAUGGAAAAAGAAAUUAUGGAAAAAGAAAUCAGAAAGCAAUUAUGGAUCAUCAAUAACUUCAUAAGUUUCAGAAAAAGAAAACAAUACAAGUUCCUCAACAAACAUCAAUUUAAACAAAGCAGUAAUGAACAGAAAGCAAUAAACUCAAUUCUAACAACGACGACGACGACGACAAAAAGAAGCAAAAUUCAGAACACAAAUAUGGGCAAACAAAAAAAGAAAAGACCCAACUUGGGAAACCAAUGAAAUUUGAGAAAGAAAAGAAAUAUUACAGGAUAAGAGUUGGCAACACUGAUCCCACCACUAGAACUAAUCAAAGAAGAGUCUUGAUCAAAAUUCUCCAUCUGGGUUUGCAAGAGGUCACCAUGCAAAGGCAAAGAUUGCAUCUUGUUGCUAUUGCUGUUAUUACAACUACUAUUAUUGUCAAUUGGGUUCUACAUUUCUUGCUUUGCAUCCUUUACACACAUGGUUGUUGUCAAUAUUAUUAUUGUUAUUAUGUUGGUGACAGAAAAAAGAAAACAAGAAGACUUAUUUAAGUCUUUAGCAACUAGUUGUUGUCUUUGUAGGAAUCCAAAGAAGCAACAACACGAGCCAAAAAAAAAACACAGAGGAAGACACAAGGAGAGAGAGAAUCAAAGAGAAAAACUUGGAAUACAGAGAGGGGGGGUGGAAGAUUCUGUGGAAUAUCUCUAUCGUGAUGAUGGUGAAAAUAAAAUGAAGGACUAGUUGAUGCCUUGGUGGAGGGAGGGUGAGAGAAAGAGAGUAUAAAUAAGAGCUGUUAAAUUCCAGAUUUUUCUAAGAAAGAGUGGCUGAAAAUCAGUUGGUUAAGCUGUUCUUGUUUUUGUUGUUCUUAUGGGCAUGCUGGAUGCAUAAAAUAAAUCGUACAGUUUUGGGUAUUGUGAUGUUUUUUUAUAAAAAAAAAUAUAUUAAAAUAUUAGAAAAUAAAAAAACAAAAAAAAAUAUUUUUUUAAGCACGGCCACACCGCUAAGCUUUUAAUUGCUAAAAGGACUUUGAUGUUGCUAUAUAUUAUGGCAUAAUUGCUAAUAUUGUCAAAGCUUGAAUGAGUUGUUGAUAAAUUAAGAUCAUGGUAUUUUAUAAUAUUAAUAUGAGGAGUUGGUCAAAUAUAUAUCAUUUUUAUUCCUUGGAGUGUAGACUUUAGAAUAAAAUUUUAAUUUAUUUUCAAGUUUCAACAACCUAAUUUGUUUUUAAUCCAUGAUGAUCGAUAUUUUAAAUUAAGAUCAUGGUAUUUUAUAAUAUUAAUAUGGCCUUUGUGUACGAGGGAUUUGGUAGGGAGAAUUUCUAGGUAAAGUUUACUGAACAAGAAAAAGAUUUUGCCUUUGUGACAUGAAUUCAUCUGGGUUCUGGAAUUGUGAUGGAAAUCCAAUAAUUCAAUGUGCCUCCGAAGUUCAGCAUUGGAUAAAUGAUGGCCCGAAUCAUUUGAAAUGAAAUCCCAUUUCAUUUCUCGAAAGUUCAUGGAACCAUAAUAUUUGGUAAUUUUUUUUUUGACAUUGCAAUAAUGUUUACUCUUCAAAUUAUUUUUUAUUUAAAAAAAUAGUAAAUUAAUAUUUAUUUACAUAUUUUUCAAUGAUUUUAAUAUGAUACUAUUAAAAAUAAAAGAAAUUAUAAAAAAUAUUAUUUUAAUAUAUUUUUAUUUAAAAAAUAUUUUUUAAAAACACAAUGCACCACGUUAUUAAACACACUCAAAAUAAAAAUUAACUUUUUUUAAUGCAUAAAUAAUUUUUUUUUUAGUUGUGAUAGUUCACAAAUUAUUUUUGAAAAAAGUUACUCUAAUCAUGAUAUAAUUUAGUUGUUUUUAAACUUAUUCUUCGUGUUUUUUAAAAUUACAGUUUAUAUUCUUGAUAAGUAUAAAAUAAACUAAAUUAUAUUGCGCAACAAGGUUUAAGAUAUAAAUUAUAAUUUUUUAAAAUACAGAAAAUAAAUAUAAAAAUGACUAAACUAUAUAAACUAAUCAAGCUAAUUUCUCUUAUUUUUAACUAUUGUGCUGUUUUUUUUAUAUAAAAAAAAUAGAAGAAAAAAACCCCUUCGAUCACCUGUUGAAAGCAUCCAUCAAGAUGAUGCAAUGGGACAAUUUCACCCUUAUAUAACAUGGAAAUAGACUCUUGUGGGAUUUACUUGCAUCAUUCCCAGUCAGACUGAAAAGACCAUCAUUAUUCAUUCUUAAGAGCUACAUAAAGGUUGUUAAUGAUUGCAGCGAAGCUACUAAAUGUUUUAUGGUCAAAUAUCAAGAGAUCUGAACAUUUUCACCCCCUUCACAUGUCAAUUCUCCAUGCCUAAUGGGGCUUGGUUUAUUCAUUCAAUUGCUAGAAAGAACAGAGAAUGAGAUGCCAGGAGAAUUGGUUUUCAUUGGUUAGUGUGUGAGCUAAAAGAUACUUGAUAAAUCGUGGGACGAUGAUGGAAGACAAUGACUUCGGAUUUAUUUCCCUUUUGCUUUCUACAAAAGGUAGUGGUGGCUCGCACCGUUUUCUCUUCUAUAAAAUAUAUCUUUUUCGAAGCUAAAAGGGCCCUUGCAAUCAAUGCCAAGAGAGUUCACAUCCUAAGGCUACCUUGCUCGUCUUUCUUUGCAGUAUAAAAAUCUUUCUUUCAAGGGAAAUGCAGUCCCAAUUCUUCCCAUCAAGGAAAGUAUCAAGAUGUUGUCUAAAAAGAAUGCAAGAGGGAUCGCUCCUUUUGUGUGGUUUGGAAUUGAGCAUUACCAAAAAAGUUAGGUUAUUAUAAUCAUAAACCUUUUCUCGCACUUUACACUGGUCAAAGACACAAGAUAAAUAAAUAAAUAAAUAAAUAAAAUGAAGCCGCUUUCAUUAGUCUUAUGAUUUUGUUGACGAAGGAAUCAUCUUGGUUGCUUCGUAUAUGACCUAGGAGGGUCUUAGCCUUCAACAUGAUCCAUUCAACGAUGAAUUAGUGUUUUUAGCAUAAGCAUUUGGCAUCUUCUCCCUUUCAAAUCCACAAAUUUGUUUGCUCUAAAGAUAUGCCUUACAAGUUUGAAAGCAAUAAAUUAAGCCUUUAAAAAAAAAUAAAAAAGUGAUGGUCCAAUUAAGACCAACCCAUCAAGCCAUGUGGAUCCAGAUAGCACAGUCCCGUAAUCCUUCCACUGCCAAGAGCGGGAGGUAUUCGCUGCUCUGUGAAACCAGCCUCACGCUGUGCCCUCCACUCUAGGAGUCAUGACACCCCAGUUUACAGGAGGAUGCCAUGGCUCAACUCAUGGCUUGGAACGGGCAGGCCAGAUUCGAGCCCCACCGAACUCAGUUAUCUAAGCUAAGGCAACGUUCCAUCACAUCAAAGCUCCCACUUGGGUCACAAGCCCACGUUACUGAGCUCAGCAGAUCUGCUAUGGGGAUGAACGAGUGUUGUAAAGUAGUGGUAUGUUUUCUUUUCUUUCAAUGUGGGAUUUCAUUCACACCUCAAUCAGGUGGUUUAUGGGGGGAAUCUGUCAAAGAAAACACUGCACUGAAAAUAAAAACGAAUAAGAUAUUGAACCCAAAUCGCAUUGAAAAUAAAAACGAAUAAGAUAUUGAACCCAAAUCGCAUUGAUUGUGACAAGCAUUGUGCUGGGGGGGUUAUUAGACAUUGGAGAGGAUGUGGAGUGUCAAGUUCGUGGCUCUAAUCAAAGACAAACAAUGGACCAUGGUUACGUCAACUUUAGAUGAAGAGAAAGUAGAAGGGCCUAGAUGGAUGGAAUGUGGUUCAAUUAUAUUUUUAAAAAAUUUUGAUUUUUUUUAUUUUAAUUUAAUUUUUUUUGGAUGUUUUUGAACCGUUCUGAUUUACUAAAAUUAAAAAUAAAUUUUAAAAAAUAAAAAUAUUUUAAUUUAUUUUCAAACAAAAACAUUUUAAAAAAUAACUUCUACGAUCUCGUAGAAUAAUUGCAUGCUAAUCUCAAAAUAAAGCAAGAAUCUUGUGAGGUCACGGGAUAGGAAUUCAUUCUAUAAGCAAGGUAUGGAUGGCUAGAAACACACAGGAUGGAUGGAUUUUAAGCCCUCUGUGCUACAAAUGAGAUUCCACUCUUUCUGCGAGAAAAUGCCAAUACUCUAAAGUAAAUAAGAGAUAAACUUCGUUAAGAUCUAGAAAAACCUUAAUUCCUUCUAAGAUAAUCAUAAAGCAUGUCUGGACGCUAUGGAGGCCCUCUCUGUUUACGGUCAAAGACAAAAAAAAUGAAGCCAUUUUCAUUAGAUUAUGAUUUGAUUGACAAAGGAAUCUCUUUUGCUUGACUGGUACGUGUCCGAUCUCAGCGGCAGUCCAUUUUCUUCCACUGGCACCUGUUACGUCAUUGCACUAGCAUUUGGCAACUUGUUGUGUCUUUUAAACCUUUAUCAAACCCGGCUCGGGAUUGAACCGGUCAAAGAAUUGAGCUCUAGUUAUACAGGUUGAUUUAAAUAAACCUAAAUCAACUUGAAAAAAUUAAAAAAUAAUAUAUGUUAUUCAUGUUAUAAAUAAUUAGAUUUUAAAAAAUAUUUUAAAAUGUUUUCUAAUCCACGUAAAAAAAAACAUAAUUUUUUUAUUGUGAGCAUUGAAUAUAUAAAGAGCUUCAAAUAUAAAAAUAAAACAUAUUUUUAUUAUUUUAUAUUUAUAUAAUGAACUUUAAAUUAAUAAUUAACUGAAAAAAACAUAAAAAAAAGAAUUUUUGAUAGGAUGAAAACUACAUUUGAACAAAAAAAAAAAAAAAAUAUCUACCAAAUUUUAACGGAUCACCUAAAUUCCAGGUUGAUUCAACCAGUCAAAUAAUUUUCUCCAGGCUAACCCAAGAUUCAUGACUCUGUCGAAGAUUCGUAAAACAAAAAAGAAACGAUUACAAAUUAAAAAAAGUGACGGUCCAAUUAGACCAGCUCUUCAAGCCAUGCAGAUCCAGUUGGCACCGGCCCGUAAUCCUUCCACUGCCAGGAGCGGGAGGUGAUCGCUGCUCUGUGAGACCAGCCUCACGCUGUGCCCUCCCCUCUAGGAGCCAGAACACCCAGGUCUUCACUAGGAUGCCUUGGCUCAACUCCUGGCUUGGAACGGGCGGGUCAGAUAAGAGACAGCCUGAACCCGACCUUACGUGCAUAGUCCACGUCCCAUCACUUUAAAGCCCCCACUCAGGUUACAAGCCCGCGUUACCGAGCUCAGCUGGUAAGCAUGUGUCAGGAUUAGGUAUAUAACAUUCAUAUAUUUUUCCUUUCUUUCCGAUGUGGGAUGUUCCUCUCUUACGUGUUCAUUAGGGAAAAAGCUUUGAAUGAGCAAAAAUCUCGGGGCAUAAAAGGUAAUAGAUUCAGGAAGGAGAGGAUUCUCCACUUUCUGGAGAAUCUUGCACUAGGUAAACAACAAGAGAAAUUACAUCAUGAACAAUAACUCACGUUCAUGUGUUACCAAACAGCUUGUAGCUUCAAAUCGCAGGAAACGUGGACGCCACCACGUUGCCAAACGGACUCUAAGUCAAUGCAUACUUUUUUUUUUUUUUCAACGUUGGACAAGUAGAAGUGGUGAAAGGGUUGCAUAAAAUUGAAAGAUGAUUGAUUAAUGAAUCAAUGGCAGCAAAAGUUAAGAUCAUGAACCUUGAUGGCUGUAGAACCAUUGCUUUGAAAACAACUCUUUAAUGUAUAUCUUCGACAAUCAUGAUUUAAUUAAAAACAUGAAAAUGAAGAGAAAAAAAGAAUCUCGUUGUCCAUUUGCUGUCAAACUAUGCUGUUCGAAACUCCAGGAGUAGCCUCUUACAUAAGAGAUAACCCUAAAACCAAUAUGGCUGUAACACCAGCAUAAACAGAAAAAAUGGAAGUUAAACCUCACAUUCCUGUGAAGGCCUUCUUCCCACUACAUGGAAAUAUACUACAAAUGAAAUUCCACUAUUUCUGCAAGAAAAUGCCAGUAUUUUAAAGUAAAUAAGAGAGAAACUUUGUUUAGAUCUAGAAAAACCUUAAUUUUCCUAUUAUUAACUAGAACUAAAUAGUGUGGUGUUUUUACUAUGCCCUGCCUCAAUUGUUCAUCCUCUUAUAUUUUACUGUAGAUAGACUAUGUAAAAUUUUAUAUUUUUUUUUUGUACUCGAAUUGUUUUUGGGCAAUUUAGUCUUAAUUAAAAAACAAUUGAUUUUAAAUUCUUAUGAAAAGAUGGGGUUGGAAGAGGGGAGAAUAAAAUGAAAAACACGGCAAACAUGAGUGACGAGCUAUAAGUUUCCAAUUCUAUUUUGGUACAAAAAAAUUAUUUUUGUUAUUUUUUCAUAUUUUUAUUAUUUUAAUUAAUGCUUCUUUUUUAAAAAAAAAAAAAAACUUAAUUAUUUGUACAUUGAUACUCCUCUUUUUUAUUAUGUUUAGAAAGCCUCUUUUAGAUGAAGGUGAUUUUUAGUUAUGUGUUUAAUUUUUGAAAAUAUUUUUCUAAUUCAUCUAUGAUAUAUAUUUUUUUAUCUUUUUUAUAGAUGAACUAUAUUUUUAAAAAUAAAAAAUAUUAAUUUUCAGAUGAUAUUUUCAAUAUGUGUAGCCUUGUAUAUUAUUCAUGUUCUCCUUUUAUUUUAUUCAAUCAAUUUAAUAUGUUUGUCUAUUUUUAUUAUCAUUUGAUUAAAUAAAAAAUAUUUUAAUAAAUAAAAAUUAGCAAACAUGAUCGGGUUGAAGUCCCGUUUUACGAGAUUAAAUAUCUUAAUCUAAAUCUGCUACGAUUUUUCUAGUUUUAUGUUUAGAUGUUGUUAAUUAUUAUUUAUUAGAGUACAUAGUUUUCAAUUUAUUUAAUUAUAUCCGUGAAUAAAUUUUUUGAAUUGCAUAUACAUUUUUUUAUUUAUAAAAAUACAUAGAGAAACUUGUAUAUAAAAAAUAAAAAUAUUUAUUCAUGGACAAGUACAAGUUACAUAACUAGUGAUAAUCAUAAAACAUGUCAUGAUGCCAUGGUGGCACUCACUGUAUAUGGUCAAAGACAAAAAAAUGAAGCCAUUUUCAUUAGAUUAUGAUUUGAUUGACAAAGGAAUCUUUUUUGGCUGACUGGUACUAUCUCAGGCAGCAGUCCAUUUUCUUCCACCUUCCACUGAGUCACUGACAGCUGAUGUGCCAUGCUCAUUUCGGGUAGUUGGUAUAAAAACAAAAAUCAAAAACUUAAUCGAACCGCUAUGCCAAAUGGACUCUGAACCAUGAAUUGGGUCACCUGUUACGUCAUUGCUAGUUUUAAACCGCUAUGUUGAACAUAUAAACAAAAAAAAUGAUAAAAGUGAUGGUUCAAUUAGAUCAGCCCAUCAGGCCAUGCGGAUCCAGGUGGCACCGGCCCGUAAUCCUUCCACUGCCAGGAGCGGGAAGUGAUCGCUGCUCUGUGAGACCAGCCUCACGCUGUGCCCUCCCCUCUAGGAGCCACGACACCCAGGUCUUCACUAGGAUGCCUUGGCUCAACUCCUGGCUUGGAACGGGCGGGCCAGAUAAGAAACAGCCUGAACCCGACCUUACGUGCAUAGUCCACGUCCCAUCACUUUAAAGCCCCCACUCGGGUUACAAGCCCGCGUUACCGAGCUCAGCUGGUAAGCGUGUGUCAGGGUUAGUUUUAUAAAGUUCAAAUAUUGUUCCUUUCUUUCCGAUGUGGGAUGUCCCUCUCUUACGUGUUCCUUAGGGGAGCUUGAAUGAGCAAAAUCUUGGCAUAAAAAGUAACAGAUUAAGGAAGGAGAGGAUUCUCCACUUUCGAUGGAGAAUCUUGCACUGUUGCACCAGGUAAACAAGAAGAGAAAUUACAUCAUGAAAUCACUACCCAAGUCAAGGCAUACUUUUUUUUUUUUUCUUUUCAACGUUGGACAAGUAGAAGUGGUGAAAGGGUUGCAUAAAAUUGAAAGAUGAUUGAUUAAUGAAUCAAUGGCAGCAAAAGUUAAGAUCAUGAACCUUGAUGGCUGUAGAACCAUUGCUUUAAAACCAACUCAAAAUAGCUCUAGCGAUUUAGGUCAUGUUUGUUUGCUGGAAAAUAAUUUCUUUUUUAAAAUGAAUUUCAGAAAAAUAAAUUAUUUUCUGAUAUUUGGUAAUAUAAUGGAAAAUAAGUUGGAAAACACUUUCUAGUGUUUGAUUAUAUCAUGGAAAAUGAGUUGGAAAAUAACUUAUUAAUGUUUUAUUUUUCUCAAGUUUAUUAAAAUAAUAAGGAACAAAUCUUACAAGUUAAAAAGUUGAAUGAGAAUAAAAUUAAAAAAAAAUAUAAUUUCAUAAAUUAUCUCAAAUAAAAUAAAUAAUAAUCAAAAUAAUAAAGAUCAAAUCUAAAAAAUAAAAAAUAAAAAAACGAAGAAAUUAAAAUAAUAAUAAUUAACAUUUCAUAAAUUAUUUCAAAUAAAAUAAGUAACAAACAAAAGAAUGAGGACCAAAUUUGAUAGAUAAAAAAUUUCAAUAAAAAAAUGAUAAGGAAAAAGCAAAUAAUAAUUAUAAAAAUGAGGAGCAAAGUUAAUAUAAAAAUUAAAUUUUAAGAGAUGAAAUUGAAAAAAAAAUAUUCAAAACAAAUAUAUAUAGCAAUCAAAAGUUUGAGGACCAAAUUUGAUAUAAUCAGUAAAUAAUAUGAUAUUUUUAAAUUUUUCACAACUUCCGGAAAGUGUUUUCCGCCCAAAUUUUUCAGGAAGACACUUUCCUAGAAACCAAUUUUUCUGGAAACCAAGCCAAAGUUUUCUUUGACUGGAAAGUGUUUUCCGUUUACCAACUUUUCUAAUGACAAACAAACACAGGAAAGUUUGGAAAGAGAUUUCCUGAGAAUCACUUUCUGGAAAACAAACACAGUCUUAACUUGUAAUAACAAACAAAAAGUACAAAUCUUGUAAGCACAAAUCUUAACUGCAAACGUAAGAAAGUAACCAUGUCUUUAUCAGAAGUUACACAGGCCAAUCUUUCAAAAAAAAAAAAAAAAAAAAAGGAAGAACACAGAUGAGCAAAAAAAAUUGAUGGUUUUAUUGUUCAAAAAAGGAUAAAAAAUACAGAAUCCUAUCUGUUUGUUGAUGAAAUAGCUAGUCCUCUUCCUGCCAAUUACUGCCCAAGACCAACACCACUCUUUUCUGAAUUCCUCUGAUUUUAGGAUUUUUUCUGGCCUUUAUUUUUCAGACACUAAUCUCCAUAUAUUCCCACUGAAAAUCACAGGCAACAGAGGUGAUGGGCAAUCUAUGUCGCCAAGGAGUUGGAAGAAUUUCAUGAGCCCAAGUUACCGCACCAUUCAAUGCUCACUGUUAUCCAAAUCUUUCAACCAACAGUAGGGACUCCAUCACAAGAGGCUCAACUGUGAAUUCAUUCAAGGGGAAAGAGAUAUUUAUGGCACUUCAAUUACAAAUUCAUUGCUCCCACAAAGAGGUGCACUAUAAGCUAUCCAUAGAGAGAGGUGACGCCCUUUCCCUUUCGUUAACUCUCAAGAUCCUCGCGGCUAGAGUUUUAGGUUUAGGACAAAAAAAAAACUGAGAAUAAUAAUUGUAGAUUAGAUACAGCAACUUCUGCUGUUAAAAAUUGGGAAAAAAAAAUUAUUAGAUGCCAGCAGUGUCUACUAUCUAGACACCAUCAAAUGAUCGUCACCAUCAAAAGCUCUAUAAAAAGAGAAUUGCAAGACAACAGGACACCCUUGCAUGUGCCUGAGCAGUCUUUCAUCACCUGCCAUGUAAUAUGCACCUUGCUAAAAUCUUCGAUUUACUCAAUAACUCGUGCGGAUGAAGCAACAAAUUCCAAUGCUAUUGAUAAACAGUAGCAGUGGUAUCUUCGACAAUCAUCAUUUAAUUAAAAACAUGAAAAUGAGGGGAAAAAAAAGAAUCUCAUUGUCCAUUUGCUGUCAAACUAUGCUGUUCAAAACUCCAGGAGUUGCCUCUUACAUAAGAUAUAACCCUAAACCAAUAUGGCUGUAACACCAGCAUGAACAAAAAAAAUGGAAGUUCAACCUCACAUUCCUGUGAAGGCCUUCUUCCCACCAGCAGCAGAACCAGCUGGAAUCACUUUCAAUACAUUAAAUCUAACAGUCUUGGACAGUGGCCUGAAAUGGUAAGAGGCAAAUAUUAUGAAUUGAAGGCCAAUUGCAUAUACAAUAACAGCUAAAUCACAUUCAAGAUAAAUGAUAUAAAAUAAAACUUUGGGUGGUCAAAAUUUAACCUGCAUUGUCCGAUGAUGACAUGAUCGCCUUCCCUCACACGGAAGCAUGGGGAUACGUGUGCUGGAAUAUUUGAAUGCCUCUUCUCAUAUCUAUGGGGAAAAAAUAAUAUUUAAAUUAUAAUGGUGUGAUAAUAUGCACUGAAAAACACCAGAACUAAAAUUGGACUAGACCUUUGGUAUUUCUUGACCCAGUGAAGAUAGUUCCGCCGAACAAUAAUUGUCCUCACCAUCUUGGCACUAUGACAAGUUCCAGCUAAGAUACGACCUCGAAUAGAAACAGUGCCGGUGAAGGGGCAUUUUUUAUCAAUAUAAGUUCCUGUCAGAAGUAAACAUAUGGGAGUACAACGUCAGCAAAUUUCACAUUCUACAAAAAUAUCAUGUGAAGGAGAAAUUACAUGAAAGAGGCACAUAUGAAUCAAGUUGCAAACGAAGAACUUGGCAUAAAAAACAUGGAUAGAAACACAAGCAUGGAGACAUAUCAACAGCAUUUAAAGAGAUCGUGUCCAUGGCACUCGACAUGUGUGAUUAUUUAAUAACUAUUUAAAUUCCAUAUCAUCAUCGACAAGGUUCUAAUUCCUCCAUAUCACACAUUGAUUUGUAACAAAGCAAGUUAAUACAUAAACGAAAUAUAUUAGUAUUUACAACCCUAUGAUCAUAGAACAUAUCUUGGUUACUUGACUCCAUUAUCCAUUAAAAUCAGUGCAUUCAACUAGAAUAAAAUAUACAAAGCUCAAUAAAAUUACAAACAUGAAAGCAUCAUAAGAAUGACACAACUAUAAAAGACAAACCUUCAGUGGCUUCUCUGGGAGUCUUGAAACUCAAUCCAAUACUCUUCCAGAAUCUGUUUCCACCUUUUCCAGGCCUCUUUCCUUUCCCAGAUUUCUUUGAACUGCCAAAAAAACACAAACAAAUCAAAAAACACAAAACAGCAAAAACCCACAUCAAAUAAAAAGACCCCAAAACAGAAAGUUCGCCUCUUUUGCUGUUCUAAUACAUUACCUGAGAAACACUUUGGGUUGUUUCAAAAAUGCCUUUUCAGUCUGCAACACAGAAAUAAAGAAACCAUAAUGAGAGCUCAUAAUAAGAUCUAAGACUAAACGUGUUUGGAGUAGAAGCAGUGAAUAGCAAGAGAGUGUGUUGCGAGAACCUGCUCAGCCAUGAUUUACAGCUGUUUGUGUUCUCUACAAGGACCUGAAACAGCAGGAGGCAAAAGAUACAAAAGAGAGAGAGCCUCUUGCUGAAAUGAGCAAGCUUUAAACCCUAUUUUGCUCGCUGAUAUGUAGUAAUAAUUUUUUGUUAAAUAAAUGGGCCUUGGUGGUCCUUUUCAAUACAGAGUUUGGUAAGAUACUAAUAUAUCUUACCGGAUAUUUUUUAAAAAUAUAAAAAGAUAUUAAAAUUACAGAGAAUUUUUUAAUAAUAUUUUUAAAUUUGAUUCAAUUUUAAAAUUUUCUGAUUUAAUUUUUUAUCUAAUUCGAGUUUUUGAAUUUUAAAUUAAAUCAUAUAAGACCUAACUCAACUUAAAUCGAUUAAUUUUAUAGGUUCAAAUACAACGUUGAUGAUCGGUAAAAUCAUGACUUUGCUUUUAAAAAAACUUGAAGAUGAUAACUUUGAAAAAAAAAAUUAAGAUAAUAACGGAUUGAAUUGACUUCGAUCUCCCCGCGAUACAGGUCAUGGACUCUACUGGGUUCAAUUACUUUUUUAUACACUAUUUUUAUUUAAUUAUAUGAUAAAAAUAAAUACUCAUAAAAUUGAGAUCCAACCUAAAAAUAUACAUUUGAGAUAGUUAUCCCUAUAAAAAGCAAACAAAAAUCAAUUAUAGAUUCUAUUUCCUAACCAAUCCAAUAUUGAUAGAUGCAAUAGAAAAAAUAAUUAAAAAUAAUUAAAAGACAAAAAAAAAUCCAACCGAUGGGUAAACUCGUCAAACAUGUGAAUCGGGUAACCCGGGCUAGUAUACCAAACUUGUGAAUCAGGUAAUGGACUCCACUAACAUUAUAAUUUUUUUUAAAAAAGUAUUUUUUUAUGUAACUAUAUAACAAUAAAAAUAGACGAUUGUGAAAUCAAAUACCAUCACAAUACCAAGAUGUUUUUUUAAGACUGUGAUAACAUCAAAAAAGACAAAAUAAAACCAAUCAUGAAACUGAAUCCUCAAUCAACCCAAAAUCUCAGGUGAAAUAAAAAAAAACUAAUUAAAAAAAAAUUGAACUUGUCAUACCUACUAACCAGCACAAACUCACACUACAUUGUGUUUAAUUUUUUAUCAAAUAGAAUUGAGGUAGUGAAAUUUAAACUUGAAACCACUUGAUUAAUAAAGCUCUGAUACCAUGUCGAAUAACCAUCUUAACCUAAAAACUUAAACUGUUAAAUGAUAUUCAAAUAUAUAAUUUUAUAUUAUUCUCUAACACAAUGAGUGUGGAUGAACAGUGGUUUCCCCACGUCUUUUAAUUUUUAUUUGUUUAUAAAGUUUAAUAACAUGAUUUUCUCCGAAACUAGAACAACCUGAGUUACUUUGACAAACAUGUAAACUACGCUAAUCUCAUAGGAAAACAAAAUAAUAAUAAAAUAAAUUACGAAGCUAAAUUCUUAACUUUUUUAAUAUUAAAAAAUAAAAUCAACAAAAAUAAUUUUUAAAAAAAUCAUAACAAAAAAAAAAAAAAAAGGAAGAGUGGUAAAGCAUCUCUAUAUAUUUUUUUUACUUCAACUAAAAUUUUUUAUAUUUUUUUUAUAUUUUUAUAUCGUUUUGAAAACUAAGAUAAAAAAUAAACUUUUAAAAAAUAAAAAAUAUAUAAUUUCUUAAUAAAACAACAAAAUCCCUUGAACUUGGGAAGAAAAUAGUAAAGGAAACAAUCUUCAAUUUUAGGAUAAUGUCAUGUUAGUGAUUUGGAUUGUAUUUAAACACAAAUACUAAUAUUAGCAUAAACCAUGUUCAAAUAUAAUGAAAGGAUUUGACAAUUGAUACCCAUCUUUGACGUCCCUUGUCUUUGGUUCUCCUCCCGGAUGCAAGAUCAUCAAACCUUGCAUUCUAACAAGACACUUACAAAACCUGGUAGCUAAACUAGUUUUUUACAUGUUACCAUCAUGGCAACAUAUUCCAAGUCCACCGUCUGGUGAAAGCAUCCACCGGAAAUUUUAACUUCUAGCUUUCCCUCUAGAUCCUGAGCAAGAAACAACACAUGGAAUAUGAAAAUAACAAUGAUAAUACAUGCACAGCCCCUACUCUCUCCCCCUUGAAAGCCAUCCACAAAGCUCACAUGAAUGUCCAUAAACGCACAUGGAUGCAAAGGGAAGAAAUAUAGUAAUAUAAACUGAUUGCGCUGAAUAAUUACUUUCUGAAUAGUAAUGUCAUAUCAAACCUUCCCAGCAAUCACAUACCAGGGCAAACGAGUAAAAACCAAACAUAUGGUGAUGAAGUAUUGAAAAAUAGUUGAAGCUAAUUUGCCUAAUAGGACUCCGAAGUAUACAAAGCCGUAAUGUUACAGUAUGGAAACCAAGCAUUUCAUCUCAACUCAUUGCCUAUUAACUUGAGAAAAUGACCAACCAUCAUUGACAUGUUACACUAAAUUGAAAAGAUAAGACCAACCGCCAUUAACCUAUAGAAGAAACACAUGAUUCUUUAGCUGUCUGAGAUCAUAAUCACAAGUUCAGCUCUUGAAUCCUUUGUCCACAGAUAAAUCACUCAGUCUGCACCAGCAAAUAAGAUCAAUAAAAUAUAUAAUAAUAAAGUUUCCAGAAUGAAAAAUGUAAAUUUAAUUCCAUCAUUUUGAUUUCAGUAAUGACUAAAGAAAAACUUUAAGAAUGGUGAAAUUCUCAGCAGAAUAUUUGCCAUAUAUUGAACAACACAGAGAUCCUGUUAUAAUAAGCCAAAUGCUUAGGUAGUGAUAGACAAAGCAUUGGCAGAAACUUUUCCACAAUGCUUAACGUUGCAUACUUAUUUAUUAUAUAUAGAUCUUGUGCAACAAAUUCUACCCAUCCUCUGAGGCUGCUUGGAGCUUUCAAAAAAUAUAACAAAUUCUACUCAUUUUUAUCACAUACUGGAUGACAUUGUACAAAAAUACUUGAUAUUCUAGGAAUGCAACAAAGGGAAACAGAACAAUAACCAGAGACUCAUAUAACAGAUUGUUACCGAAUUGUCUCUAAAUUCAUUGAAUUCAUCAAGGCUAAUCUAUACUCAUUGUAUAAUAACUUCUUACUGCAUCUCAAAAACUUAUAUUUACUGUUAAUUUUAAUACAGCUGAAGGAUGAGAUGGCUGCACAGAAAAGAAAAGAAAUGAAAUUCCUUAAACAUGCCAGACCUUUUGGCGUUUUGAAUUUGGAGGGCUUGGUUCCGUAUCAUGGCCACGAGAUGUUCCAAUGCCAGAGUUUUCAGCCUGCAAAUAUGCCACCGGUUAGUCUUGUAGUUCUGAUGUUUUUAUGCACACAUCAAUUUAGCUUGACAUAUUUACAACAUCAUGCCAACACCUUCAAGAUUCAUUUGAUUGGGUGAAGCAAGAAAUCCAGAAUAGUAAGGGACAUGAGAUAAGUAUCCAUUGAAAGAUAACUGAAAAUGCUACAUACAUGGGUUGAAGAAUCUCGAGGCCUCUGAUUCCCAGAGUUCUGUGCUUCUCCAGGAGGUAUGGCACUGGGUUCUGCACCUCCACUUUGAGAUAUGAGGGGCAUGAUCUCACGAAGCAAAUUAGACAGAAAUAUCCCCUCAUCAGUAGCUCUUGGUUCUGCUUCUGCAGUAGCAGUAGAUUGCCCUGCAGUCUCAGGGACAGAACUAGUAGUUGUUCCUCGUAAGCUGGCAUCCUCCAUAUGGAUAUCACCAGGUAAGAUGGUCCUCAGAAGCUGCAAAAUAUUGUCGGGGAUAUGUCGUUCAGAAUCCUGGUUGUUUUGGGCCCCACUAGCUGACAGAAUGUUGAUACUUAUACUGCGAGAAAUAGAAGGCUCUUGUCUCAAGUUUGGUGGCAAUGAUCCUGGAAGAACAGCAAGGUUGGUCAACUAGUAUAGAACAGCUGAUUAAGCUCAUAUCUUCUCAUACAGUCAUAUCAUCAACUCCUAAAGCAAGAUACAGCGAGCAACCAUCAAAACUUUGACUACUAUACACAACAUUAACUUCAAUUGAAUUUCUACAUGAUAUUGUGAACUGAAAAAAACCGAUUUCUUGCAAGCCUGUAACGAUAUGUUCUCAAAGGUCCCCAAUCAAAUCUUUAGGAAAUAAACAUAUGGAAGAAAACUCAGGACACUUUUAAAAAAGGAGAAUACAACACAAACAUUAUUUUCCUUAUUUUUUAGGGUGAGGAUGGGGUGCUCUUAUUGACUGGUGCUAGGAAGAAUCCACUUCAGCAUCCUAAAGGAAAGCCUUUCAUCAUGUACUUAAAUGGUACAAUAACAAUAAAUACAACUCAGAAAACAGCAUUGAGAAAUUGGCUGCAUGGCAGGUAAGUUUUGCUGCAAAUUGGAAUCCAUAUGCGUGGAUCAGAAUAAUCAAAGAAGGGUGUGUAUGUGUUAUAGUAGUAAGCAUGAUACUUUUACUAUGAAAUUUUAAGAAAGAAAGAUAUAUGUGGAAUGUUCAAAAAUAGCAAUAUAUGUGGAAAUCGCCCUUCCUCCCUCGUUCAUGCAGGAUUGAAAUGAUUAUUGAAGACUCAAAAGAAUGUAGGGGAAAAACAAAUAACACAAAAAAGCAUAAGCCAUAGGGGACUGGCAAAUAUAUCAACCACCAUUAACAGCAGCACAAGUAAAGCCACUGAUUGACACGCAUGUAUUCAUGAGUAAGAUGAACCAAAACAUCCCCUUUCAAGCCUCCUGAGCUUGCACUGGAAAAGAUGUCCACAACUACAAACUUAAGACUUUUCCAUGAGCCAAGUAAUCCUCAAAACUUCAUUGAACUGCAGUAUUGUCACAUUACCAUCUCUUGUGCGUUGUUCAAAGUUUUGCUGCUGCAAAGCAGGUUCAGGAGUUGGCAGCUGCUCAGUUUGGACCUCAGCAGUGUGAUAUUCACCAGAUGCUUGAGAUCCCCGCCCACUAUUCCCAUGCCCAGAAGCUACAUUUUGAAAUCGUCCAAGAAGAGGAUAGUAUAGACCUAUAGAAUUACCAGAUGAAUCAGAAGGAAGGCGGCCAAAUGUGCCAGGAACAGCUGCAACCACCGUUCUAAGAGGCACCACUCGUACAGGCUCUCCAGCAAAAGAUGAACCCUCUGAGAGCCUUGAACUUGUUUGACUACUAGGAUUUUCACCACCAGAACUGGUUGGUGGGUUUCUCUGCCCAGCAGUUUGCUGUGUCUGACCAUGUUCCUCACGAUUAUUGUUGGGGGUAGCUGUCGAUGAACCUUGGGUAAAAUAAGAAUAGUUGUAAGUAGAUUCACACAUCAGAAAUACCAUACAUAUUAAUUAUUCCAGACAUCAAAUUUGAAGAAAACCUCUUCGUAUUUGUAUAUCAAUUCGCCUUGGAAGAAACCCGGUACCGACACCAUUAGUCAGACCAGAUCCAGGCUGCAUGGAUCCUAAAGGGACAGCACCAAAGCUUGUCCCUGGUUGAAAAGGAAGAGGCUGCAUGCAUAGGAGUGAUCAGCAGAGAAACAUAAUUUAAAGAAAAAUGAAAAGAUGAAAAACAAGAGGAAUUUGUAUGGAUGUCUGGAUUAUGACCUGAACCAUGAGAGGAUUAGGACCAGAUUGAUUGAUAAAAACAGCAGGGCCCGCAUUAACCACAGCUUCAGACUGUAAAUAAACAAACCACAAUGACACAUACAGCUCGGGAGAUGUCAAGCAUGAAAGGUUGCCAUAAAUGAGAAAUUGGAGAUAAUCUUACCGGUGCUUGACCUAGUCGUAAUGUCAUGCUUGUACGUCCAAGUUCGAGAAGAAGGGCACCUAAAUUAUGAAGUUGGACUCCAGUUCUCAAUGCACUAGACUGAGUUGCGUGUCGCGCUGCAGUAUCAGUAAUAUGUGCUUGAUUCUCUAGUUGUCUUGCAAGUUGCUGCCAACAUACAGAACAAACAGGGAGGGAGAUCCAAUGCAUUUAAGUUUUAGUUCUGAGAAUAAAUAAAAGAAUGGUAAAUGUUGAAAUAUUUCAAGGUUAAAAACUUAAAAGAAUCAAAUUCUAUUAAAAUUAUAAAAUGUUAAACAAAAAGAAGAAACAUAAUAAAAAGAUGACCACUUCCUAUGGCCGCAAGCAACUAAAUUCACUGGUAAAAAAUGGGAUAUACUGUUGGCUACCCAAAAAAUAAAGCAAGACAAAAGUAAAGAUAAUAGAGAACAUAUGAAGUAGAUAGAAUGCUUUUAAAUAACACACAAGUAAACAUUCUCCAACUUGUUCGGUGAGUAAUUGUCUACUAGACAGCAUCACUUCUGCCAAGGAUGCAGGUGAUGGAAGUCUUUCUUGUCCAGUUCCUGAUAGUGAUGUGGUAUUAGAAUCUAUUUGCUCCAUCCUGAGUGCAGCAUCUGCUUGAGCAAUGUUUUCCCCGCCUCUGCCUGUCAAUGAAGAGAAUUGAAAUCCAAUGGCCAAAUCAGCCCCAUUGAAGCAAAUGAUAUUUAUUAACCAUAGAGAAAUUUGCAAAAUACAGAUACUGACCGAUGGCAUCAAAUUCUCGCCUCAAAUUGCUCAGAUAUUGGGACAGAGUUGUCAGAGAAUCAGGAAUUACCUACAAGUACAAAUAAAAUAUUCCUAAUACUUAAAACUGCAAAAAGAUAUGCAGGCCAAAGAAUCCAUGUUGUAGAAAGAAGGUAGAGGGUGGAGAAGAAGAGGACUCCUAACUUACAGGAGGAUUCAGAGAUCCCAAGGAAACUGCUGUCGGAAGCCCAAAAACAUUCUGUGAUCUGUCAGACUGACCCCUGGUGCCAGUUUGUUCAGAUUGCAGUUGGCUUGCAUCCAUUGUGCCACCAGCAGCUGAUGUUCUUCGCAAACCACGCUCCUUAAAGAUCCAUCCCAGUCACAAAGAGCAAGACCCAAAACAUAAAUGAGCAUUUACAGGUAUGAAAAAGCAUUAAGGUCCAUCUUUCUAAUUUGAUAAAAUAUGAACCAGCUUGAUGUCUCAAAAUGUGUUUCACGUCUAAAGUCAAAUAAAAACUUAAAAUAGACAACUUCCAGAUACAAAAAUACUGGAAAUUUUACUUCGAAGACAAUUUGUUUGUUUGCCUCUGUGAGUAAGAAAAGAGGGAAGAAAUCUCCAUCCUUACCAACAAUAGAUUUUCAAGAGUAUAACAAUAAAGUAAUUAGUUUUAGAGGUUGGAAUUUAAAUAUUUACCACAUCGACCCCUUCACUGACACCUCCGAUAUUUGAAAAUCCAAAAGAUCCAAGAACAGCAGAGACAAUCUGCUCCAGAGAAUCAAUUAAGAGAUAAUUAUAAAACAAUUAAAUCAUCGGUAUGAAAAUCUAAAAUUGCUAUAUUCAAAAUCUAGUUGUAGCCGCACCCUACUGAUUUCUGGAGGAACUGCAUCCCCUUGAUCAGGCACACUAAAAGUUUCUAUUACAACACUGGGAGCCACCUGACCAGUGUGAUGGCUUGAACCUGAAGCAGGAUCACUGGCUGCAACAUUGACAUGCAGGAGUUACUCCAUGGAUAAUUUUACUAGCACAUGAAAGAUAACAUUAAAAAAAAGGGAAAGAAAAAAAGAAAGAAAUAAAGGUAUAUAAUUCCAUUUCAGAAAGCUCAGAUUAUGACAUAAACAGAGCAGUAUUGCUACAACAAUUACUAAGCUCCUAUAGAUGUCAAAAUGACUCAAUUGUUAUUUGUAGCGUGGUUGCUCUUUAAAUCAUUAGAAGCACCUAAAUAAAACUAUAAGCAUUAAAUAAGAACCAACAGAACACCACCACUUGCUUUUCUGAUUAAUCAUAUGGCAAUAUUGAGCACUUAAUGAAAUUAAUUACCAAGGAUAAUCUGUUAUAUCCAGAGUCCCAUUAGUCCAAACAAAUGUCAUAUUCGACAGAAAGGAUGAAUUUCAUAUCCAGUUGCUUCUCACAGAUGAACUAAUGUGUAUCAACCCCUCUGGGGGGAGGGGGGGUUGUUUCUAUACUAUACCAACCUUUUCGUGAAAAUAAUUCAAGGUGCACUGGAAACCAUACUCUAGCUGAAGUAAUGUGUAUCAACCCCUCUGUGUGGGUCAACAAUCCAUUAUGGCCAUUAAUUACCUUGUGCAGUAAUUUUUUGUUUUUCAAUAUUUACAGGCUGUGGGGCAUCUACAGGACCCUUUAGACCACCACACAACUAGUCCUCCACAGCUUUGGAUAAACUUGAAUUAGUAUCCUUUUUUGAGACGAACCUUGUACAGUUGAAGAAGAAGAUGAUGCAAGCAAAUGUUAAGGCAAGCCAAACCUGAAUGAUUGGAUAAGCCCUCAGAUGGUAUAGGUUGCCUAACUACCAGGUGCAAGGUGUGACCAUCUUCGACAUCUAACACAUGUUAAGAAAAUAAACCAACCAAACAAUAUAAUAAGACAAUAGUGCUAAUGAGUAAAAAAAGUACAGGGAUAUGAAAAUAUUCCUUAGGUAGCAAAUAAAGAAAUUUAACAAAGGAUGGUUUAUAGGUUUCUAGUUCAAUCAAUGAAUAUCCUGAUACAUUCGGGACCUAAUGUUUGCUAAUUUGUUCUGGAAAAGUAAAAUACUAACUAGUUCAUACCAUAUAUGUUUUGAUUCAAAUACUUCACCCACACUUAAAGUUUCCUUCUAGCAAAAAUGCACCAUUGCAACAAGCACUUGCCAGAAACCACCAGAAAACAAUUUACUUCAGAAAAAAGAAUUGCAGAUGUCGGCUUAUUUGGAAUAUGUACAUGUGUUUUUGGUUAUGCUUGGGUGUGAUACAAUCAAUUGAAAUGUGACACAAUUCUCUAUUCUCCACCUGAUAAGCUGUCCAAAGUCAUUCAUUCACCUAGAAGUAUGCUAAAGAUGAACCGAUGAAGAGACUUGUGCAGUCACAUGCAUCUACAGCACAUACCUUCAAACCUCUCUUUUGUCAAGGCUUUUUCCCCUUUUAUGUCCAUACCUAGUAUUUCAGACUUACAAUUCAGUGUUGCUGAGGGAAAACAUGAAACUGUUUAGCAUUGCAGGAUGAAUCUCAUGGACAUGGAGCACUAGCAUGUGAGCUCACUUGGAAUUUACACUUCAGCAUUACUGAAAUCAGCAGUGAGGAACAAAACUGCAACACUAUCCAACCACAAUUCAACAUUUUACCCGCCAAUGCACAAACUCCAAGGUGUCCCAAAAUAACUCUUUUGCAUCAAUACUGUCUUAAUGAGCUCUUUUCUACUUUUCUGCCUAGCUUUACAGUUUAACAGCAGAAAUAAAUGUGUCAUUGGUUCACUACUUAGGUAAUACCUUCAUCAAAACUGUUAAAAGAAAUUUGAAGUGAGCUUCUAGCUAUCUCCUCACUUUGGGUACACAAUCUUUUUUGUUAAAUAUUGUACUUUAGAGUUGCCCUUGAGCAUUAAGAAAAAAGGAUACGAUAGGCAGAGAGUAGUUGGUCAUCUUUUAAGACUUUUCCACGACAUAUUAGACGUUGUUGUUCUGAUAGCACGCCAGUGACAGAAGCAAUCUGUUCUUUUAAAGCAGGAACUGGCAUCUGCAUGGAUAUUCAAGAAAGGGGAAAGCAUGAUGAAAUUAAUGGCUUCCACAAACAAAAAAUCAUGCACAAGUUAUCAACUAGCAAAUCCCCACUCACAAUAUAAGCAUAAAGACCCUUUUAAGAUCAUAAUGCAGGGUGUACUCUUACAAUUAAGAAUUCAGUGGCAACAAAGAAUGUUUCAACAGUUUUAUAUGAAUAAAAGACACAGGGAAAUAGUGGAUCUUCUGUAAUUGCUUUCUGUCCAGUUUCUCAUGAGAUCUGCUUCUCAGUAUUAUUUGCACAAAUAUUCAGUAAAAUGUGGGACAAUCUCCACAGAUUUUUACAUAAGAGCUUGUUGAAGAGAUGUUCUUGAGAAGGAAAAUGAGUUGGAUGCUAGAGAGUGUAGCCUUUGUGUCAUCUGUAUGUAACUAGCUAGAUCAAAAAGGCACAUUGGAUCACUUAUAAGGACUAGAAAUUUUCUGACCAUGCUGGUGAAGAGGUUUUACUAGUAAUUGUUAAGACCACUCAAUUUCCUCUUCUUUCUACUCUUUCUAAGAUUCAGAUUCUAGUAACUCUCUGUCUCUCACCACAAUGACAGAAAUAUGAUCGAAGUGCAAUUUAGAGCUCUUGAAAAAGGAGGCAAAAAAAGACAUAAAAACAGAAAAAAAAAAAAACUAUCCUUAUAUAUAUAUAUAUAUCCCCGUAAUAACUGGCUUUGGGAUGUAUUUGAACUCAUUGAUCAUCUAAAGUAUUAUAGCAAGUUUACAAAACAUACACACUGCAAUGACAUGAGCCAUGGUUCAGUGGGAGCAAAAAAUUACCUGUUUAUCCACUCUCAAAGUAUAGGUUUGAGAAUCCAAUGUUUUUAUUUUUAUUUCAAUGUUUGUUUCAGAACCCUCUGCCUCACCAGCUCCAUGAAUUUUAUCAGCAAUAUUACUUCCCAUUCUCCUCAGACGAAUGGAUACCUACAAACAAGAAAGGAAAAGAAACAAAUGAAGGAAAUUAGGUUUGGGAGUUGCUAGGAUGAGGCAACAGCAUGCUUGUCAAUAAACCAGAUAAGUCACAGUAUUAUAUUGGUAAGAUAGAUAAGGUUCCUCAGGAAACAGUAAGUCAAUGAGUGCCCUAAUGCCAACAAAAAGGGGUGUCGGUUCCCUUCAUUGUGGUCAUAAUACAUCAUUGUUUCGAGAGAGAGUGAAGAUGUGCAGAAAUGCAAGAACAAAUAACAAAAAUCAGCAAGCAGACCACUCUCACAUUUAGGGAAAUCUCAGCAUCCACCACCAUAUAGACAUAUUGCCAUAUCAAUAUGUACUUCAAGGCAAUUUGAAACACUGUUUCCUUUCCCCUUUUUUAUUUGUCUCUUCUCUUCAUUUUCUUUUUCUUUCCUUUUCUUUUCCUUAUUUUAGUGUGUGUUAUAUGAGACAGUUAGAAAAAUCUCCAGACUUGCAAAACACAUAAUCAUGGUAACGGUAAUGAACAACAUGACAAAUCCUGCAGCCAACUACCAUGGACCGCAUUGAUCUGAUUGAUGAUAUUCUUUCCAUUUUUUGCUGAUUUGGUAGGAUAUCGCUCACUAGACGAAGAUGGCGAUUGCUCAAGAGUCCCCUGCUAGAUAUUGAUAUUUUAUGAUGUCACAGAAGAGAAACAUAACAUCAUGUUCUCAAUUGAUAGGUUAUAUGAUAUGUCUUUGGUGUGUUAUAUUAUGUCUACAGCGGUCAAGACCGUGCUUUCCCAACUCCUCCCCUGCCUUCUCUAAUUAAAUGGGAAAACUCAUAAGGAUCAUCAAAUGGAACAUUUUUUGUUACCAGGAGCAGAAAACAAGUUCCAAGAUGUCAUGUGUAUAUCUGUAUGCACGCCCACAUUGCAUUUUGCUCCACAUCGAAAUCAACUUCAGACCAUAAAUCUCAGGAUCAAAUCCAUGCUAUAUAAUGUAGAAAUCAAGCUCCAAGAAGUAAUGUCUCCAGUCCCAAGUGACAUUACUGGCAUAUUUAUAAGCCAUAUCCCGCUUCACAUAGUGAAAUUCAAUGUAAACUCUAAAUUUGAAGAAUUCAAAAUCCAAGCUUCUACCAUCAAAACAGCUCAUCUAGAAUUGGGGCCUGCUCCCGAUUCAAAACUAAUCGGUAGACGGGGAAAAUCAUAGAGUAAAUUCAAAGAAAAAAGUAAACUACUGCACAAAUCAAGACAUUUCCAUUGACCAACAGAUUGAGAACACGGAUAAUGAUUUUUUACCACAUCUAUGCACCCAAAGAGGGCGCCUUCAUCCCUAAAUAUCACUAAACACCAAGAAUUGACAAUCUUUACUUCCACCACUCACACUUCAAUCAACAUAAAUCACUUAAGUUGGAGCUUAAUCAAGUUGCCACAUCCCAAUAAGCAACCUUUCCCUUAACGCAAAUGCAAACAAUCAAAAUCCCAUUCCCCAUUUAUCUCUCACUCUCUAGGGUUUACCGAAUCUUGAUCAAACAAAAAAAGCUCAAGACUUUCAAUUUCUGGGUCCUAACCAGUCAUCAAAAGCAUGCAAACCAACCCAUCAAGUUCCGAAUGACAACCCAAUUCACACAAUUAAGAAAAUCGAUAAAAGACAGUAGACAAGAUAAGAAAGGAGUCAGUAAGUUACCUGAGAUAAAAAGAAAGAAAAUCUGGUUUGAUAAGGAGAGAGAACAGAUAGAGGGAGAGGGAGAGAUAUAUAGAAAUGACAGAGAGAGAUGCCGUGUCUGCGUGCUAUCUCUCUGUGUAUUUUGGAGCUGACACCUGAAUUUAUAUUACACAAGAUCAAAAACUCUCUCUCUCUCUCUCUCUUCCCUGUCAACUAUGUAGUGUUGUGGCCAGCGUAGGACGAGGUUUGCAAAAAUUAUUCAGGUUUUUCUCCUCUGUACAUUUUUUUUUAUCUCUCUUUUUACUGGUGCGGUGGGCUUUUUACUUUUUACUGUUGGUAAAUUGGUUGGUAGCAGCACAAAUUAUUACUGUCUGACAAUGUGGUAAUUUUUUUUAUUGCGUUUAAAAAUCACAUUUCACUUCUAAAAAAAACCCUUCUAGUCAAGUCAGGCUGAAACAUAAAGUUUUGGAUCCAACAUCCAUUUUAUGAAUUAAAAAAAAAAAAGCAUAGAUAACUUGCUUAAAUUUGAUUUUGAAGGGAGCGUGAUGAAUUUUUUAUGUGUGUUUGUUGAUCUAUAAUCUAAAGGAAUCGAUUAAUUUUUUCCAAUUAUUACUUAAAGUAUGAUACUUAUUUAAUAAGUUUAUUUUUAAAUUAGUUUUUAUAUAUUAAAAUUAAAUUUCUUUAAAAACAAAUAUAAUUAAAUAUCCACCUAUAAAUUUAUAAUAAAUUAUUUUCGGACUGCAAAGCCGUAAUAUCUUUAAUUAUCUUCAGACCACUCAUCCAAGGUUUAACCAAAACUAGGAGUUCAGGCUUAUAUAUGAACUCGAAGAGUACUGCUAAGUGCUAACUCCUUGGCAAUUCCAAAUCAUAAAAUUCAUUAAAUUAAAAUAGUAUAAAUAGAUUGCUUCCUCUCUAACCAUGUUGAAAAACACUCCCCGCCGGCAAAAGCAGCCAUCCCACCUUCCUCAGAAGUAGCCUUAAAUUCAUCAAUGAUAGACUCUUUGGCAGAUAACACCAUUCCAGAACCAGCUAGAUUUUCAAACAGGGAUACUGGAUAUAGAGAGAGAGUUUUAUUAGCCCGUGACCUAGCUGCACGGGAGAGAUCAGAGAGCUCUCAAUAUUAUGGGGUUUUUUCGGUUCAAUAUAGGAUUGUCAACCUUAUCAGUCAGUCGCGACUUCAUUCGUCUCCUCGUCAGUGCCUGCCAUCAUCAAACUCCAUAUUUUCAUCAAUCUGAGCUACGAGCGAGUUCAAUGGAGUGUCUUCAGUUACAGCAACAAAAAAUUGAUGAAUUUAUGGAGUUUGAUGAUGGUUAAUGGGUUAGCAUGUAACACGAUGAUGGUUGUUAGGUUCUGUUUGGGUUUUGGUUGUUUUCCCCUCGUGGGCUCUAUUUGAUUUUUGAGUUAAAUGGGUUAGACUAGGAUAGGCUGUGGGUUUGGGCCUUUUCUAUUUAAAGCCGGAGUUCCUAUAUUAGCUAGCUAAGAUAUUAAGCUCCGUACGGUGUCGGUUGUUUUUAAACUGCUCAUAACUUUAAUUUUUUUUUUUUGGUUUUCAUUGGUUAAAUUUGUUUUUUCUUCUUAAAUUGUGAUAAAAACUUGAGUUUAAUAAAAGUUAUAAUUUGUAGCAUUUUUAAACUUAUUUUUUCAAAUAACAACAAAAAAUAUACCGCAAUACCAGACAUGAACAUGUUUGUUUUUAUGUUUUAAAAAUAUUUUUGAAAAAAUUUAAAUUUAUUUUAUUUUUUUAUUUACUUCAAAUUAAUAUUUUUGGAGUUUUUAUAUCAUUUUGAUAUGUUGAUAUCAAAAAUAAUUUUUAAAACAUAAAAAACAUUAUUUUAAUGCAUUUCUAAUUGAAAAACAUUUUAAAAAACAACUACUAACAAACUCACAAACAAGAUACCCCAUUAUUAGCAAUAGAGAUUUUAGCGUUGACCUCUCUUCUACGAUUGUGUUCGCAUGAAUAUAAGAACCAAAUUCUUUAUUAAUUAUUUUAAUUAAUAUAGAUGUUGAAACUAUUUACAUAUAUCUUAAUUAAUUUUAGAUUUAAAAUUAACAAUUAUAUAAAAUUUUAUUUUCUUAAUUACUAUGGUUUUGAUCUAAGAUCAACUCGAGUACAAAAUCUGAGUGGUCAGACAAGGACUUAACAAUGUCCAGGGCCCAUCAGUUAGUGCAUGCAGGUAUCAAUCAAAUUAGACAAUUGAACCAGGAAGAAUUCAUUGUCUAAAUCAAUGGCACCGAAAGGUACUCUGGCUCCAUUCCAUAUUGUUCUUUAUCUAGUACGUCAUAGUGCUUUAUAAUCCACACUAGGACCAAAGUCUUGAUAAUUCCCAUGGUUUCUGUAAGGAUUUUCUGAAACCUUCUAAUAAUUCAACGACUUUCUAUUUUCCUUUUCCACAACAAUCAUGCACGUGUGCAUCUCCUUCUUCUUCACCCCAAUCUCUUCCGUACAAUGUCCAUUCAAAAACUGGUUAGGUUUCCCAGUCACAGAGUCAACUUCUAUACACUCUUGACAUGCACUGGACUGAAUUUAAAAUCCUUCCAUGUAACUUGUAAUGCAACAGAACCUAGUCAGCAUCCACCAAGUGUUCAUGAUGAUUCAAUAAUCAUUCAAAUCACAGGAUGAUAAUAUCAAAAAUGUUAAUAAACUAUGAUAUCUUAUGUACAAAAUCUUUCUCCACCCUAAAAGAUCUCCACCAUUUCUGCAAUAGUACUGUUAACUCCUAUCCAUCUCUCUCCAUCUCGUUAUGUCCUUCACUUUGUUAUGUAAAAGGAGGUUUCGGUUAAAUUCAUAAUUUUCUUCACAGUGAUCCUUGGAUAUCGAUGUCAGCUUUACUGCAACAUUUCAUGUUUCCCACCUUUUUAAUUAUUCGUUACUUGACCUGUGCUUGAUAUAGAGGUCAGCUUUAUUUCCUCCAUUCUUCUAAUUCAGUACAAUCAUAUAGUGGAAGAAAGAAGAUCAUGAGAUGGAGGGCUUCUAUAUUUAUACUCUAGCUGGCUAAUUAAGCAAGUUUAGUUAAUGUAACUAUUUAGUAACUAAUAGCGUAUUGUGCAGGCUUCUAAUUCUGCAAUAACAAACCUUUAGACUGGAACCGGCCUAAUGGGUUGACUUGGUGAAUUGUUAACUCUAGCCCCGACGGGGGACGGCAAGUGGAAAAACCAGAUUUUUCUUUUAUCAAAAUAAUAUUGUUUUGUUUUCUUUUUUCUUUUUCCAAAAAAAAAAGUGAAAGGUUGAGUUGAUCCUCGUCAACCUCUGAUCUUGGACCACAACCAUUGAGCUGAAUCUCAUAACUAUGCUCUUCUAGGUGGUGAUAGUGCUAGAAGCCGAGGUUGUCACAGUAAUAAAUUUCCUAUUGAUUACUGCAACAACAUUAAAUAUGAAAACCACUUUGAUAUUAAUGGAUGUGUUGCUACUGGGAGCAAAAUCAACUAGCUUCUUAGCAUAUUUUUUUGAGAAAUUCUUAGCAUUAACUGUUGAUUGAACUUGAACUUUAUAUAGAAAUUAACAUUCUGACAAGAUCAUCAAUUCUUUUAUUGUGAUCUAGUUUAUCUUGUAAGGAAUAACAAUUUAAUAAGAAUAUCUUGUGCUUUGAAAGUAUAUAAGAUCAUGGGUUUAGAUCUACAAAACCCAGCAGCUAGCUCUUAUGUCAGAGUUAAAAAAAUACAUCACUACUAGCCAAGGACAUGAAAUAAAAGCCAGUCAUUCUAACUAGAUAAGAAAAACUAAUGGUGUCUAGAUUUGUGAUGCCUGGGUCCACAGUAAUCUUCAUGAAUGCUCGGUAACCAGUGAUGUGAAGAUUUCUUGGACACUGAUCUUUUCUUCAUGGUACCUAUACAAUUCCCUUCUUUGCAGAGAAUGGCUUCUUGUCCAAGAACCCUAGUACUAAUUUCCUUCAAAGAAGUAUUGUUAUUCGCCUGCACAUCACAAGAACUCCCAUCAGAACUGAAGCUGAUAUGAAAUACUAAAAAGAGUCAUUAAUUUUAAUGCAUCAUACAGUGUGUAAAGAACUGAGCACCCACAUGAACCUUUUGAGCUCCAACUUGCAUGAAUCCUUUUCCAAGCGAAUCCCUACACAAAACAACAACACAUGUUCAAACCUAAAGACAUACAAAGCAAAAUCAGGUCUCUUAACUUAACACGACUGAUAUUUUUGGCAUAUAUACCUUGAGACCCUUGAAGGAGAAACGAAAAAAGCAGAAGAGAGACUACGUACUAAAAGAAGGCCUCAUUCAGAAAAACAUUGAGAAGAAGAGAUAAGAGUAAUUAAGAGAAGGAAAAGAUCAAGCAGUUCGCUAUAUAUUUCUGAAGUCUGGUACAGAAGCUACGGAUUAAUGUGGGUUUGGCCGAAUUCUAAGUAAUUUUAGAACUUGUAUUCUGUAGAGAUUGUGCAUGAAUGGAUUAUAAAUACUGUAGCUGGAGGGUAGGUUAAUUAUAAACACGGUUUUUAGGGCCACAAAGCACGUAGUUCUCCAACAUGAAACUGUAAUAGAAAACGGGAUUUUUCUUCCACUACCUUUUGUUUUUCCUCUGUCUUUCUAGUGUAUAGUGAAAAAGUUCCUCAAGAGAGGUAGUGUGAUGGUAAAGAACUUGAAAUCUACAUAGCAAGUUUUGAAUUUGAAUCAGGACGUGUAUUUUUUGUAAGAGUCUGGUAUAAUUGGGGUUUUACUCACUCACUUGGACCCACAAAAUACGCUUCAAAUUAUUGAAAUGACUAACCAUUGAUUAGGGCAUCCUACUAAAUUAAUUCAAUUAAAAAAAAUGAAAAGAUAAUCAGCCUUUAUUUUCAAGUGGGCGGGGUUAAAAGCUUAAUAAUGGUGUCAAAUUCAAUAUAAAAUCAACAAUCUUUAUGUUUUGUCUUAUAUAUAUUAACCUACAUAGAAAUUGUUUACUUAGAUAGAGUUUGUUUAGGAUCUCGGGAUAGAAGCAACGAAGAUAGUUGGAUAGAACAUACCUGUUUCUAAGUUUUUUUUUAAAAUGACUAAAAUUUAUUUUAAAAAUAUUCAAGAUAGAUUUAUUUUAUAUUUCUGUUUUUAUUUUUAACCAAAUAUGUGUUAUAUUUUUCCUGUUUUUAUUCCUAUUAUCUUCAAACACCAACCAAACAUAAACUUGUUUUUGUUUUUAUCUUUUUAACUAAAUAUAUUUAUGUUUUUCUUGUAUUUAUCCUUAUUAUCCUUAAACACUAACCAAACACAAAUUUAGAACAAAAAAAUAUAAAUAUUGCAAUGAUUUUACAACAUGAAAAACUUUAGGGUGACAUCAGGAAAUCUAUCUGGGAGGGAAACUAAACAUUUGGUGAAAGAAAUUGAAAUUUGACAAGAAUCGACAAUCAAUCAACUAAUUAGGAAAACAUGUUUUUGGUUCUUUAGCUUGACAUAAAGACAAUACUGCUGGUAACUAUUUUUCUUGGGUUUCCAACAAUAUGCUUGCUAGACAGUUUCCGUAUCUUGGCAUGCGCCUAAAUGGAAAGCCGAUAUUGGUAUGCGACAAGAAUACUUAAUUUGAGCUAACAAUAGAAUAUCCAAAGCAAAAAAACAUGGUAUUACACUUUGAAAAGUUCUGUUGUAAUUAAAUAUGCACGAUCCAGAGUCUUAAUGACUAGGAAUAUCUACUCUGCUUUUAGUUAACUCAAAUUGAAAUAAUAAAGAUAAUUCCUGCCAUGAUAUUGCAUGGGCCUGCAGCCAGUGGUGAUGCCACUUAGGAAAAAUUCUUUAGAACUACUUAUUUACUUCAGCGCAAGAUCAAUCUUCUUUUGAGUUUUGAAGAGCAAAAAACAGUACAGCAUACCCAGCAAUAUCUGGGAUCUGUCAACGAAUAUUAUCUGUCAAAAAGAUACACAGCAAUCGAUAAAGAAACAAGUUGAGUCACAAAUUAGUGUGGAUGAGACAAAGAGAAAUAUGUUAUUAGAAUAUAAAUGUUGAAUUUGUAAUUAUAUUAAUCAUCAUCAAACUGCAUCAUAUCAAGUCUCAUGUCUGCAUUAUAAAUACUGUUAAAUCAUAGACAUCGGUUAUUAUGAAUCCUAGAAUUAGAAAUGAAACUAAACUUCACUCACCGCAGCCACAGGUAAAUCCACCGUCAGGGUGAUUAAUCCUGGAUACCAGUGAACAAAGCCUGCCACUGUUGACAGGAUCUGCAGCACAAAUAACAAACAGUUUAUUAAGAGUAUAUAUCAUCAAUGUCGUCGACACCUUGACGGGUCUAUAUAACGAGCUGUAAACAUUCAAAAUGUGGCAAUGUGUCAUGUGGAAGGAUUGGAGAAUUAGUAAGGGAAUAGAAGAUUUGUUAGAGAAAGAAGGAGAUUGAAUCAGAGAACGAACAUCGAACACACCUCAUUUCAAAAAUAAAAUAUAAAAUUAUGAAUGAGGUAAUCAAUUAUAUGUUUUAAAAGCAUAUGUAUACGAGCAUCAGCUAUCCAUUAGCAAAUUCCAGAGAGUGGAGCUUUGAGCAUGAUUAGUGAUUUUUUUAUUCCGACACAAGCAAAAAGAUAGAAAAAGGAAUUGAAACACACACACACACACGAACUAUGAUUUCAGAACGAGAGAUUCAAGGAAUAUCUUGGAAUGGUGACGGGGGACAAAGCGUUUUCAUGAUUCUUUUUUUUUUCUUUAUGAAUGGGAUCAAAAUUUUAUGGAGUAGAAAAUAAAAGCAGUACAAAUAGAAUUACAUGUUCUGCAAAAUAAUGGUCAUUGAUCAAUGUAACCGAAGCAGAUGGAUACUCGUCAAACAAAGAGCGGGAACCUAAAGAAAAAUAACAGGGCAGUGAUAACUGAUCCUCUCAUCAAAACUAAAACCCUCAAGUGAAUCACAUGUUGUGGAAACGUACGUACUUUGUGCUAAUAAAUAAAAAAAGAUGGAAUUGUUGAAAGAAUUGUUAUUGAUUAUGUAUCUUUAUAAUAUGAAGAUAUAUAUUUAUUAUCCGUAUUAUUUAUCGACAAGCAGUAGUUAUUAAAUCUAUAGUAAAUUAAUACAUUUUUAGUAUCAAUACAAAUUAUAUUAAUUAAUCAGACUUGACUUGAAAUCUAACCUCAAAAAAAUCCUAGUUAUUGGAUCUUUGAGUCAAUCAAAAUUAUAUUUUUAUUUAAAAUAAUAUUAUUUUAAUUUUUUUUUAAUUUUUUUAGUAUUGAUGUAACCAGAUCUAGAUAAAUUUUAGCUAGUUCAAUAUUAAAAUUAAUUAAAUUUUAAAUUCAUUCUAAGUGAGAUAUUGAGUCUUGGAUUUUCAUCUUGAUGGACCAAGCCGAAUUAACAUCUAUGAUACAAAGGCAUUGAUAUAUAGUCAAUUUAGUAGCCAUAUUAAAAAAUUUAUUUUGAAAAAAAUCUCAACCUAAUUAAUUCCUUUUUAGAAUAAAGUAUGUUGUUUUAGAAUGAUCAAAUGACUUGUAUUUACAGUGUUAAGUGACCAAUAAUUAAUUUUUUAAUUAUUUAUUUAGAAAUUUCAAUGAAUCUUUUGUCUGACAUAUUUAUCUUCAUCAAUCUCAUGUCUUGCCAAGAUACAUGAGCUUACUCUUGAUGAUAUCUCGAUUAUUAUUAAAAAAAAAUUAACAAAAAUGAGAUUACUCUUGAUGAAUUUUCACAAGUUUUCAACAUGCCUUGUCGAUGACAAUCCAAUUGCGCAGCGUGUGAAAUACAAACAGCUAACAACUCCAUUGUCAGCCCACUAAAAGGAAUUUUUCGCUAAGAUGUCUCACAAAGAAAGUAUUAAAGGUAAGAAAAUCCUCGACGGACACCAUUGUCAGCCCAAAGAUAUAGAUACGUUUGUCUUCCACGUACACCAAUUACAGCUCUCGGCACACUACCUUUUGCAUUCAAUAAGUGAAACAUUUUGGACCGACCCAAAAUCCCUUUUGAAAGAAAGAAAACAAACAUCCAGGUCCUGGUAACAUAAAUGAAGAACACCAACUUCAUUGAGCAAACCACAGUUGCUUCCUCUGUAGUAUAUUCACACCUACUUCCUUAUACACAUAGGCCGUUUUCGUUCCUGAUGCCUAUAUUUUGCUUCAAUAAUCUGUGGUCACUAAAUUGGAGUGAUAGGACUUAGGAGACCUUUGCUAUCGACCUAGCUAGCACCCGCCUCCAAAUACAUUUUGAUUUUGAUUUUUUUUUGGGUUGGGGGGGAGGGGGGGGGGGUGCGGGGGGUUGAAUUACAUGGUUAUUUACUUGGUAGAAAUAUUUUGCUAUUAUUUCCUUUUAGAACUUCUCAUUGAUUGGUAUUUCGGCUCAACCAGUGCAAAUCUUUUUUUUCAAUAAUAGUCUAGGAUUUAAUAAAAUUAAUGCCAGUGUCAUAUGUGUAAGAGAAUUUCUUAUCCUUUUUUGUUCUUGAACGAAUUUAAUCUGGUUUAUGAAAAAUUAAUUAACUUCAUAUAUGUUAUUUGAUUUUAUUCUAAUAAUGUUGAUGCUAAAAAUAAAUUUUUAUUAUGUUAGAUUUCUAUUAGUUCUAUUUCAAGUUUCUAACAUUAGAUUUAUAUCUUAAACGGAUUGCAUAACCAUGUGAUUCUUACUUUUAAGAUUCAACUUAAUAGAGAGUUAAUACUUUAAAGGGUUAAUAUUUCACUGUAAUGAUAAGAUAGAGCGUGAAACACAAUUAAAAACUCGUUGAAACUUAACUUGAAUUAUAUAUUUAUAUUAUAUAGUUAUAUUUGAAGAAAUUUUUAUUAUAUAUAUAUAUAUAUAUAUAUAUAUAUAUAGAGAGAGAGAGAGAGAGAGAGAGAGAGAUAUGCAAUGAAAUGAUAUUAUAAAUAAUAACUUCCGCAGUUACAAAAUCUAGUCAGCUUCCACAAAAUACUCAUGAUGAUUCGAUAAUCAUCAAAAUCACAGUACAAGAAUAAUUAUAAUAUCAAUAAAAUAUGAUAUCAUAUGUACAAAAUCAUUCGUAGCUAGCCCUAAAAAGCUGCAGCAUUCCUGUGAUGCUGUUUAACUUAUAUUCACUUUAUUAUAUCUUGAAAAACUUAAUUAUCUCUCCCUCUCUCGUUAUUAAUUUGUACCUACUGCACUUAAUUGUGUAUUGGAGAUUUUCUCCUCGCUGGAGAAUAGUCCAUUUGAGUUAAGUCCAUAAUUUCCUCAUAGUGAUCCUCGUUGACUUUAUGGUCAGAAUUCCGCCAAGAAUUUACCAAUAGUUUUUCACGUUCUCCCACUAUUUCUCCUUUACUUGAUCUCCACUUGGAUAUGGGGCCAGCUUUAUUUCCUUCGUUAUUCUCCUUCUUCACAAUCAUAUAGAGAAGGUAAGAAGAAAAGGUAGGAGGUCUUAUAUACAUACAUACAUACAUAUGUAUGUAUGUAUGUAUGUAUUAUUUCUAAGGUCGAUAUUGAAACUGCUAUAUAACAUUUACAUAAUAACCAACCUUAGAGGUGGUGAUAGUAGUGCUAGAAGUAGAGGUUGUCACAGCAAUAAGUUUCCUACCCAUUCCUGCAAGAAUAUAUAUAGAAAAUGAUUUAGGAUAUAUGAUUGGAUGAGGUGUGGUCAACAUUUUCAUUGCUCGUUGUUCAUGUGAAGCUUCUACUCAAAACAUUAAGGACAAGACCCCAUUUAAUGAUCGAAGCUAGUUUAAUCGGUGAAGAUGAAAAGUUUGACAAUCAAUUUCUUGGGGACAAAUUUCCUUUUUAGAGUACUAAUAGUAUACGAUCAAGGGUUUGAAUCUUCUAAAACCCAGCAUCAGAGACUUCUAAAAUAAAUAAAAGUCAGGCAUUCUAGCUAGAGAAACUAAUGGUGUUUAGGUUUGUGAUUCCUAGGACCGUAGUAAUCUUCAUGGAUGCUUGGUAACCAGUGAUGUGAAGAGUUCUUCGACGCUGAUUUAGAAACUCUUUUUUCCGUACUGGUAAUGGUACCUGUACAAUGCUCUUCUUUGCAGAGAAUUGCUUCGCCAAGUACACCACCAUUAGCACUUCUUUCUUUUAAAGAACUCUUGUCCCCCUGCACAUCAAUCACUUUCCCAUCAGAACAGUAUUCACUUGAAUGCAUCACGAUAUGUGUAAACUAAGCAUCAAGAAACUGAACAACCCACCUGGACUUUCUGAGCUCUAACUUGCAUGAAUCCUUUUUCCAAACGAAUCCCUACAGAAAAUAUCAGCAGUUGUUAAGACCUAAUGACAUGCAACGCAAAAACAACUCUUUACAGCUUUAAAUGAUUGAUGUUUUCAGCAUAUUUAUGUAUACCUUGAGCCUCCUGGAGGAGAAAGGACAAAAGCAGAAGAGAAACUACUAAAGAGGGCCUCAUCUGGAGAAGAGAUUGUAAACAAGUAGGAAAUGGGUAUCGGUAUUUUAAAACUUCGUCUAAGGCCAGGUGUUGAAGAAGAUACAGAAUUAAUUUGGAACUGUAGUGUUCUGUGGAUAUUGUGAAUGAAUGAUAACAUCGGAAGAGGGCCACAGGUUAGAUGUAUAAAUGUGCAAGGUUUUUGGACCCACAGGGAAGCUCUCCAGCAGGAACUUUCAUAAGAAGGGGGCCGGAUUUUUCUGCCACUGUCUUUUGUUUUUCCUUUGUCUUAAUUUCUAGUGUAAAGUGCAGCCACUUGUCAAAGGAAACGACUAAUCAUUGAUUCAUUAGGGCAACCAGCUAUCUUAAUUCAACAAGGAAAAAGUGAAGCUUUGUGGGCCUUAGUUUAACGUCAUAUAAUUUUCUUGCAUAAUUAAAUAAAUAAAUCUAAAAUUAUAAUUUUGAUGCAUUCGUAUUUAUGUUUCGAUUAAGAAUAGAUUUAAUUAUGGAAAUAAUCAAAUUGAUUGGUCAAUCAUUUAAUACAUUGUGUUUACUUUUUAGACAUCAAAAUUCAAAACUUUAUAUUAAAUCAUGUGCUUGGUUAUGUUCUAUAAGAUCGUGAUAUUGCAAAAAAGAGUGUUCAAAAGAGAAAUUAACUUUUAGAAUUUUCCCUAGUUGAAAAAUUAGGUGAACUAGCACAGCUAGACUUCUUUUUUGUACAUUUCCGGACAUGCCCUGCUCUUUUACGGUAAUGAGGAUCUUGAGAAUUCUCUGCCAGUUUUGUCUCAUUGAGCACAAGUUGAUCUUCCCAAAUGCAUGCUAACAUCCCAUUACAUGAGUAAUAUUUGUCUCGUUGUGUUUUACAUCUCAACUAAAUGGUUUGCUAGCGCUAUAUAGAGAACGUUUGGGAACGCGGCUACGACUGUGUUUUCAAAAAAUUUAAAUUAUUUUUUUUUAUUAAAAUUUAAUAUGAUUUGUACGUUUUGGAUCGUUUUGAUGUGCUGAUGUCAAAAAUAAUUUUUAAAAAAUAAAAAAACAUCAUUGACAUACAUUUUGGCACGAAAAGUUAUUUGAAAAGCACCCGCAACCACACUGCCAAACACGCUCAUAGUAGCAGGUAGGAUUAAUUUUUUAUUACGUUCAUUCAUGCUUUGAACAAGAAGAAAACAUCUUAAGGGCUACUGUGCCCCAUGCUACUACCGUGGGUAUAUAUUUUUUUUUUAACCGUGAAUAUCCGGGUCAGUUUACACACAUCUCGACUAAUUCCUUGAAGUCAUGAAAUUAAUAAUCAGGUAAGCCUCUAGUAACCUUGAAUUUGUGGCACUCGAACUAGUAAUCUCUAAAAAAUAAACUCAAAGCCUGACUAGUUGAGUUACACCCCUCAGAGUUGAGUCUAUUUUCAUUUAUUACGUUUACGGGCUAUAACUGAGACGUUUCUCCUCUCCACCAAAUACGGGUUAUGUGACAUAUGAUAUGUCCAUCCUUUUUCUAUGAAAAUAAAUAAAUAAAUUUGAGUGUUCUAAGAAAAACUCAAAUUCAAAAUUCCAUCAAUUUAUAAUUAAUGUUUAUAUGUUAUGAAUCUAGGUAUUCUAGGAAUAUUACUCCUCUACCUACAUGAAAAUAUGGCCUAUCAUGCUCGUAGAAUCUAUUUUAUUACAGGUGAGAAAGUAUUGUUAUAGUUGUGGUUUUGAUUAAGAAUUUGAAUCAUUAGGUUGAUGGUUCAAUCUCAAAAUAAUAUUGCUUCCAUGAAUUUUUUAAACUAAACAAUAUUAUUUUAAAUAAAAAUAAAAAUAUAAUUUUUAAAAUUGACCCGACUAGAUCUCAUUUGAUUUUAGUCAAAUCAACUGAAUCAUAAAUUAACCCCCUAAGGUUGCUUGAAUUUAACAAAGAUAAUGUUCAAACUGGUUUAAAAAAAAUUGAUCCAACCUAAAUUCCAGGUUGGUAGAACAUUGGGUCGACUCAAAUAUUCCCCAUUCAAUUAUAAUAAAUACUCUAUUGUUUUUUAAAGUAUGGAAUUUGGAGGGUGUUUAAAUGCAUUAAUACUAUAUCAAUUGAUUUUAACAAUCCUAAUUUUAUUAUAUUGUUUGAUUUUCAAAUUAAAACACAUCAAAAGUAGAAUAAAAAUACCGUGUGAAAAAUUUGACCCCUAAAAUUUGUAAAAAAAUACCAAAAAAUUAUUAAAUUAAAGAAUGUGUGUCUGAGUAGAACUAUUACCAACCAUGCAUCUCACAUAGAAUAAUGUUAUCAACUGUUACAGUUUUAAAACCUGAUUUGGAACAAGGAUCGGGUCAUGGAUUAAUCCAAAAAAAUAAGAGUUAACGAGUUGAUAGCCGGAUUAGUUAAAGUUUUUUUUUUUCUAUUUUUUUUACAACUUGGACUAAUCAACAUCUCGGGUUAAUUGAGUCUUAGAUCAACCUGUCAAGUUAGCCUGAAUUUAUUAUUUAAAAAUUUGCAUAAGACAAUUAGCAACCGAUUUUUUUAUUGGAAAUUUGUUUGGGAAAAAAUUUACCAAUCGAUUUUCCUAAUUUUACUAACCAAUCUUCCUCUUUCCAUCCAAUACAUAUAUUUUUAGUGUUUCUGGUUGGUGGUUGAUUAUCAAUCUUUUAUAUUAUUUUAUAUAUUUGUAUUUCUUUAGCAUGAUAUAUGUUUCAAUAACAUUCUCCCGCAGAAUAUCUACAAAGAUAGCCCUCCAUAGAUUUUUUUAGUCACUAAUGCACGUAUUCGCCAUUUCAUGGAAAGGUUUCCACAUGGUCAUUGUAAAACAAAGAAAAAAAUGAUGCAUGUAAUUAUUUUGUGUUUAAAAUAUGAUGCAUGUAAUUUUGGAGUGAUAGCUGCUAUCGUGGGAUUCAGGAAGGAAACAAAGAGAAUUUUGAGAUUUUAUUUAGAAUCGACAAUCAGUCCAAUAUCUGCAACAUGUUUUCAGGUUGUUAGUUUUUGUCUUGUAAGAAUCCUACUCAACUUAACAGGUAAUCAUCCUUGGCUUUCUAGCUAGUGCUAAUAUAUAUAUAUAUAUGCUCAUGGAAGACAAGAUCUAUCGCUUGCCAGCUAUAGUUUCUCUAUUUUAUUGUGUAGUGGAAAUUAGCAGAUAUUGGUAGGCGCUAAGUUAAAUAUUUAAAUUAUCAUUGAUUACCAUCUAAUACAAACAAUAAUACGGUAGCACUUUGUAAUUAACUACUAUAUAUUGUUAAUGAUACAAAUAAUGUACUAAGCAUUAAUUUCACUCAAACACAAAUUAAAUACAUUAUUCCUUCCAUAAAAUAGUAGAAGCAUCCAAAUUCUAAUUACUAUAGAAUAUGGACUCCAUUUUAGUGAUAUCACAUUGGGAAUAUUCUUUUAGAACUUCUAAUUUAAUUAUAUUAUUAAUUAGUACGAGUUCAAUCGAUAUUCUUUGGAUAUUUGAAGAGCGAAAAAGAGUUUUCUUUAUAUGGAUACUUGGGGUUUUUGCAACUGAAACCAUGAAUUUUUAAAAGAUGAACUAUAUAUCUUCAUGUUUUUUAGGUUUUAAUUAAUGAAUUGGACUUUAGCCAUCAGUUUUUUUGAAACCUAUACAAUUGUUACUCUUUUAGGUUUUAUGUUUUUUGAUCACUUGUUAAAAAUUAAAAAAUAUAUAUAUACUUACAAAGAAUAAUGUUUAAGUUUUAGAAGCUAGCUAGGGACCGGACUGAAGUCUUUUUUUUUUUUGUGCUCUCAUAGAUAUAAUUACCCUUUUUUCAUGUAAUUUCAUCACCAACGUUAUUCAUAUUGAGAAAUUUCUAUAUCAAAAUAUUCUUCUUAGUAUUAUAAAUUAAAGCAUAAUGUGAAAUAUUCUUUUUGAUUCAAAUUAGUCGAAACUCAUGAUAUUUAUUUCAAAGAGGGGUAUAUCUAUCAAUUAAAAUAUGCAUUUGAUUUGGGAAAAAAAGAGGCGUUGCUACAUAAUUUAACACACAUUUAUUAAUUUGUCUUAGUCUAGAACAAGGUGAUUUGUCCUAAUUACAAGGGAUCAGUGGACAUAAUUUUUUAUAGUUGGAAUAAACUAAAGAUACCAAAAAAUAAGCAAGAGAUUAACGAUCGGCCGACCAGGAGACAUCACUUGUUUCUCGGACGCAUUGGAACAGGUUGGAGCACUUAUCAAAAGGGCACUCCAUUUUACUGUGGAUACAUGCUUUAUGAUAUCAUGUCUGGUUUUAACCGAACAAUGCAUCUUCACAGGAUGGAUCAUCCUUCAAUUGGUUGGGAAUUUCUUUCCACUUUGGAGUCCCUAAAUAAUUCCAACUUCUUGUUAUUUUAUAGCUUCAAUAAUAUAUUGUUUGAACUAGCUAGGGCAACUACAUUAAUAAACAUGCCUUUUAGCUACGUGGGAUCCAUUGAGAGAGCGGCUAUAUAUAUAUAUAUAUAUAUAUAUAUAUAUAUAUAUAUAUAUUAGGAUUGAAGCAUUUACGACUCUAUAGAUAUGGCUCAUGAUACUUGAUCAAAGGAUAUAAUAAUGUACCAAAGGAAACGCUAUCGAUCAAUUACAAAUUGUUGAGUGUUAUCCUUGAAUGUGUUUGCAUAUCUAUGAACUUCGGGUCCCUUGUGUCAAAAACUGCUGAAGAUCCCUUUAUAACUUGAGUUGUCCUAGCUCUCGGAAAAUGAAGAGGAGUUGUUACAUUUGAUACCUUAGUGCUCCAUGCAAAGAACAUGCUGGUGAAGUAGUAAAUGUGCAGAGUACUUUAUUUUUUUUAUAUUAAUUAAAAGUUAUAUUUUUUUAUCAGGUAAUUAGGAGAGUACUUUAUUUGAGUACUAAAGCUAAAGUUAUAUUAAUUUUACAACUAAUUUUUCAAUCCAAAAUUUUAGCUAAGAGGUUUAAUCUGACUAAAGCUAAAUGUAAUUAGGAGAGUAAUUUAUUUGAACGAAUGUCAACAGUUCUCUAGGAACCAUGCACGAAAGACUUUUAUCUCCUAAGAGAUAAGAUUAGGGUUUUGCUAUUAGGUAAGUCUCACUUUCAACCAGGGACUAAUGGUUGAAAAUGUAGAGAUUUGAGGAAAGACUAUCCUCCAUUCACUAUCCCCAUUAAGCCUCCUUAGUCCUUAUUAGAAGAAAAAUCAUAUGUGGAGAUGUUCUUCACCCGAUUGCCCCAUCACUUCUCUCUACCUAGGUUUUGUACUCGUUAUUGGAAGAGAAUUCCAUGACGACAUGCAUGAAACAAAUGAGCAUAAUAAUGUCCCCACGUCCUUUAUAACAUGAACAAGAUCGUCAAAGCAAGAGUAGGAACCCAUCUUCUCAGACACAAGUAAACAAAACUCAGUUAGUCGUAGAUGUUGAAUUUUUUGUUAACCUGUCUCACAAAGCGGGCCGGCAUGCAAGGCAAACAAAUCUUCCAUUUAUAUGUCAUUGACAGCACAGAGAUAUAGAUAUGAUGGCCUUGUUCGAUCAAACACACACGUCCCUUUCAAUGCCUCCCCAUACCUACGUGUUAAAACCCUCACAUAUUUUCGUGUUAACAUUAUCACAUGGGCAAGAGUCCCGCCAGCAGUGGCUGCUUGCGAUCAAGUCAGUAGGGUCAGGAUGGUCCGGCGAAGUUCACCGACAAUAUAGAUAUUAACUCAUUUGAUAGACUUGAUGCCGUUCAUGGAGUGCCAUAUACACGUGUGUGUGAGAGAUCACAAGACUGUAUUUGAUGUACACUGUAAUAAGAAAUUAACAGAGACAAUAGAAUACAUACCCUUUGUCAUGAACUGAGUAAGUGUUGAAUUGUCUAGAAAAAAAUUGUGCUGUAAAAAAUAAAUAGUUUUAUAAUCCAUGACAAACCUUAGGUUACUGUGUAGUAUCUCGUUCUACAUGUAAAUAUCGAAAACAAAAUUCUAUAAAAAGAAAUGGCAGGAGCGGCCCCUGAGGAACAAUCCCCAGUAACGAAUAAAUCAUCAGUUGGGGUAAUUUUGGACAUAAUUGAAUGACAUUUUCCCUACCUACUAGCUAGCCUGAUGAAAUUAAUCAUUAUUAACAAAAAACAAAAAAAAUAUUUUCUGACAUAAUUCAACCCCUUGUUAAAUUUCCAGGUGAUCGUUGUUCUUGUUUAAAAGAACAUAUUUUUGAGAAGGGUGAGGUGAUCAUGCAAGAAAAUGAAAGGAGAAUGUCUAAUAUUUGAGUGACACGAUCGUAGGCAAGCUCCAUUCGAUCGAGUGUCUGAACUCUGAAUGGGUAAAGAUCAUUCAGGUAAUGCAUUAUUAUUUGUAUUGGUUAAUUAACUUUAAUGGCUAUUGUUCUUGUAUAUAUGAAACUGGAUACAUUCUUAAUUCCCUGUAGAUUCCAUGACAGAACUUUGAUGAAGAGAAAAUGGCGAGGAGGAAUCACUAUUCCAUGACAGAACUUUGAUGAAGAGAAAAUGGCGAGGAGGAAUCACUAUUUUUUUUUUUUUUUUUGUAAUUUUGAACUUAGGACAGCUUAGGAGUAGAGAGUACUGUACCUAGCUAAAGCCCCAUAACCAAGAGGCCUUUCUUUUUCUUUAUACCCCAGCAGCAGCAGCUGCACCUCUAAUUUUAAUCAAAAUUAAACAAUUUUGAUACAAAUUAUUUUUUGGCCAUGUUUUAAAUUAAUAUUUAUUUUUAACUGAAAAUUAAUUUAAAUUAAUUCUUCCAUUUCCUAAUUUUUUAGCGAUUAAUCCCAGAUUUUUGCUAUAAAUAUGUUAAUAUCACUCCUUAUAAAAUUUUACUAUAACAUGAAUUGCUAGAAAAAAAAAUCAUUUUAUAAACUGACUCCAUAUUUAUAAAACACCUUUGACGUACGUACUAGCAUUCUUUCAUUAAGAUAUAAUAAAAGAAAAUUAAGAGCAUUCCCAUAUAUAUUACUUUUAAGUUCUUAAAAUAUAUCCCCCUCGGACUCUGUUGAUUUCUUGCUUUGGAUUGCAGGUCUUUUAAGGUGUGAAGUGACACCAACUGGUCAUCACAAGGGGAACUUUAAGCCCUCUGAACUUCGUCUGAAAUCUUGGAUGAACAACCUAUGGAACAAAGUUUUUCAAUGCUUAUGAAGCCGAUGAGUGCUGAUCAAUCGAGUCAAAAAGUUCAUUUCCUAUCCCAAAUCCAAGCAUCCUGGCCAUGUCACUGGUCUUCAGUCUAGGUUUUGGAACAUUAAUAUGCUGUUGCAAGCCUGCAACCAAGAGUACACAUCGAAAAUUAACUUUCUUCAUUGCAAACAAUUUCAGUGCCUCAGGAUUAAAAACAAUUCCUGAUUUCAUAUUUACCUGCCAGCAGAAAAUUUAAAAGUUCUGCCUUUCAAUCAUGCUCUAUUAGCUCCUUAAAUAAUAUGCAGUCUCAUCCAUUAUCUGUUAUCUGAUGAAGGACUAGCAUUGCUGCAUAACGAGCCAGCUCUCCAGCUCUCCAGCUCGCCAGUACAUCAAGACAGGUAACCAAGGAUAAGUAGCAUCAAGUCUCAAAAAUAACAAUGAUAGCAAUCCAAUGCGCAUGAUAUUCAAUAGAGUAAACCUUGAAGUUAGCAUUAUUCCAUAAUGCUAAGAAAAUACAAAUUUUCAAGCACAAAAAAACCAAGAUCCAAAAUUGAAUAAUUAAAAAGAAACGAAAAGAAGCAAUGCGGGAUAGAUCUAGAAUCAACAAAUCUUAAUCUUUAAUGGGGCUCUCUCCUUUUUUAAAACAAAAAAAAUGACUACAUCCAGACCAAAUCUGUGGUGUUUUUGUUUUUGUCUCAGUGUUCUGCAAGAAAAACAAUUUAGAGAUAGUGAGAGUUUUGGCAAUGAAAAAGAAACAAAUAUAGUAGAGAUCGGAGAAAUGUGGAUCAUUGAUUAUGUGCCUAUCCUCUCUCCUCCCUCUGAAACCUUUUUUUAUCCAUCAUGGAUCCCUUUUUUUUGCCUGACGCCUCCUUCGUUCCCCCUGCAUCUGUCAGUUUGCUUUAGAACAACAUCACCCUCUCCGCGUAGAUUUUUCUCUCUGAUCUGCCUUCUUUUUUUCUCCUUCCUUUCUCUGUUUUGUACUUGUUUUCUCUUCUAUGUAAUUAAAAGAAGAAACUGAUGGGAGAAUGGGUGGAAAACAUGCGCCCGUUAAAAAUACCAAAACACCUUCCACAAACCACAGAGACAUCCAACAGGUUGAAGUACAUAAUUAUUACUACACUAUUAAAAUUCAUAAUGAAAUUACCCAGUCCACAGUACACGCAUUCAUUUAGCACUUUUAGUUUUUUUUAAUGUUCAAUACCAAUAUAUAAAAUUUAGGCAGCGAAGUAGAUAUAAACUGGAAUUUUAAAACCACUAAAACCCAAGGUAUCCCUUUGCCAUAAAUUAUUUUCUGCCUUUCACAGCUUGCGGGAGCAAGCAUAUACAUGCAAUUACAUGGUUUUUAACUCGUGAUGGAGCUUUCUCAAAGUUCGGGAAACCUCACUUGCUGGUGAGACCUGAAUAAUCUGUUGGUGUAUAUGGUAUAAACAAGUCUGCUAAAAGUCCUUUCUUUCUUCUAGGAUUAUAUCCCAUGUCUUUGCAAAGCUGGUCAUUGUAAUAUAUGUUAAAGUUACUAAUACAAGCUCUCCUGAAGUAGCGGCCUGUAACUUGUUUGAUGUGAUCUGCCCACAUGUUUGCUUCCUCUUCCAUGUCUCUUAUACUUGGCAAUUCAAGGUUGCCAUCGAGGAAAUGUGAUAGCCAUACACUUUCGAUUUCAGAGUAACCCAAACUUGAGAAAUUCUCACUGUAUCCUAUUAUAGCCAAUUGAGGAAUUCGAGGAUGAAUUAUUUGUCUGCAGAAAUGACAAAGAAGGUGUCAUAUUAAUGUUAACCAUGCAAUAUCAAGCUGGAUGUUUGUAUUCAUUGAUCACUUUAAAGGACAUACAGAAAGAAACAUGACAAGAAAUACGAAGUUAGCAGACCUGUAGAGGGAAACUGUAGUGGUAGGUGACCCAAUUAUGUAGUUUUGGAAAACUGGAGACUCAAAAAUGUUUUUCAGUUUUUCAUCACCCUUGAAUCCUGUAGCAAAAAUCACAAGAUCAGUUUCAAAUGGACGAUUUUCUCCAUUUAUAAUUAGACCUUCUGGGAAGAAGCUUAAGCUUUGUGAAUUCUUGAUAAUGAUGCUUCCUUCUUCAACUCUGUCAUAGAAUUUGUCAGGCAGCAUCGCAAUCUGACAGGAAGAUAUAUCUUCAAGAAAGCUGGAUUUUGGUAACAUUCCAUACUUCUUCAGAGGAAUAUUCCAUCUAAGGUAGAUCUCAAUGAAUUUUGAAAUUCCCCAUCUCUGAAAAGCAAGAUAUUGGCAUCAUAAUUCAGAGCAAAUCACACAUAUAUAACAUUCAUGGACAAAGGCAAUUGCGAGAGUGAAAUAGAAGUUACCAAGGGUGCAAGUAAGGUGGCCAGAAAACUUAAUAGAAAUGUUUCACCAGGUUUAUAGACUAACAAUUCCGAGAAUCGAUUGUAGCACAGGAAAGCAAGCAGAAGUCCACUCAAAUUGUCACAGGGCAAAAACCAGUGGGCAUUCCUCUGAAUCAUUGUGCAAGGGUACAUAACUCCUGAAUGAUAGAUUAUAAUAAGGCUGUUUGAACUUCAAAUGACAACUAAGCAGUAUUCUAUGAAACAUUCUAUUCACUCAUUUAACUAAAUCCAGAGGAUGUUUUGAACAUCACAGACUUUAUUGCUCAUUAAAGUAAAAGUCUUUUUGAUAAUCUGAUAAAAGACUUAAAAGUAGGAAUAUUUGCUUGACAGAAUGUUUUCUUACCAUUUGCGUUGGCACAUUCUGCUGCUAUGUCAACUGCAGAUUUAUGAGAACCAACUACUGUAAUUCUCUUUGUUUUGAUCAAUUCUGAAGCAGUUGAAUUGUCUAGGGCUGAGAAGUCUUCUGAAUGCAUCACCUUGCCCUUGAACACUUCAGGUCCUUGAUUUGGAAGGAACUCUGGAAUAUUUGGAAGGCCACUGAAUUGUCCAAUGCAAAGAACUACAAAUUCAGCAUGAUACACCUGACCAACAUAAUUCACCAGUGAUUUAAUAUUUAUAUAUGUAUAAAAGAAAUAGCCACAACAAUAGCCCACAACAGUGGAUAUAGAAUCUUUCAAAAAAUAAACAUACUUGUAUGCUGCAAUUUUUUGUGUCUUGAACUUUGACAUGCCAUUUCCCUUUGGAGCCAAAGGGCUUGCCUGUCCCACUCCAAAGAGCCCAUGAAUCCAUCUCUUCGUUAGACUCUCCAAAAUACUCUAUACCAAUGACCUUGGAAUUGAACUUGAUGCAUGCAAAGAUAUUGAAAUGUUGUGCAUAAGAUUCCAGAUACUCCAUCACUUGAUUGUGAGUGGGAUACGUGUUUUUUAUCGAGGAAGGCCAUGGAAAAUCAGAAAACUGGUAAAUUUCUUUGCUGUUUUGGAGUCUGGUUGACUCUAGAGUAUGUGACCAAACUCCACCAAUUCGUUCUUCAGCUUCAAACACAAUCGGGUUGAGUCCGAUUUUGAGUGUGUUCUUACAGGCAAGAAGGCCACUUACUCCUGAUCCGAUGAUUACCACUCGUUUCUCCAUUAGUCCACUCUGAGAUCCGUUUAGGGUCAGGGCAUUAAAUACUAGUUAUGUCUAAGAAGCCAUCAAACGGUCUUCAGGAAAAUCAUCUAACAGUGCGUUCUUUUGUGCUUAUAUGGAUAGGUCGGUCACCUUAUCCAAAUAAUGUCGACCUUCAUAUAAUAAUAUCUCUCAGCUCAAACGGCCACCAUCUUGAUUGGCUGGGCUUGUGGGGGGUCAGAAGUGGAUGAUCGACACCUUCAUGUCUUCAAACAAGACACCAUCAUUUCUUCAAAUAAGACACUAAGCUCACACUACUUUGUUUCUGAGUGUAAGGCAUGUAGUCGGAGGUUGUCGGUAUGGAUGUGGGCAGUUUCUAAGCAGCCCAUAGUUAAGUAUUGGGUCAGGUAGGUGGCCCAAACAAGAAAAUGGACUGGACUAUCCUGCCAUUUCCAACCAUUCUGAUUUCUGGAUUUUUGAAAAUAAGAACUUAAUUUUCGCACGCGCGGUAAUCUAUCUUUCGAGUUUUUAAGUUUAUAUUAUAAAAUCAAUAUUUAAAAGAAUUUACCUUUUAUCAUUCUAUCUAGUUUCUUUGGGGUAACUUUUAAUAACCAGUUAGCUUAUAGAAUGAUAGUAUGUAUAAUUUGAUUACUUCAAAUUAUAAAAUUUAAUUGCUUGAUUUUUUUUUUAUAAUAUUCUCUAUCAUAUACAAAUUUUUUUAUAUAUAAAAUAUACAAAAAAAUUUCCAUUCUACUAAGGUUUCGAGUUAAACAUGUUGAUUCAUAAGUAAAUAAAUCAAUUUAAAUUUUAAUUUUUUUAUUUAUUAAAAAAUAUCCAAAUCAAUAUUAUUUUGGUAAAAAGAAAUUUUUUUUUCAUUAACAUAACCUAAAUCAAGUUUGGAUUGUCCUAUUAGACUGGAAUAAUUUUAAGAUUAAGUCAUUUUUUCAUUUUUUUUCCUCAUAUGAUACAAUGAUUGAAUGAAACGGUGCUUUCAUGCAAGAAUUUUAUACAAAUGAUUACAACAUCAUGAAAAUUUGUGAUCACAUACAACAUGGGAUUUGAUGAUUGCAUUAGAAAAAUCAAUCUUUUUCUUAAUGGUCUUCUAGAAGCAUUGCCAUUUAUUGGCCUAUAUAUAUAUAUAUAUUGUUGUUGCUGCUUUCAAGCAAUAAAUCAGCACAAAACUUGAGACGGAAACGAGUUGACUCUUGUCAAGGUGGUGAGCUCGGUAAUGGCAUUGUAAUACUCAGAGUAUGAAGACAGAUAUGGAUCAACCUUUAAUGGGCUGCCCCCAUGGUUAAAGGUGGAGAGCUACCUGGACUCUUACGACUAAGAGCGAGAGACUCACGGAGAAGUAAGGCGUGGUUCCUAGGGUGGAACAGAGGGCAGGCGCAACUCCUGGAUGAGUAGACUCUUGGAAGAGUGGUGAGCUCGUGAUCAUAUUGAGAUACUCAGAUAAUGACUGUCGCACUUGAGGGGGUGUUGUAAGCCUUGGUGUAAGGCUUGAUGAACCAUUCCGGACCGAGCAUGGUUGAUACGCUCGAAGGGGAAUGUUGUGUAUCCCAGAGACAAGCGUUAACACUCUUCAGAUGUGAUGUGGCAGACCAUCUGGUUGUAGUGAUCCUUUUGUGUGAGAAAAGGUGUGCUUUAGUGACUCUAGUGAUUGAAAGGUUUGGCAAGUACCUGGAAACUUGGCCAAAGAUGCUCUCAGAAUGGUAAGCUUGGAAGAGCUGCAAGAUGCAAGCCUGUGCUGAAGAAGCAAGAGGACAGUUGCCCCACAUGAAUGGCAAAGGGGGUGAUUGUUGGGUUGUUGCCAUUGCAUGUGCAUCAAAUGGUUGGCACCAACCAUUGACUAUUGGCAGCCACCAUUUUCAAUGGUUAGGCAACCUACCAUGCCUAACCUUGCAGCCAUGUUUGACAGCAGAACAAGUGGAACAGCUGCCAUGAAAUGCCUAUAAAUAGAGGCAUUAUGUGAGAGCAAAAUGAGAGGAGAGAAAACGUGAGUGUGUGCAAGAGAGUGGAGAGAAAGAGAGCUGCAAUGGCAGCAGCCUUGCUGCCAUUGCAGCAGCUGCAAGUGCAGCAGUUAAGAGCUGGGAGUUGAGAGAGUGAAGUGAUCCUCCUCCUCCAUAUAUAUUGUAAUCCUUUCUCUAUAUAUCUCAAUAAUAUAGACUCUCCCGUGGAUGUAGGCGGAUUUGCCGAACCACGUAAAAUAUUGUGUCAGUGUGCUAUCCCUCCUUUGAGCAAUUAUCAGUACACCCCCGGUCGGAAAUCCCCAAACAGCAGCAAGAGCUUUCUCUGCUUCCAACAAAUUAUUAAAUCAACUUGAUUCAUGUAACAGAUAUAAAAUUAAAUCAACCAUGUUUAUUGUUUGGAUGUUUUGAUAGACGAUUAAAAAAAAAAGUAUCACUAAUGAUAAUAUAAUUAUUUGAGAGGUCCACUUAAACUAAUAUUGUCCCCACCAUCUCCACGAGAAUUUGAACGAGGAAGACUCCCCUCGCUCAUGUCUUUGCCUCCACACAAGAAACCACGCACACAAGAAAGGAAAAAGGUGAGAAAUUUUUUGAAACGUAUUCAAAUCUCUCAUGGCAAUGGCUUCCAAUGCUCUUCAUCACCCUCUUCACCAAUCUAUAUCUCUGAAAUAUCCUCAUCUUUCUCAUAUUUCACGAUUCUCUCCCUCUUGUCUUCGCUUCACCUCCCUCCGGUUUCCCUCUACAAUUCGCGCCACUUCAGCUGUCGCUCUUGAACCGGUAACACCUUCAUCUCUACUUUCUCUCUUUUCACUUUUUUUUUCUUUUUUCUGGGUUAUACAUUCCAUUGCUUUCAGUUUUUGUUUUACUACUAAAUUACCUUUGCCACUACAAGUUUUUCUUGAAUUGGAGUAUUUUAUCAUAGUUUUUUUAACGCAUUUGAGAUAUGACAGUGAAGUACUGGUAAAGGGGUUGUUCUUGUUUGGUUGCUGAGAGAAUUUGUAUUGUCAAAUGUCUUUUUUUUUUCUUUCUUAUUCUGGGUUGUUUUUUAUUCAUUAAUUGAGGCGAUGAGAAUGUCAUAAGGAAUAAAAUGGGUUGUUUAAAAAGGUUUUAGUUGAAUCUGGCAUUUUGUCUGGGAAAAUAGGAAUGUUUCUUUGGUUACUGAGAAAGUUUUGAAUUUUGAAUAUAAAAUUUCUUAAUUAGGACCUAAAUGGCUAAACUUUAUGGAACUAGCUCAAUGGAUUGAGUUAAAUGAAAGAAAAAAUUAAGGGGCAGUGUUUAGUGUUUGAUGGAUUUUUUUAUAGCAUAUACAGUAUUGAGUGGUCACAUUUGACACCAAAAGUUGUCUUGACUCCUCUUACUUUCACUAACGCAGGGUGGCUUUCAUAUCUGUUUUAGUGGAGGUUAGAUAGAAGAAGGAGAAUUGAUUAGUUAUUCUAUUUGGUGCAGAAAUUCUCAAGCUAAUAUUGAUGCCGGCUUGUUUUCGAAUAAAUUUUAACUGGUGGCUUUUAGGUUCAUCGUUCAGCACGCAUUCAUUUAUUUAUAUUAAAUCUGAGGAGUAAUGAUUUUAGGUGGCGGUGCAAUAGCAAGGGAGUAACUUGCUUAAAGCUGCUGUUUUUUUAGUUCUGUGGCUUAAGCAGAGUUGUUUGCUGGCAACAAUUCAAAACUUUGCUGUUUAUUCAUAACUAUGUUAAGUUAAUGCUCCUCCUAUUGCUACAUAUGUUUCCUCCCGUUGUUGUAUAUUGGAUUUGACAAGAAUUUAAUCUUUCAGGAGUUAAGCACACAGCAGAAUCAAGCAAUAUUUGCUUGUCCAGUAUGUUAUGAACCUCUAAUAAGAAAAGGUCCUCCAGGUUUUAACUUGUAAGUUGGGUCACAUGAUGGUAUAAAAGCCUUUUCUUCUUUUUGUUUCGAAUUGUCUGAUAUGGUAAUAACUGCAAAACCUGCAGGCCUGCAAUAUAUCGGUCCAGUUUCAAGUGUAAAAAAUGCACCAAAACAUACUCAAGCAAAGACAACUAUCUGGAUCUUACAAUUACUGCUGGAAUGAAGGAUUACACUGAAAUCAAUCCAGUUAGGACCGAGCUAUUCCGGUAUACAUCUGGUGAUGAUGAUGCCACGUAAUCAUGCUCAGUAUAUUGAUGCAUCCAUGAUGUACUUGAUCAAUUCAAAUUUGAGCAUUACUGCGCAUGCAUGCAUAAGCUUACAGGCCUUUCAACCUUGAAUUAAUGUCCAUCCCACGCCUAUGUAGCAUUUUAUGGAUCUGUUACUGUUAAUUAGAUGGGGUACCCAAUUUUGGUUUUGACUUAAGAAGGAAUAAAGAACAAUGGAAUGCAUUUUGAAAAUCGGAAUCAGAUUUUAUAGUAAAACUGAAUUGUUUGAGGAAAUGUUCAUGCUCAUGUCAGUUACUUUCAUCUUCUCAGGAGUCCACUUGUUUCAUUCUUGUAUGAACGAGGUUGGCGCCAAAGCUUUAAUUAAAGUGGAUUUCCUGGUCCUGAUGAAGAGGUUUGUGUUCCUUGGUUUGUUUCUAGGAAUUCAAAUACACCAGUUAGGCAUGAAAGUUUAAUUAAGCUUAUCUCGAAAGAUUAGUUUGAGCAAAUAUUACUUAUGGUUUUAUGAAAUCUUUCUAUGCAACUUGGUAACUUGGAACAUUGAAAAUCCCAUGAAAUGGCAUUGGCAUCUCCGAAAAUGGGAGUAAUUAAUAUCAUUCUCAUUCUUCUCCUCUUUUGAAACUGCUACUGAAUUUGAAAACAUGAACUUGACUUUGUGAUGGUUUCUCUAAUGCAGUUUGAAAUGGCUCAGGAGUACUUCAAACCUGCCAGAGGGGGUCUUCUAGUAGAUGUAAGCUGUGGCAGUGGCCUGUUUUCUAGAAAAUUUGCCAAAUCUGGAGCAUAUUCAAAAGUUAUUGCACUUGAUUUCUCUGAAAACAUGCUUCGUCAGUGCUAUGAUUACAUCAAGCAAGACGAUACUAUCUCAACAACGUAAGCUUCUUUUGCCUGACUUGAGUCUCAAAGUUACAAUAGCUGUUAUGUGAGAGUAAUUAUAAUUUCAUAACUAUGUUUCAAUUUGAAAUGAGGAUUGACAAUUUCUUUUGCUGGAGAAUGUGCAGAAAUCUUGGUCUUAUCAGGGCCGAUGUUUCAAGACUUCCAUUUGCAUCGGGUUCAGUUGAUGCUGUUCAUGCUGGUGCUGCCAUGCAUUGCUGGCCAUCUCCUUCCAAUGCUGUAAGUGAUCUUUCUUUCUUUUGUUUCUUUUGUGGAUUUGAUGGCAUAAACUUCCAGAUAUACCAGUCCAGUCUGGUUUGCAAGAUCCAAAUUCCACUAGAAUUUGGAAAAGGCACUGCAAUCUUUUGUCUAUCAUGAUUUGUGACUUUGAUGUCCUUAUCCUGAUGCUGGCUUGAUCUUGUCCCUCAUGCUACUCCCUUAGGGCCAUCUCUUAUGCAUUGACCAUUGACGUGUAAGACACCAUGUUAUUAUAUGCUGUGAGUUAAAGAAAAUUCUAACCUCAUGAUGUGGGAUUGACGAGAGGAUGAGUAAUACAAUGCUUAAAACUAGUCCUUUACAAGUUACAAGCUUGAUUGUGAUGUGGUCAAUUCCUGUCACGUCUAAACCAUCGAGGACUUCUUUUCCUAUCUUUGGAUUGAAACUUUAUCAGGGUUCAGGAAAUCAGUAGUUUAAUGUGCUUCAUUGCACCAAAAGUGGAAGCAAAAAGAAUAUGAAGUUCAAUACGCCACUUCUUACUUGACCAUAUUUGAAAAGGGUUUCAAGUCAUAACCUACCAAAACUAGGUGUAAAGAGGCAUGGAACACUGAGUAGAUUGAGUCUCCAGGAUAAGAGUUAAAAAAACGAAAGAUUGUAGUCGUGGCUUUUGCCUUGCAAAGAGCUGAAGUAAAGGACACCUUCUCUAGACCUCAGGAUGCUUGAGAUCUCUAUUACAGAUAUUUUCUCUAACAAUUACUGCUGCCACUGAAAACACACAACACACAGAUUGCAAAUGAAAAACAUUAUAACUUGCUGAAUAUGUAAGUUAUCACCUUUUGUUUCAGAAUCUACUAGAUAGUGUCAGACAACAGUAGUCAGCCUCCAAUCUUAAUACAUAAGGCGUUUACAUUUGUGGGUUUGUGAACAUAAUACUUGUAUCUAUAGUAUGACAAAGUCAACUACCUUAGGUGCCCAUCAUGUGGUUCUGCACUUUGGUCUCAUGGAACUGAUAACAACGUUCUACCAGUGGCAAGGCAGUGCCUAUAGCACAAGAUAUCAAAUUAUAUGCAAAACAUUUGCAUUGCUUUGAUCAAAUCCAGCAAUUAUCUUGGUUCACUGGCUAUGUUUUGGGAAAUUGCGAGAGGUGGUUUGUUAUGUCAUCAGCAAGUAGGUUCCGUGGCGUCUUGUCCUGAGAAGUACACAUCAUAAACCCCUCUCCCAAGUUCUGUGUUUAUGUGUGUUUUAAGUGCUUUCUCAUCAUUUGACUGUAUGUAGAAUUAUUUUAUGAACCUGCUGUUCAACUAGUGACGUAUCUAAUAAUGUCAGGUUUCUGAAAUUUGUCGUGUAUUGCGAAGUGGUGGAGUUUUUGUCGGAACCACUUUUCUUCGAUAUAGUUCAACCACUCCACGGAUAGAACAACCUUUCCGAGAGGUAAUAAGCUUUUUUUCCUUCAUUUGAUCAAAUCAUAGUCAUAGAGUGAUAAUAACUGGGAGGAUUAAUUACUAUGCCUAGGGUUACUUCCUUUUGGCUUUUGAUUUUAUGUGCACAUGUGUUUGUAUAUUUAAAUGUUAGUUAUUCAGAAUUGCUCUCACCCAAGCUGGCAACGGUGAAAGGAACUGUCCAAAUUGAAAUUAGUUUGUGAAUAUAGCAAAGGAAGCAGUAAAGCAAUGAAGAACUAGUGUUUUCAAGUUUCUACAAAUUUCGGGUUAAGUGAAACUUACCCAGAUUUGUUUGUUGAUUUUCACGCCACAAAAAGUUCACAUUUCAAUCAUAUCGUAACACAUUUCAUGGAGAUUUGUACACAUUUUUCAUGAAGACUUCAUUUAUCAUGAAUGUAUAUUAACUGAAGUCUUAUAAACUAUUAUGGUUUGGGUCUGCUAGUUUUUAAUCUUAACAUUAUGCUAUUCUUGGAAUGCUUGCUUCUUUGAGUUACAUGUAAAUUAAUAGGUGAUGUGUUAGCUCAACAUACAACAGAGAAAAUUGCACAUCCCAAUUCCUUGGAAAUUAGGUUUUUAGUAAUGAUAGGUCGUUGUGAGGGUGGAACUCCAUCCAAACUGGUUGCAGUUUGCACAGCCAGAGAAUUGUAGGGUAAUUCCAUCUACACUCACCAUUGUUAUAUGCUAUAAUUGGAUCUAAAGAUCUUCAUGUGUCUGACAGAGGAUUUCGCGGAACUCUAACUUCUUCACGGAGGAGGAAAUUGAAGACUUGUGCUCAACAUGUGGUCUUACAAACUACUCAAAGAAAGUUCAGCAAACGUUCAUAAUGUUCUCUGCUCAGAAGCCAUGAAGCAAGGUUUAGUUCAUUUAGACACAAUUCUCCCUGGACUUGACAUUGACAUAUCCGGUGCUGGUUUGGUAUAUAAGAUAUUUCAAUUGUAUAGACUUUUUAAAUAAACAAGACCUAAAAGGUGAUAUAACCUGGGGAGAUGCAAAGUGCCAUUGUUAAUAAAAAGAAGUCUAUAAUUACUGUCUGGUUUAUAUAUAUAAUGAUUCAACCCCUGCUUUGAACUUCAGCAGUGUCACUAAUCCCAGGGGACUAGCCUUUCUAUUUGUAGAUUUUGCUGGGAGUGAUCUGAAAGCAAUGCUUCUGAGAUAGUCCACAAACAUACACUACUAGCACCGAGUCUGUAGAAUGCGCUAACAAAUUCUUAGCUUUCAGCUUUAUCUGAUGAUUAGAUAAAAUUCAUACUUGUUUUUUUCAUGAAGUCUGUUUAAUCUGUCCGAACUUCUUGCUGGGAUUGGACUUGUCAAGGUGCUCUAUGAACAAUAUGCUAGACAUUUCAUGUCGACUGCUAUGCAUCAGUAUCGUCCUGCAACACAAUUCUUGUGACUCAAACGGACUCAUGGUUUUGGACUGAUAUCUGUGACCUAUAAUCUAUACAGACAGGGCUCAUGAACCCGCAUGAUGUGAGUUUAUUAAAUGAUAAGUCAGGAUCUGGUGGCGAGGCUUUGCACAUGACGAGUCCUCGAGGAUUUGGGCAAAGCAAAUAUAAUAGCCCCCGGGGAUGUGGCUGAGCCAAUAAAGAAACCCUUUUUAGCAGGGCAAAGUGUGUCUCUGAAGUAUCAAAUAUGGGCAGAGAGAGCCCCUCGUGCGGCUCACAAGCUGACCAGCUUUCUGUAUGUUCUUCUACAGUUCUACUACACUGUUUGCCCUAAAGGAACCCAUCAUUACAAACUCUGUUCACUUCUGGAUCCUUGACCUUUGACCAUCCAACAAGAUGCACAGCUGGACAAGAAAAAUAAGAGAGGAAUAUUUGAUCAGUCCAAGAACAAGGAGACCUCUUAGGGUUUAAUUUGGUUUAUUUUUCAAAGUGAGGACAUUGGAUCCCUUGCACGUGACCUUCUUUCCUCCUGCAAUCCCAUUUUGCUUUCCAUGGCACGUGGGGUCGGUCACCCUUUACCUUUCUUUUAUUUUUUUAUAAUUUUUUCUGCAAAUUCUUAUUUGUCUUCGUUUUUUCUUUAGAAUAAUGUUAAUCCAAUCGGAAAAGCUCACUCAGCAAUGGCUGGGAUUUUUUCCAAAUAAUUUCGAAAAAAAGUCUUUCAAUAAAAUUUGCUUUUUUUUUUUUUCUGAAGGAAGAAAUGGAGACUGGUUUUGCUAAUUGAUUUGAUUAUUAUUUGCCACGUGCAUUGUCUUACUGCAACUCUUAAUUAUGAUUACAGGAGAAUAAUGAAGAUUAAUGGGGUUGCUUUUAAUUAGCUGUUUCUUGAAUUCAAAAUAUAUUUUUCCUGGGUAAUUUGAAAAGAGGAAAGGUACAGGGGCAAAUGGUUUAAUUAAGAUGAUAUCGUGCAUCACAUUUCCUAUUGAAUUGUGCAUAUUUUUUGUUGUCACUAUUUGAAGGCUUCAUAAACUUUAUCAACAUUAAUUAGCAUAUUUAAAUCAACAUUAAAAAGAAUCAAUUUAAAAAAAACUAUAAAAAAACCCGAGUCAAUUGAAGUUAACUCGAUUAAUACACGACCUACGAUAUAAAAUUAGGAUAAAUUUUUUUUUAAAAAAACCUGGAAAAUAGAUCGAAGUUAAACAAAAAAACAUUAAAAAAAACUAGAGUAACUCCACAUAAAGAAAAGCGGAAAAAUCACAAAGGUCAAAGCUCAAUAAUUUAAUGUCAAAUAAUAAAAUUAAAAAAAUUAAUUUUAAAAAAAGAAACGUUGGGAAAAAAAAACUAAGUCAAUCUAGGUUACCUCGACUAACUUGCGAUAUGCGAUCGGGAUAAAAAAAAAUUAAAUUAAAAAAAAAAACCUAGAAAAAAAGACCAAAGUUAGGUCAAUAAAAAAAACAUCGAAAAAAACUUAAGUAAACCCGGGUUAACUUAACUCACUUGUGACCUGAGAUAACCCCAUUGAAAGGAAGUAGAAAAAAAUCACAAAGUUAAAGGCUCGAUAUUCUAAUGUCAAAUAAUAUAAUUGAAAAAAAUCAAUUAAAAAAAAACAUAAAAAAAACCCGAGUAAACCCGGGUUACUUAACUGACUCAUGACUCGGGAUAUAAUAAUCAAAUAUGGUAUAAAAAUAAUGAAGCAAAAUUCCUAAUCGUCAAAAGUUGAAAACAAAACAAGUACCAAUCAAAUAAUGAGAAUCAAAUCUGGCAUAAAAAAAUAAAUGAAAGAAAAUAACUAGGGAUUAAAUUAAAAAAUAAAAAAAAUUAAGAAAAUAAAAAAAAAAUAGUAAUAAAAAAAUAAGGGUCAAACUAGAUAUAAAAAUUAAAUGAAAUAAAAUAUUUAGAGAUGAAAUUAAAAAAAAAACUUCUAUAAUCACUAAAAAAAAAAUAGCAAUCAAAAGAAUAAGGACUAAAUUAAAUACAAAAAUGGAUCAAAUUUUAUUUUAAAUUAAUUUAUUUCGCCAAGUUAAAUUUGAGUGAGGCUUUAUCAGAUUAAUUCUAAGGAUUUUUUUAAAAAAAAGUUUGUCAAAAAUAAUAAUGUUUAAUUUUUUUAAAAAAAAUUGUUUUAGGAUUAAUAUAGAAAAUCUACAACCCGAGUCUAAUAAUUAUGGUUUUCUCAUGCAAUUGUAACCCGGUAUCCACCAUUUAUAAUCUCACACUUGCUAGGGCAGGUGUUGGACUUUUCAGUAAACAUGAUUCUUUCUCGUAGCUAAUUGAAAUAUUGUUAACAACUUAAUGAUUUAACUUCUUUUCACUAAUAUGUAUUUAAUCAGUUGUGAUUUAUAGUGAAUUGCAAAACCAAAACCAGCACUAAUGGAAAAUCUCUCUGCUAAAACAAAGUUCAUGCACCCAACCUGAUUUCCUCUUGCAAGUUGCAAAGAAUAUCUACUCGUAGACCUUUACCAAGUUUCAAGUAGAAAAAAUAAACACACAAUUCAAAAAAUAAAAUGGAAUUAACCAAUUCGUAUGCUUUGUGCUUGCAGCCUUUGUGAGGCAGUGGGAAUUAAGAAUAUUAUCCAACAAGCCGCCGGGGAAAAUAUUUCGGCCACCACCAUUUAUGCAGCGAAGAUUGGAUCUUUUUAUACAUGGAAUCAUGCUCAUACACAUUUUCUGUGGACUGCAGGCAGCAUAGAAAAGAGCAGAUAUUUCUAGGUAAGGGACAUGUCAAGCUUGGAAUUAUGCCAUGUGUAUCACCAGGGAAGACUUUGCAGAAAGGAAAUCAUAAAAACGAUUCAUGGUUCAUGCAUGGAAAAUGAUCGCCAGCCAAUAUGUUGAAUUCAAAUGUUGCCUACCUUGAUUCCUUCUAAUAAUGUUCAGAUCAUUCGACUCCCUAGCUUUGUGUAAAGAAAAAAAAAUACAGUAGCCUAAACAACUUUGUUUCUGGAUAAAUUACACGAAUCACCUCGAGAUUUGUUAUUGUUUAAAUACGUAGAUUACAUUAUGGAUUGUUUUUAAAUUAUAGCUCAAGUGCUCCUCCUUUCAAGAGAUUUUGAAUUUGAAAUCUUUACUUUAUAUACAUAUAUAUAUAUAUAUAUAUAUAUAUAUAUAUAUAAAUUUUAAUUCAAUAAUCUAAUUAGGUUGAUUGUAAAUUAAAAAAAAAAACGAUUCAUUAACAAAAACUAAUUGAGUAGGAAAAAUCAUAUCAUUACUCUUGUUCUCAUAAAGUAUUAUUCAUUAGAAUAAUAGUUUUUUUUUACUCUUUUUUUUAAUAUUAGAUUUAUUGGAGGAUUGAGCUUUAUAAUUUUUUUUUUUUUUUAAUGAGGUUGUUCUAGUCUCAUGAUCCGGAUCACAAGUUUUACAGAUUAACCUGGUUGACUCGAGGUUUUUAUAGGGUUUUUUUUAAUUAUUUUUUUUUAAUUUCAUCCUUCACCAUAUAGGUUGACUAGAAAUUAAAAUUCAUAAUUUAUUUCGAUUUGGUUUUUAUGAGGUUAUCUCAGUUUCAAAACUCAAGUUUAGCAUGUUAAACUAGGUUGACUCAAGUUUUUUUUUUUAUUGAUAUUUUUUCAAUUCUAUCAUUCAAUGUUGGAUUGAUUGGGAAUUAAGUUUUAUAAUUUAUUUUGAUUUGCUUUUUAUUGGGAUAUCAUGGUUUUAUGAUCCCGGUUUGACAAGUUAAUCCGAGUUAAUUCAAGUUUUUUUUCAUUUUUUUUUAAUUUAUUAUUUUCAAUUUAAUUCGUUUACAUUGGAUUGAUUGAGGAUUGAGUUUCAAUAUAUUUUUUGAACUGCUUUCUAUGAGAUUAUUAUAAUCUCAUUACCCGAGUCACGAAUUUUAUAUUUUAAUCUAAGUUGAUUCAAGUCGAUCUAAUAUGUUAUUGUUUCAAUAUUAAAAAAUAUAAUGUCAUAUCAUCUUAAAAAAAAUUUAAUUAAACUAUUUUUUCAGUUGUCUAAAUUGUUUUUAACUUGUCAUCAAAUUAAUCUCUCUGCACGUUUGAAUUUUAUUUUUCCUCCUUAAAAACACGUUAACAAUGACAAGAUAUUUCUUUUAACUUUUUUUUUUUUUUUGGAAAUAAUACAACUCAUAACGCGUUUUUGUUUUUCGUUUGGUUUGGUUGCGGCGGACGACAUUGUGGUCUACGAAACCAAGCUUGGAUUUAUCUUUCAAAGAAAUCAUCAUGGAUCUACAUCAUGUCAAAUAAUUAUCCCUGCCGAGGGGCCUCAAAACAAGCAUCAUUCGUUGAUGAUCGGAAUGGUGAAGAAAGCAUAAAUUGGCAGCACCAGGCUGGGCUGCACUCGAUCGAAAGUUUCUCAUUUGCCAUAAUAAUAGGAGAUAACAAGCAAUAAAAGGCAAAAUGAAAUCGGGCAUAGAGCUAAGGUAUCGUCCUUGCUCUGAGAAAUAUUAUUUGCCUUUGAAUGAGUAUUUAUUAAAAAAUAGGAAACAUAGCUUUAUACAAGAGAUUGAUCCAAGUACAAAAUGCAACUAAGCAAACAUACAAUUAAUACAGUAUAUUGGUCAAUGCAUGACCGAAUGAAGUGCCAUAUAUUAUUGUUAUUCUUAACAUUUUUUUUAGGUGUUUUUGAUAUUUUUGAUAUUCUGGUGUUAAAACAAAAUCUAAAAAAAAUUAUUUUAAUAUAUUUUUAAUUAAAAAAUAUUUUUAAAAAACACCAUACACUACAAUAUCAAAUACACAAAAUAAUCUAUCCUUCUUCCUGUUUUUGAGUAAAAUAUUUUACCAAAAGAAGUGUCAUGGUCUAGCCAGGCAUGAACUAAAAAAAGGCAUAAAGGAAAGAGAAAAAAAAAUACAAAGAAUGGCAAAAACCAAGAUUAGCUCUUGGCCAGAGCCUAAAGACAAGAAAAGCUCCCUCAAAAUUAGUAAAAGGGCUAAUAAAUCUUACUAACAAGUGCUUAAUGAGUGGUGUUUGUCUGUCUAAUGUUCGUCACAAGAGCACACAUUAUCGUUCAAAGCACAGCUCCUGGCUCUUUACUCUUUAGUGGAGUAGUUGGUUGAUUAAUGUUGCCACGUCUGAUUCCCAUAAAACCGAGUUUCCUCGUACGUGUCUGUUCAAAGUCCAAUUGAUACUGUGAUGUUAAGUCCGUAAAUACCGACCAGAUACGGGGAAGUAAGAAAUAGAUUUUCUCUAGAAGCUCCGGUCAUGAGUUAAUCUAUGCUGUUGAUAUUCCCACCGAGCUGCUUGUUCAUCGCUUGCUGUUGAAGUUAAUUUUAAACCAGAGAGAAAGAGAGAAAUUAUGUAAAAAAAAAAAACACGUGAUGUGAACAAAAGGCAAUGUUUAAGUUAAAGCUAAAUGAAGUUCUAAAGAAAAGGUGCAAUUUAAUAGCGAAUCCUACUUUAAUGUUGUGUUCUUUCAACUAAUUAACUUUUUGACGACUAAUUUAUAUAAGAUAUAGAAGGAAUAAGGACCUUGAUUCUAACCGUAUUUUAUACUUACGUUGAUAAAUUGGUAAAUGAAUAUAUAGUUUAUUGCAAAAAAAAAACCUUUAUUUUCUAUUUUCUUAUUAUUUUUAAUUUAGAUCGAUCUAAUAUAUUGUCAUCUAAAUAUAUAUAAAAAAUCAUCUUAAAAUUCUUUUAAAAUCAUACAAUGUUUUUUUUCUAGUUAUUUGAGUUAUUUUUUAACUCACUAAAUUGAUCAUGCCACCUUAUACCUUAUAUGCAUGUUAAUUUUAAAUUUUAAUCGAAAUCAAAUCAGGAGAAUUCAAAAUUGAAUCAUUAAAUUAAAGUUAAUACUAAUAUUAAAUAAUUUAUUUCUAAACAGUUUUUUUACGUAAAAAAACUUUAUCUAACCCCACAGUGUAAUGCAAGCUAGGAAAUUAGUAACUUUCUAAGAAAUCAUAUAUUGAAUGAAUGGAAUAUGAUUGAAAUUUUUCUAAAAAUAAUUUGGAGAAGAAUCUUUAAAUAAUAUUAAUAAAAAUAUUUUAAUUAUAGUUGAUAAAUUUGACUUGAAAUUUGUCUAGAAGAAAAAAAGCUAGAUAAACUCAGAUAAAUUAUUUUGUAUCAAAAUAAUAUUGUUGUUGUGUUCAUUUCAAAAAAAAUUUAAAUAUUAAUUUGACUAGAUUUAUCAAUCAACCACAUAAUUAAACAUACAUAAAUCAAUGUUAUUUUUUUAAAAAAAAAAAUUUUGGUGUUGAUUCAACUAGAUUUGGUCAAGUAAAUCUAACCACGUAAUUAAACAAACCUAAAUAUAUGUUAUUUUUAUUCAAAUUAAAAUAUUUCUAACUCAAAGUCAUAAAAUUCUUGAAAGUACUGAUUUUAAUAAGUAUGAUUCUAAUCACAUAUCUAACACUUAUCUAUUAUCGCUAGCUAUUAACAACUCGUUAAAAUGACCAUUUAUGAACAAAGUAACCCAUAUAUUGAUAACCUACCACAGUAACAAGCACAGACAUAAAACAAAUUGCAGCGUCUCCCUCGUCUCCAUCUCCAAGUCCAAAUUCAAAUAUGUAGCUCAACUAAUUUAAAAGAUGUUGAUAAUUUAAUAAAGAAAUAAAUGGGCAAAAAAAUAUACAUGUUAGGGCAGCUGCUCCAAGAAGAGCUUAGUAAGUUUAGCAUUAGAGCUCUUAAGCCAAGAAGAUCAGGAAAAAAAAAUAGUUUAUGGAGGUGGCAGAGAAAGGGAGACACAGAAACAGCUCCCACGUUCUCCUCAUACCUGACUUCUUCUCUUUAAUAAUGCUCUCUCUCUCUCUCUCUCUCUCUCUCUCUCUCUCACACACACACACACACACACACGCUCACACACACACACACGCUCACAUUCACACUUAUAAGUAGAAGCCGUCCCUAUUGACAAAAUGAUGCCUAUUUCUCAAGGGAAUAAAUAUAUACCCGUUCAUCUCUUGUGAACCUCCAUAAAUACUCUUAUCUCCAUACCCUAAUCUCUCUCUCCUCUCUCUCUCUCUCUCGUUACACCACUAUCUUGAUAACAGUUCAAGAGGGCUCAUCAUCUCUCUCUUUUUUUCUGUGAUCAUGGUGAGUGUCACUCCCCCUUCCCUCGCUUGAUCGCCAAUAUCUAUUGCAAAAUUCUGUUUGAGUUUUGAUUUAUGUGUUGAAUUUUUAAGUGUCUCUUUUGCUUAAUUCUGGUUGGUAUUUGUGAUCAUGGUGUUUUUCAGGGAAUUCAAAAGCCUGCAUGGUUGGGAGCUCUUUACACACAAAAGUUUUUUGCAGGGUGCUCUUAUCAUGAAGCUGCAAAGAAGAAUGAAAAGAACGUGUGUUGUUUGGAUUGUUGCAUCAGUAUUUGCCCUCACUGUAUACCAUCCCAUCGCUUCCAUAGGCUUCUUCAAGUUCGUCGUUAUGUUUAUCAUGAUGUUGUCCGAUUGGAAGACCUCGAAAAGCUGAUUGAUUGCUCAAAUGUUCAGGUUAGUGGCUUAAACAAUCUUAAUCUUCUUGCCUCAUAUGUUGCUCUAGCAAGAUUCAGUCUGUAGUUUGCUAAUUAACUUAGCUUUGAUUAUAGGCCUAUACCAUCAAUAGUGCGAAAGUGGUGUUUAUCAAGAAGAGAGCUCAGAACAGGCAAUUCAAAGGGGCCGGAAACUAUUGUACUUCCUGUGAUAGAAGCCUUCAAGAACCUUUUAUCCAUUGCUCUCUUGGCUGCAAGGUACAAAGCAAUUUUCAUGCUAAAUUCCAAGAAGGGUGACUAAAAGUUUUUUCCACAUGCAAUUACGACCCUUUUAGUCAAAAGAGCAUAUCACGAUAAAGUUGCGCUCAAUUAUGAUCAAAUCUCCAUGGACCGCCUUCAAAAAAAGGAAGAAAUUGUUGUAAUCAUUUUGUCUUUUUAUUUCAAUCGUUAUGUCUUGAUAUCAAUUUAUAUGUUAACUAAACUAACUAAGUGCGUAUAUUUAGAAAAAUAAAUUCAUGUGUAAAAAAAGAAAAGAAGCAAACAUCAUUAACGAUCAGACCAUCAAUACAAGUGAAUUUUACUCGAAUCAUGCACAAUUAAGAAAACCAAGAAUUGUGUAUUGAAUUAGCCAGAUUAUUUCUAGGAGGGGUGUCUUAAUUAUGACCAUCAUUCUUAAGAUCGAUCCUAUGAUCAUAUUUAACAGAAAGAUUUCCUUCAAUGUUUUCUGCAGGUGGACUUUGUGCUGAAACAUUACAAGGACCUUUCUCCAUACUUGAGGAGAUGCAACGCAUUAACUCUUGGUCCUGACUUCUUUAUCCCUCAAGAUAUGGCAGAUGAUGAGAUGACCAAUGAGACGCCUCACUCGACAAUUGUGGACUCCGAUGAGCCGAUGAGCUGGUCUUCAAGUUCAUCGGGUUCCGAAAACAUGAGCAUCGCUAGCACUGGGAUUGUACGGAAGAAGAGGAGUGGAUUAUACGUAUGUGCAAGAUCAUUGAGCAAGGUUUCUGAUGAGGACAUGGCUUCAAGCAUGAGUAGAAGAAAAGGCAUCCCUCAUCGAUCUCCUCUAUGUUAGGAAAACAAAUUAAACCAAAAAAACUUUUAUUUCUUACUAUAAUUAUUAAUUAGUUUUACUUGGAUAUUUUGACCGACCUUCAAAUUCAAAGUGUUCUCUCUCACAGUCACAUCAUCUCUCUUCACUCUUCAACUUGAGUUAAUUAAUAACUUGGUCGGGGGGUUUUGUCUUAAUGGCAUCACGUGAUUCCCAAUUCCAAGUUAUGGUUUUGUACAUUUUUCUAUUUUUUCUAUGCUCAUAUUAAUAAUUCAAGCCAUCAAUCCGAGGACUUUAUUGUUCCAAACUUGUACACCUCUGGGAAUUACACAGUACAUUUAUGUAUUUGUUAAUUUCCUAUGCAUUGGUACACACACUUGCUUUUACCGGGUAAUUCAAGAUUCUGUUUACGAGAAUAUCAGGGUUAUGUUUUACAAUGUUUUUUAUUUUAUUUUUAAAUAUAUUAAAAUAAUAUUUUUUGUAUUUUUUAAAAUAUAUUUUUGAUAUUAACACAUCAAAAUAUUUUCAAAACACUAAAAAAUUAAUUUAAAAUAUAAAAAUAUUCAAAAAUAAUAAAAAAACUAUGGUUCAACCACAACACCAAAUAUAUACUAAGAGACCAUUUGGGAACAAGAUGCAAACCACGUUCUCUCAAUUUUUUUUUUGUUUAAAAUUAAUAUUUUUUGAUAUUUUUAAAUUGUUUUGGUGUGCUGAUAUUAACAAUGAUUUUUAAAAAAUAAAAAAAAUAUUAUUUAAUACAUUUCCGAGUAAAAAUAUUUAGAAAAAUAAUCGCAACCACACCUCAUACACGCUCUAAAAAGAAAAGGUAGCUAUAUAUGGAUUUUGCAAGCAAAAAUACUCGAACUCCAACAAAGACAAAUUGGUUUCUUGACAACAAAAGGAGAAGGGUGGGUUUCGAUUAACCAAAUUACCGUAAUUUCUUUAUGGUUGUUGGCAAUUGAGAAUUGUAGACAUUUCUCAUCCUCCUAUACUAUAUAUAUAUAUAUAUAUAUAUAUAUAUAUAUAUAUAUAUAUAUAUAUAUAUAUAUUUUGUAUUUUCAUACUCUUAAUGCAUGGCUAGAGUGCUCAAAACCAUGUUAUGAUGAAAUAUGAAGCUUAGAAGUAUGAAUAUAGUUUACUUGGUCUUAAAGUUAUUCUUGGCAUUUAAAAUGGAAGAAUAAAUCCCAAAUUAGUAAGAUUUAUUGGCAUUAAAAACCAUAAGAUUUUUAGCACCAUCUCAUGAUGAGAAGGGAUUCGUUUGACUAUUAUAUGUCUACAUCUACAGUGUACUGUCUCUUCUCGGAGAGAGUGCUGGGGUUUGAGAUUUAACCACUAUUUUUGACCGGUCAAAUUCUACCCCAAUUGACAAUUUAAAUCAGAUAAAUAAUCACUAUUAAAUUAAGGGGCAAUUUAAAAUUGUGGUGCAAACGGAGUUUUUAAAAAGUUUGAUUUUAAAAAAUAAAUUAUUAUAUUUUUUUAUUUUUUUAAUAUAUUUAUAUCAAAAAUAAUUUAUUAAAAAAAUAUAUUUUUAAACAAAAAAUAAUUAUAUUAACACAUUCUUAAACACAUCUUAAAAUAUAGUUCGUGGGGGAUAAAAAAUUAAUUCAGUGAGAAUUAUAGUUACAUGGAGCCAGCUCAAUCUGACAAUGAUAUCACCUUUUUAGACAAGUGGUGUUAUAGUAAAAAAUAAAUAAAAUUGAAUGCUAUUUUAAUACACUGUGUUCUAUAAAAAUAUAUAUAUUUUUAAAAUAUAUUAAAAUAAUGUUUUUUAUAUUAAAAUAUCAAAACCAUAAAAAACAAUAAAAAAAAUCAAUUUGAUAUUUUUUUCAAGCCUUAUAUAUAUUUAAAAUGCAUUCAAACACAGUUUCAAAUCUAAAAAUAAAUUUCCCAUGAACAAUGAUAAUUUAUAUAUCAAAGUUGAAAAUUUUAGGAUAUUUACACUCACUAUCAAAUUUAAUUGUAUAUUGUCUUAACAAAUUUGGAAUAAUAAGAAGUCUCAAAUCAAAGCAUCGGGAUACCAUGGAGCAAGUUAAUUCACUGUUGGUGCUUUGUAAAAUUUUGUGAGAUGGAUUAUCCCAAUGACGGCACCACAAGCAGUUACUCAGGUGAGGAUUCUAGAGGAGGUUUUCUUGGUAACUAAGUAGGCCAAUAAUUUGUGGUGGCCUACAGUCGAAAUUGGGCCGAGAAAUGCUGGGCCCACCAUUUGGGUAUUUACUGGGCUCUAGAGCACGGGCUUUUGUUGCCGAAAACAUGUAAAUUAAGCUAAAAAGGGAAGUGCUAUUCGGCGUAUUCGCUAUUCGCACGAGAUGGCAUGGGGUAGUUCAUGAAAUAAAAUAUUUCGUGUAGGUGGCCCAAUUUAUAUUUCAGGCUAGCCCAGUAACAUGACUUCUAAAACUAAGCCCACAAAACAAUCAUCAUUAAAAAUAAAAAUAAAAAUAAAAACUGAUAGAAUUAGAGGAGGGAAGAAUAUAGUAGAUAAAGGAAAAACUGAAUUUAGAUCUUUCUUAGUUGAAAUGUCUUGACAAUGUCUAAGCCCACUCAACAAUGGCAAAUAAAUAAAAUUUCUAAAAUCUUUUACUAUAAAAUUAUUUUUAUAUUUGUUAAUGUAGUAUACGUUGCUUUUCAAUUAAAAUGUAUUAACAUAAUUUUCUUAUAUUUUAUUCUUUUUAUCAAUGGAUCAAAAUUAUCAAAAAAUACAUAAUUAAAAACAUCAAUUAAUGUUUUUUUCAAAUAAAAAAUAAUUUAAAAAUCACUUUGAGAAACAAAUAGCAUCUAAUAAAAUAUUUAUCACCAUUAAAAUUACAAAUGAAAAAUUUAACCUUUUAAGAUUAAUUAUUAGGUGUUUGAGAUUAUUUGGCUUUGCUAAAAAAAUAUGAGCAAAAUACGAGUUAUUUUGUAUAAAGACAAAUACGAGUUUAAUUGGGAAUUUGGAUAAGGGCAAGAUCCAGAAAAUUACAAAGAAAAAACAUGUCAUUAACCCUUGUACAUAGAGAUUGUUCUAAGUGUAGUUUAAGCAAGUGGAUGCCUCAGCCUUUUCUUUUUAAUCCCUAAUGUUCAAUGUUCAUCUUCAAACCAUGGCUUAGACAUUUGGGUUAGCCUUUAUUUGUUAUCCUUAUAACUAGAUUUUUUUUGGUUCAUCAGAAAUUCUCCUGGCUUAAGUGUUGUAUUUACAAGGAUUUGUUUCUUCACUGGUGAAGGUAUAAAAAUUUGUUCGUUAUUAGUUUUAAUGAUUAAGAGGUAUUUGAGAUAAUAAUAAAUAUUGUUUUUUUAUUUUUAUUUAUUUGAAAAUGUAUUAAAAUAACAUAUUUUUUUAUUUUUAAAAAAUAUAUUUUUGACAUUAACACAUCAAAACGAUUAAAAAACGCUAAAAGAAAUUAAUUUAAAAUAAAAGGAAAUUCAAUUUUUAAAGAAAAGUUGUCCAGCAACGGAAAUUUUGAGCGAAAUUGAAUUUUUUUAGAAAUCCAAUACUACUUGAGAAACCCAAGUCAGUAAGUUUACAGCCUCGAUUCAAUGCCUUUGAGGUGGAUAAUGAUAGAGCUGAAGCUUUUGGAAGAGAACUGCUUAAUUAUAUUAUUAAUAGACGACAUUUAUAUAGAUACAAACCUAACAGAGUUCUCUACGUUGCAGGAAGACUAAUCCUUUAGAAAUACAAGUUGUUGCAGUAAUGGAGUCCUAAUGAAUAACAAACUGUAAGAGCAGUAAUGAAGUCCUAAUGAAUAACAAACUGUAAGAGCUAUACAUUGAUUUAUCAUGCCCCCUCAAGAUGGACCACGAUCGGAGAGGCCAAUCUUGUCACGAAACAAAUGAAAUGUAGACGUAGACAGGGGUUUGGUCAGAAGGUCCGCAAGUUGAUCAGCAGAUGAAACGUGAGUUACACGUAACUGACCAGAUUGAACUUGAUCGCGAAUGAAAUGGUAGUCGACUGCAACAUGUUUCAUGCGAGAAUGAAAAAUAGGAUUGGAACUUAAUUGAGUUGCUCCUAUGUUAUCACAGUAUAUCACAGGUGAGGAAGACAGAGCAACACCAAGUUCAUGAAGUAGAGAUUGUACCCAACAGAGUUCAGCAGCAGUGGCAGCAACGGAGCGAUACUCAGCCUCUGUUGAAGACCUGGCAAUGGUCUUUUGUUUCUUUGAACUCCAAGAAAUUAAAUUACUUCCAAGAUAAACUAGAUAAGCACUAGUGGAUGAAUAAUCAUCUUUAUUGCCAGCCCAAUCGGCAUCUGAAAAGGCAUGAAGUUGAUCAGCGAAGUCAUGAAGAUUGGAGGGCGAGUCACGGUGCAGAAGAAGGCCUUUGUUUAGUGUACCAACAAGGUAUCGCAGAAUUCGUUUAACAAGUAUCCAGUGAUCAUCGGUUGGGCUGUGCAUGAAUUGAGACAGUUUGUUCACAGCAAAGGACACAUCUGGUCUUGUAAGUGAAAGAUACUGAAGGCUCCCUACCACUUCACGAUAAAUUGUGGGAUUCUGUAGCGGUGAACCAGACAACAAUGAAAUAGCAGAGGCAGAGCUUGGAAUCGGAGUGAGCACUGGUUUUGCGUCCAACAUGUUGAGACGAGUUAGCAGGUCAGUAAUGUACUUGCGUUGAGAGAGUAGAAUACCAUGUUUGUGAGGAAGAACUUCAACACCCAAGAAGUAGGACAAAUUGCCAAGAUCUUUAAGAGAAAAACGUUUGGCAAGACUGGAAACAAAAACUGAUAGAAUGUUGUCACUGCUGCCUGUGACAAUAAUGUCAUCCACGUAAACCAGCAAAAACAGAACAUGUUGAGCACUGUGAAAUGUGAACAGAGAAGGAUCAGAGUAGGAAUUGCAGAAACCAGAAGCCAACAGAAAUGUGCGCAAUUCAUGAUACCAAGCCCGGGGCGCCUGUUUGAGUCCAUAAAUGGCCUUGUGAAGUUUGCAGACAAAUGACGGUUUGUCACGAUCAACAAAUCCAGGAGGUUGCACCAUGUAAACGGUUUCAGAGAGAUGACCUUGAAGGAAAGCAUUGUUGAUAUCCAGCUGUUUAAGUGACCAUCCGCGACUGACAGCAAGACUGAGUACCAAGCGGACAGUGGUUGGCUUCACAACGGGGCUGAAAGUCUCAUGAUAGUCUACACCGGGACGCUGGUGGAACCCUUUUGCAACAAGUCGUGCUUUAAAUCUGUUUAUGGAUCCAUCAGAAAGUCUUUUAAUGCGGUAAACCCACCUGCAACCAACAACGUUAGUGAUACCAUCAGGAGGAACAAGUUCCCAUGUGCCAUUGCAGACUAAAGCAUCAUAUUCCUCAGACAUGGCAGCUCGCCAGUUUGGAUCUUUAAGUGCCUGAGAGAGGAUGGAAGGUUCUGUUGGAGAGAUGACCGGUUUAGUAGUGUGAAGACUGAGUUUCUGGAUUGGUUUGUGGAUAUUAUUCCGGGACCGAGUGAUCAUGGGGUGUAGGGAAUGUUGUGGUGGUGGUGGAACAGGUAGAGAUGGAUCUUGAAGUGAAGGAUUAUGGUGAGAGGAUGAAGCAGUUACCUGUGAAGUAGAUAUGAUGGAAGGGAUUGCUCCAGCAUGUGUGGAAGGACUUGAUGAAGGGACCAUAGGAGGAGAUGCAUCUGCAUGGCAUUGUGAGGAAGGAGCAGAAGGAGCCAGUUGCUGUGGGGUUUGAGAUGAGACAGAAAUAGGUGAAGGCAUCCAGUCGGAAACGGGGGAAGGAAGAUUUGAAGGUGCAGUAGGAUAAGAUUUAUAAGGAAAAACUGACUCAACAAAUUGUACAUGCCGUGAAAUAUGUAGUUUGUUAUUGGAUUUGUCAAGGCAUAGAUAUGCACUUUGAGAAAGGGAGUAUCCAAGAAAAACACAGGGUUGAGAUUUCGACUCAAGUUUAUGAGAUGCAUAUGGACCUAACCAAGGAUAACAUAAACAACCAAACACUUUAAGUUUAGAAAAAUUGGGACUCUUGUGAAAAAUUGACUCGUAUGGUGAAGACAUGUUUAAUGUGGGAGUAGGCAUCCUGUUAAUUAGGUAAACGGCAGUGGUGAAGGCAUAAGUCCAAAAAGUAGUAGGGAUUGAGGCAUGAGAAAGAAGGGCAAGUCCAGUUUCGACAAUGUGAAGAUGUCGCCGUUCAGAAUAACCAUUAUGUUCAGGUGUAUGUGGUGGGGACGUGAGAUGACUAAUUCCAUGUUCGGAAAGAAAUGGUUUGAGAGCAAUGUAUUCACCACCAUUAUCAGAAUAAAGAGAAAUAAUGGUUUGUUGAAAAUAUUUUUCAACAAUUGCUUUGUAGCGUCGAAACACUAUUUGGACAUCAGAUUUGCGUUUUAAUGGAUAAAACCAAAUGUAUUUUGUAAAAUGAUCAACAAAAAUAACAUAGUAUUUAUAACCAUCGUGUGAAAUAAUAGGAGAAGUCCAAACAUCUGAAAAUACAACUUGAAGAGGACGCGUAGUGUGCAAAGUAGACACAGAAAAUGGUUGUUUAUGACUUUUAUUACUUAAGCAAGCAUCGCAACAAAAAUUCUUUUGAGAAGAAAAAUUUAAAUGAUAGAAGGACAUGAUAUGUUUAAGAAUUGUGGAGGCUGGAUGACCAAGGCGCUGGUGCCAAAUGGACAUUGUUGUUUUGACAGCAGAGAAGGCUAGAAUGGGAGGAGUAGAAGAGGUCGCAACUGGCCAUUCAUAAAUACCAUUCUUAGUGCCGCCCUGCAGAAGAAUGUCCCCCGUUUGUAGGUCCUUCACAUGAAAACAAUGAGGAAAAAGUUCAAUCGACACAUUGUUGGUGAUACAGAAUAAUGCAAUAGAUAUUAAAUUUUUUUGCAUUUUUGGAACACACAAAACAUCUUGUAAGUGGAAAGAAGAGUUAGAUGUGGGAAGGGAUACUGAACCAGUGUGACUUAUGGGAAGGUUGGUACCAUCGCCUAGUAUAACAUCAUCAUGACCAGUAUAUGGUGUAUGGAGGGAAAGAUUAUUGAGGUCGGCAGUAACAUGAUGGGAAGCACCACUAUCCAGUAACCAUGACGCAGCGGUGGAUGGUGAUGAAGAAGAAAAAUUGGCUUGAGGAUUCCAGGAGGAUGGCAUACCAUUGGAGGAGCUGGCAGAGUUAGAACCAUGAACAGGAACUAAUUGAAAAGAAGGACAACGUUUAGCGGUGUGUCCUUGAGUGCCACACAUCUGGCAGUAAUAGGACCAAGACGAGAGGAUUGUGACCGUGUUUGAAGUGAUGCUUCAAACAAGAGAAGUUUCUCAUGGAGUUCAUCAAAGGAGAUAGCAGCUUCGCGAGCUUGGACAGCCCGAACAAGUUCUGUGUAAUCUUCAUCUAAACCAUCAAGGAUCUGUUCAGUAAGAUCAUCAGUAUCCAUAGGAGCACCAAGAACAGUAAGUUCGUCAGAUUUUGCUUUAAUGAAGUGGACAAAAUCUGUGAUACUCAUAGAACCUUUUGUGAGAUUCUUUAACUGGUUUUUCACCUGGCGAAUACGUCCACGUGAUGGUUUAGCAUAUGUUGUGGCAAGAACAUGCCAAGCAUCAUAAGAAGAAGUGGUGCGGGCUACAAAGGAAAUAAGCGAAGGAGAAAGACUGCCAACAAUGGCAUUCAAGAGAAGUUGAUCUUGCCUUACCCAGAGACUAUAGGCAGGAUUAGGGACAGUGAUAUUAUCUGUUACAAGGGUUGGUGAGGGACACGGCUUGGAGCCAUCGAUGUAACCAAGAAGAUCGUAGCCAAUAAAUAGUGUUUCAAAUUGAAUUUUCCAAGAAGCAUAGUUGGAAGAGGUGAGUUUGAGAAGGGCUUGAGCAGCUGUGUUUAUGGUGAUAAGAUGGUUUUCUGUGUUUGAAGGAAUGGAAGUUGACAUGGUGAUGGGAAGAGGGAAGAAACAGAAUUGAAGAGGAAUGGAGAGAAAAAAGAGAAAAAAAAUAAAGGAUCAGAGACGCUCUGAUACCAUGAUAGAGCUGAAGCUUUUGGAAGAGAACUGCUUAAUUAUAUUAUUAAUAGACGACAUUUAUAUAGAUACAAACCUAACAGAGUUCUCUACGUUGCAGGAAGACUAAUCCUUUAGAAAUACAAGUUGUUGCAGUAAUGGAGUCCUAAUGAAUAACAAACUGUAAGAGCAGUAAUGAAGUCCUAAUGAAUAACAAAUUGUAAGAGCUAUACAUUGAUUUAUCAGAUAAAUCUUGAUCCCCGAUGAGAUUAGCCUUGGUAUAAACAUGCAUGAUAUGCACAAUGGGAGUUUCUUUCUUUCCUUUUCCCUUAAGGAUCCUCAAAGUACAUUCUUGUUAUAUAAGAAAGAAAAAGAAGCAAAAAAUGUUUUCGUGCCGGCACAUCGCAUCAAGCAUAAAGGCAGCAGCACAGUUCUGCCGCCUUAUAUUAUUCCCAAAGGGGCCAGCCUUGCCGAUCGAUAUGUUUCUGAAACUACCUAGCAAGGGCACCACUAUCUAUUCAACUUUUCUAUUAAUUGAUGAAAGUGUACGUAUAUAUAUCAUAAACACUUGAUUUCUUCAACACAGCUCUUGAUGGACCUGCCAUGCCAGGCCAUGAGAAACAUGAUUAAAAGAUCGGUAGAAGAAAUGUGCCCAUCACUUGGAAAUUAGAUUGGAAAGUUGAUUUGAUGAAGCAUCAGCAAGUGGCAAAUGCUAGCUUUAUGUCUACGUAAACAUCUACUACAUAACUAACCAUUCUCAUUACCUACCAUAUAAUUAAGCUGCAAGUUUUCUACUUUCUUUAUGAGUUGUGUGUACGCUUAACAGAUUAGUCCCCUCUUUCUUCAAGUGAGGAUCACUCCACCGUUCGGCGUCUAGCAAAUAAUUUCAUAUGUUUGUACAUGAUAGGAGACAUGCCUUGCAUGUCUGUGUGUCUGUGUCUUCACUAAUUGAUAAUCUUUUUAUUGAUAUAAAUUAUUAACUUUAGACCUAAUUAAGGUUAAGACUUGAUUGGAUUGUACGUAAUUUGAUAUAGAAAAUGCUGUUGUUGAAUAUUAUGAAGGAAAUCCUUUCUCUUGGUUUUGAAAUGCAAUUCUUUUCCUUUUCAUUUUCCACAUCUAUAUAUACAGAAGGUUUCUAUGACUGCAAGACUACAAAAACGCAGGUCUCUGUGUAUAUAUACGAGUAUCAGGUGUCUGUAUAUAUUCUCUGUACGUAUAUCAUACGAGUAUUAAUAUGAUCAAAAGACUUGCUUCAGACUUUUGCUUGCAGCAGUACUAGCUUAGAUAUUAGAACUUGUUCAUCGUCAAAACAAGCCAACAUGAAGCUUAAUUAAGGUGUACGUAAAUUUGCUUCAAAAUCAAGCGGACUUAAUUUACAGUUUUUAAAAUAAAUCAAUGCUUCAUUUAUGUCUUCUUUUAAAUGAAGUACUCAUGUUUUUCAUGAGAACAAUUAUUUCUUAUUUACUUUGUACCAAUAUAACGCUCCAAAAAUUAUUGCUGUUCUGCUUUUAUUACAAAUUAAGUCUUAGAUUUAAACCGUAAAAGAUCCGUUGUACACUUAGAAAAUAAAGGAAGAAAAUCAUCCUUUUCGUAUUAUUAUAUUUUUCAAUCCGUCUAAUUAAUUUAAUUAACAGGAUUAAUUAUGACCCUAGAGAAAAUGAAAAUUUGAGUUGGAUCUUAAUCAUUUGCUAACGUAUCUGAAAAAGUAAUCAUAAAUUAGCAAGCAAACAGUCAUAAUUAUACGUUUAACCUUGCUCUCUCUGUUAUUUGCCCGUUCCAUAUUGAUUUUUCUUACUGUCCAAUUCAUUGUCUUUGCUCUCUGUUUUUUUUACAAGGAUAUAAUUCUCAUUUACAUAAAAAAGAUAAGAAUUUUUACAUUAUGAUCACUUGAAAUUAAUCCAAGGAAAAACUUCUUAUAAAUAAAAACCUGAGGACACCUAAUAACAUACAAAAUAAAAAAAAUACAAAAUCAUAUCUGAAAUUGAAAAUUAAAUUACAAGAGAAAAGAAGAACAAAUUAAUUAUUAACCUCGGGAAUUUAUUUAUCAUAUCAGGUGUUUUUAAUUUAGUGAGGUGACAGAAAAUAUUCCACAAAUCAUUUUGCUCAAAUAUUGAUACACAAAUUAGUCAGCAUCAUGGUGUUGUUAGGUUAAACUACUAGGUUGAAUACUUUAAACAAGAGAUCGAAGAGAGUUCCAUUUUUUCUAUCAAAAGAAAGCGGUCCAAAACAAUUUUCCACUCAUGAACAACUCUUGACCUCUCUCCUCCUCUCCUAAGUAACGUUGGUAGGUCAAGAAAACGAUCAAAUUCAAGAAAACAAACCCUAUUAAGAAUCACAAGCUCCAAACCCUAAAAUAGUAAGAUUCAACAUCAAAACAUAAAUUAAUAAACCCGUAAAUAAAGACCUUUCUGAAGAAAAUGGGGGAAAGGUGGUGGGUAGGCACGUUUGUUAUUUGUAAUCAGUGAGAUUGACAACUGGGGUCACAAUGUGACAAGCAUUGACAAGCAUUCGCAUAGGAUUUGAAGCACACCCUGCCACGUUCUCUUUUGUUAACAUCAAAUAUAUAUAUAUAUAUAUAUAUAUAUGGUUUGUCAGUUUGUAUGGUGGGCUUAUGCCCUUUUUUUUAUUUUUAUAUGGGUAAAAGUAUAGUUUCCUACUAUAGAUUAAGAAAUUUUUCAUUUUGAUCUCUAUAAUUUGAGUUUUUCCUUCUUUUUUUCAAUUACGGCUUCUUUAUUUUAUUUUGUUUGAUUUCUUGCUGAAAUCUCCACAAAACUGGCAGUUUCAAAAAGGAUAAAGCUUUUGUCCAAUAAAUUCUCAAAUGUAUAUCGACAAUAACACUACUGUCAAGUGGGUUUGUUUAUUAAUAAUACAAUGAACUGAUGAAAAAAAAUUACACUGUGAAAAGACAGAGUGCACCUUCAUUUUUUAUAGAUUAAUGUUGGUGUUCGGGUUAGUUUAUGUAUAUCUUAAUUGAUCCUGCGAGUUCUAAAACUAACAAGGCAUGAAAUUAACCGGACAAGAAAUUUUUGCCCUAAAAUGUUUUUUAAAUUAAAAUAUAAUUAUAUAUAAGAUCUAGUUUUAAAAACAAAAAAGAAGCAAUUUUUAUAAAUUUAUUAAAAAUUCAAAAAACAAUCCUAACAACUUCAAGAAAAAAAAAGGCAUGAAAACUUCCUCAUAACAAAAACGUUGUAACCCAAAAAAAUAAAAAAGAGAAAUAAUAAUAAUAAUAAAGAAAGCAACACCAUCACAGCAAAGGGGUAUUCUUGUCCAUAUAAUAAUUACGGACAAAUAAACGUAUAGAGAAGAACUUAAAACUUUUUUACAAAUUCAUAAAUGUGUUUUUCUUAACCGUUAAGACUUAAUAUCUCACAAAUACCCAUAUAAAUCACCUGUAUUUAGUAUUUACACACUGGCUCGACACUGCUCUGUCUUUGUCUCUCGUAGAGACGAACAUAAAAACCAGGCAGAGCCGACGGCAACGCCUAGAAACAGAGAGAGAAACUGAAACACAAACGAAAACAUAACAUGUCCUGUAAUAACAGAUCAAACCCACCAUUGUUUUUUCUCCUAAGCUUUCUUUUCUUUUUCUUUAUCUUUACUUCUUCAACAGCAACUCCCAGUUCUUUAACUUCCCAGUUUGAAUCUUUUUCCGUUCCUGGUAGUUCAUUUAUUAAUUAAAGAUUUUUUUUUUGUCUAAAAAUUAUGAUUUUUGUGAAAAAUAUGAAAUCUUUAUGUGCUUUUUUUUUUUUAUAACAAGAGUAAUUUGUUUUUUUUUUUUGUCAAUGUAGAUGUUGUGGUUGGUGGGAGAGAGAAUGAUGGUGUGGUGGUUUCAUGGGAGAUAAGGAGGCAUCUUGCAGAGGAAGAGAACACAGCAUCUUCUUUGAUAUUGGCUGCAAAGAAAACAAGAAGAAGAGACCCUUUAGAGAACUUUAAAUUCUACACUUCUGGUUACAAUAUCAGCAAUAAACAUUAUUGGGCUGUGAGUUCUUUCUUUAUUACCUUUUUCUGGUUUAUUUGACCAUAUUAAUACAUUUUCUUGUACUGAUUGUCACUUCAAUGAUGCAGUCUGUUGGUUUUACUGCGGUUCCAUUCUUUAUCUUAGCUUUGGUUUGGUUUGUGAUAUUUGGACUCUGUUUGUCCUUUAUCUGCCUCUGCUAUUGCUGUUGUCCAACAGAGCCUUAUGGCUACUCUAGAGCAUGCUAUGCCCUGUCUCUCAUUUACCUCAUCCUCUUUACCAUUGCUGCAAUGUAAUGACCCCUCUUUCUCGCUUUGGCUAUGUGUUUUGAUUAAUAAUUUUAUGACACCCUCAAUGUUCCUCUGCGAUUACAGUGCUGGAUGUGUUGUUCUGUAUACUGGUCAAGGGAAGUUUCACAGUAUUACAACACACACAUUGGAGUAUGUAGUCAAUCAAGCAAAUGUUACUGCCAAAAACCUCAGGCAUGUGUCAGAUUAUCUUGCUGCGGCUAAGAAUACUGGUGUAGAGUCAGUUUUUCUGCCACCCAGCGUCCAAAAUGACAUUGAUAGCAUUCAAAAAAAGAUCAACUCCUCUGGUACUACUCUUUCCAGCACUACACAGGAUAAUUCAGAAGGCAUACAAAAUGUUUUGGAUAGCAUGUGAGUAAAAGCUCUUAAAACUUCUUCUGGUGCUUGAUUGGUUUUGGAAUUUUUCAUAAUUGCUCUUAUUUUUUUGUUGUGCAUUGCAGGAGACUGGCCCUCAUUAUCCUUGCUGCUGUAAUGCUUGCUGUGGCAUUUCUUGGAUUCUGUAAGUGUUAUUUUCUUGCAUUAGAGGUGCAAAUUUAUAAAUUGUUUGAUUUAUUAUAGCUAAAUUAUUUGCUUAUAUUAUUUAUAUGAUGACAUUGGUUGCAGUAUUCUCCAUUUUUGGGAUGCAGUGCCUUGUUUACUUGUGAGUGACCUGAUUUUUGAGCCGUUAUCUGUUAACUAUUUUGAACUUGAAAACAAGUACAUGUUAUGGUUAUGAUUUGGCCAAUUUUACUGUUUAAAUUCUGUAGUCUGGUGAUCCUUGGCUGGGUUCUUGUUACGGGCACAUUUAUUUUGUGCGGUGUAUUCCUUCUCCUUCACAAGUAAGUUCUUCCUCCUGUUCUUUUUUUAUUUUUAACUUUUCUGAUAUAGGGUCAUAAAAUGCAUAAAGGAUUUUAUGCUUGAUGUUUAUUUUUUUAAAAAAAAAGGUGUGUUGAAUUAAAUUUAUGUUUUGGAUGCUUUGUGCACACAUUCUGGUGUAUAGAUGCAUGCAUAUACACAUGCAAGCACACACUUGUGGUUGUGUUGUUUCAUUGUGGCAUAUAGAGCUUUCAUGGUCUUAAUUGUUGAUGUCCAUACACACUCGCAAACACUGUUUUAGUUGUGUUGUUGCAUAACUCUGGCGUUUAGAGCUUCGUGAUCUUAAUUGUAGAUAUUCAUAGCAAACACACUUUUCUAGCUAUAAUUCUGAUGGUUGUCUUUUAAAUGUGUUUCUGAGGCAUUAUGAACCCAUUGGUUGUGGACUAGAAGUUUUAGCAUUGCUGAUGUUAAUAAAUGGGUCUUUUAUAUCUUGAUCUUGGGAUCGUCGAACCUCAUUUUCUGUCGUGUCACUCGUUGAGCUUACAGAUAGGUAAAAUGAUUCCAUAUAAUGUCAUUUCCUGGCAGAGUCAGAUUGAGAAUAUGUCUAAAAUGAUGCACUCUUCUUUUUCUACAUGUACAUGGGUCUUUUAGGAUUAUUUUUCCGCAAGAAUAAGUUUCCAUUAAAAUUGGUACUUGGAGUGGAAGAUGAUAAAUAACCUACAGCCACUCAUAUAAAGAGAGAGGAAGAAAGGAUUUGAAUAAGUAGUAGAUAUCAAUAAUUAAAAGCGCCAACAAAACUUUCAAGAGUUCUCUCACUUUGUUUUGACAACUCCUGGGCUGCAUCUUUUGCAGAGGGCUGAAGACUGAAUGAAAGUGGCUGGUGAGAACAUAAGAGAGAAUUUGAUUCUCACCUCCUCAAAAGAUUUGUUGCAAAUAAUUCUAGGAAAAGAUGAAUGUACCUAUUCAGUGCGCAAUAUUCUAGGAAAAUCAAUAAUUGGAUUUCUCAGGCUGAAAAGCACAGAAACCACAAAGUAGGCCAUUUUCAGGAGAAGCUGUUCAAUAUUGGCCAAGCAAAACUACUUUGAGUUCGCAUGAAAUCUUGAAAACGCACAAGGAUUCAGCUUCGAUAGGUUACAAAGUGACAGGCUAACUUCUUAUAUCCCGGGCACUUCUCUAGAUUCUGUUAUUUAAGGUUUUAACCAAUAGAUCUUGAGCUAUCAGCUCCUUGUCUGAACAUUGGCUAAUCACUCUUCUUCCUCUUAGUUCAUGAUUGUAUGGAGUUCAUCUGUACAUAGUAGUCGGUCAAUCUCUCUGAAUAUUUGGGCUGAUCAAGAAAUAUUCCUGAAAACCAUAUGAUUAAGAAAUUUUCAAUCCGGCUUUUUACAAGGAAAAAAUGCCCUGUAAGCUAUGGAAUCAGAAGGCUUUGUUUUCUAGUGAAUUUAAAAUCUGUACGCGGAUAGGAAAUUUAUUUCCAACUCCAUAAGAAACAAGCACACCUUAGGUUUGUAAAAGUAAUUUCUGUUAAGAUCAGGUCUAAUGAGGCUGCCUCUUGGCACUUGAAUAACUUUACGCCUCCAAAGUACCACGGUAUCCUGUUAAUUGAUCUACGUAGUUGGUUGAAGCUAGUGUCAUAUAAGAUCACUAUUUUAAAUGGUAACAUUAUGAUUCGAAGCUGUCUUUAAAACCAAAACUAUCAUUUUUCUUAAGCACGUUGACACUCUUGCACACAUGCAUGUAAAGAGAUACAUUUGCAUUGUGUUAUGGGAAACUUUCAUCUCUUGCACUUUAAAGUAUUGGACUUGGAAAAUGUUUGAAAAUGACUAUUCUUAUGAUAGUACCACAGGGCUUCUAUGUCAGAAUCAGUGUUUCUGUGCUUCUUUUCUGAGUGCGUCCCUAAAUGUGUUUGUUUGUUUGUUUGUUUAUCUGCUAGCGUGGUUGCCGACACUUGUAUUUCUAUGGAUGAGUGGGUUCAGAACCCCACUGCCAAAACAGCAUUGGAUGAUAUAAUCCCAUGUGUGGACAACGCAACUGCUCAAGAAACCUUGAGGCAGACCAAGGAGACAACCUAUCAACUUGUCAAUGUUGUUGACUAUGUAGUUAGCAAUGUCUCCAACCGAAAUUUUCCACCCCAAGCUGGAGAUCUAUAUUACAAUCAAUCCGGCCCACUGAUGCCUGUUCUUUGCAACCCAUUCAAUUCUGAUUUUACAGAUCGUAAAUGUGCUGCUGGUGAAGUGGACUUGAGCAAUGCUACCCAGGUAAUAUAUGUGAACAUGAAAAGUGUAAAUAGAAGGGCUGAAAGGCAUUUUAUUUUAUAUACUGGAUUUGCUGAAGAUUAAGCUACCAAUAAUCCAUCUCACUAGCAGAUGCCAUAUUAGAUUCAGUUGCUAGUUAUAAUCAUUGCCCGGAAUGUAUGUUUGUCAACAUCAUCGUUUUAGACGAUGUUUAAAUUUCCCAGUCGUGCAAAAUCCAAAAUCUUACUUGGCCUUCUCUGUUUAACUUGUGGUGCCAGAUUUUUAAAGUGAGAUUUUGGGGGCAAUUUUCUUGUUUCAGUAUAUUUAUGUGCUUUUCAAUUUUGAUUAAGAUUAUAAAAUCAGUUCACGACCUCCUCCUUAGUCAGCUUCUGCUUACCAAUUUUACCUGAUUUGUAAUGUAUUUAGAGUAUGAUUCAGAAAGGCUUACUGCUUUUGUUUUCUGUAUCGAGCAGGUGUGGAAGAAUUAUAUCUGUCAGGUUUCAUCAUCUGAGAUUUGUAUUACACCCGGUCGGCUUACACCCAGCUUGUACAACCAGAUGGAAUCUGCAGUAAACCUAAGUUAUGGGUUGAAUCGUUAUGGUCCGUUCUUGGUUAACCUGGAAGACUGCACUUUUGUGCGAGAAACAUUCACCAAGAUCAGCCAUUCUUAUUGUCCUGAUUUGCGGCGAUACUCACAAUGGAUAUACAUUGGGCUAGUAAUUGUAUCUGCGGCAGUAAUGCUGUCACUGAUCUUCUGGGUAAUUUACGCAAGAGAGAGAAGGCAUCGUGUAUAUACCAAGCAGUUCAUGUCCUCAUUGGAAGGCCCUGGCAAGGCAUCGUGAAGAUGCCCUAAUCUAGUUACAAGGUUGCUAAUUAUUUCUAGUCCAUAUCCUGGAUCGCUUGCUAUGCGGAUAUUCUUGUGCAUUAUGCUAAGCAUCCUUAGGCUGGAGUAUCGUUAGUGCGUUACUAAGUACAGAUCCUUUUCUCAUGACUUGUAGUUUCCUGCCUUUUUUAUUUUCGCUUGUUCUAAUGGAAUCUCUCUUGUGGAGACUGUUUUUUUGCGUAGUGUCCUGUUUUAACUUAAUACAGACCGAGCAAGCAGAUGUAAAGAUAAGUUACUUUUGCCUGAGCUGGCAAGUCCUUCAGCCUUUUCAAGUCGUGAGGCCCAAGCCAUCAUUUCUUGCACAACUGGAAUAUUGAAAGUCUUGGGGUCAUGUCUUUAAAUAGCUGCAAGAUACAGGAAAACCAUGCCAUCAUUUCUUGCACAACUGGAACUCAUUUCCUUGACAAGAUAAGAAGAAGACACCAUGGGAAGGAUCACUGACCUCUGUGCAUUCUAUCUAUAUCUCAAAGCCGUUCAAUCAAUGAUCCCCAGCUCGAAUUCAUUUCCUUGACAAAAAAUCAGUAGAAGCUAAGAUCGAAAAAAUCAGGACAUAACUUAACACCACUACUAUAUUGCCCUAUGGACUAACGAAUCAACAUCAAUGAAAGCUUUUGAUCUAUCCCCUUGCUGGUACUACCACCCCCACACACAAGCACACUUGAAAGACUUUGAGUGAAAGUAAAAAAGUGGGGUCCUUAAGCCAUGCCCAUCAUCAUCGUAAAUAACAAAUUAUAGAGACUCGUGAACAAGUUUUUUCGUGACGCUUUGUUACGUGUCUGAAUUCUGUGAUGCUUGUUAAAUAAGGACGGUAGGUGUGGUAGCAACUGGCUAGGCAGGUCCCUGCUGGGAUUAAUCGACAUGGCUGGAUUGCCUCGCUCUUGUUGCUGUGGCACAUUGCCGACAUCGAUUUGCUCUGUGUGUGAACCCACACGACCGACGUAAAGCAUGCAUAGUCAAGUUUAAAAGUUAAAACCAAUUCUUGUCUGGCCAAAUUUGCUGCUGCUGCUCCGUGUGAACUGGUUUAAAGGUAUGAAGGCCUAAAGCUGGCUUAUGGCUUGGGGCUUCAUAUCGUUAUGGUGCCAAAUGCAAGAUAGUACUGAUUGCAAAAAGCAUGUAUCAAAAUUGAAAUCUCAGUUGACAAGGCAAUUUAAUUCGCUAGAGAUUCCUUGCUUCCCAGACAAGUCUAAUUCGUAUUCAAUGGUUUGGACGGCAAGACCAAUCUUGUACCCUAAACCUUCAUAAUUGCAGCAAAACAAUCAAAAGGACAAGAGGAGUGGUUGUUUUGGCUUUUGAAGCGACAAUAACAGCGCCUGAGACUUGAAUUUGAAGUUUGUUCCCUCUCCAGAAGAAGAGUGAUUUUUUUCAAUUAUAUUUAAUAUGUAUUUGGUAUUUUGACGUAGUGUAUUUUUAAAUUGAAAAUAAAUUUUUUUUUAUGGCCUGGAAAGCUUAGGAUGGAAUAGGAUCCGGUCAGGUGAACCAAGCGUUUUAGUAUCAAAAUAUACAUUUUUAGGAUUUCUUUUUUAUUUCUUACACUAAAUAUAUUAAGACUAUUCAAAAACUCCUAAAAUAGCAUUAAUUUAAUAUUUAUUCAGAAAAAAAAAUACUUUGUAAAGUAGAUUGCAACUCAAAACAAACACAUCCUUGUAAAAAUAGUAGAAUGAAAGAAAGUUUUAACCUCAAUUCUUCACCGCUUAUAUUCAUAUUUAAAUUUUAUUAUUUUUUGUGCAUUUAAAGAAAUUUACCAGUUAUAUGUUGGAAUCUAUAUUUAAAAUAAAAGAUAAAGCAUUAUUAUUAUAAUAUAGUUAUAUCAUAAUUAAUUGUUGUGAAAGAUGAAAAGAAUAAGGACAAAACUAAAUUCACAAACUUAGAUCAUUCAUUUUAUAAUCCAUUGAAGGAAAAAGAUCAUCAUAUUAUUUUUCUAAUUUUAUUAUCACAUUAUUUUUGGAUUUAAUCUUUUUAUUUAAUUAAUUUUGUAAUCCAUAUCUGUAAAAUUUUAAUAUGUGUGGAGAGUACGGAUCAAGAGCUGGGAACACAAUCCUAUUUUUUAUUUGUUCAAUAAGAAUUUCGCUUGGAUUUUGAAUUACACAGCGCAACACACUUUUAUAUAUAUAUAUAUACAUACUGUUUUGAAAGUAACUUUUUUAAAAAAAAAAACGUUAAAUUAAUAAUUUUUUAAGAGAUUUUAGUUUGAUAUUAUCUAUAAUUUAGUAUAAAAAUAUAAACUAUAAUUAUUUGACAAUUAGAAUUAAAAGUUCUAGAUUUAAGUGAUGUGAUGUUUUUUUUUUUAAAUAUUGUUUUUUGGAAAUAUAUUAAAAUAAUAUUUUUUUAAUUAUUUUUAAAAAUUUAUUUUUAACAUAAACAAAUUAAAAUGAUUUAAAAAUAAUAAAAAAUAUUAAAAAUUAAAUUAUUUUUAAUAUUCACACGUUAAAAUAAUCUAAAAACACAAAAAAUAAAAAUAAAAAAAUUCUUUUUUUAAAAAUACUUUUAAAAUACAAUAUAAACAUGCUAUUAAUAUCUAUUAAUAUCUAUUACGUUCUAAUCAGGAAUUUCCUGUGAGUUGCCGUGGAGUAAUUGUUUGGAAAAACUGACGGACUCAUCCAAAUGUAAUGUAUUAUCCAAUGGAUUAAGGGGUUGAUUAGUAACACUAAGAUAUAUCUUCUCUUUCUACAAUACCCAACAACAUCUUACGUUAUUACACUAAGUAACACUUAACCAGGUUGUCAUUAGUACCAAAUCAAAGGUCAUUAAGUCCAAAGGAGGCUAUAAAAGUGGCCAUAAAUCCUUCCAUAGGUUAGCUUACCUCACAGGAGACAGGAUCCUAACAGAUUCGAAAGAAACUAUCUUAUAUUACAUUAUUACAUGCAUGGCAUCUAGAAGUGGACCUUGUCCUAAGUCACAUACACAGCAAGCAACCAGGACAUGCCUGUGUUCACCCACCACACAUCCCGGAUCAUUCAGGUGUGGUCUGCACCGGGAUUCCCUUAGGGUGCCUGCCAGAUCAAGAAUCGGUCGUGCUGGGUCGAAUACCAAGGGGGGAUUGGCUUUGAUUGCCAAAGCAAAUUCAUUCAAGGCAAUCUUGUUACAGAUUAUCAAGCCGUCUAGUCAUGAUCUUCACAGGAGGAGGGAUUUCCAGCCAAGGCUUACCAGGUUUUGCCUAAUGAAUGCCAGUAGAGAUAGGGUUGCUUGUUCUUGAUCUUAGUUUUGUUAGAUUCAAGAAAUUUGGUAGCUUUUUUGUAAAUUUUGUUAGAUUAAUUAGAUCAGGAGAUUUUGCAGUUGUUCUGGUAUGUAUGUAUAUAUGUAUGUAUGCGGAUUUAUGUACUUAAGGUUAAUUAAUUGAGUGCCAGGGAGUCUGAUGCAUCAGGAAUUUAUUAAAAAUAUGGAGCUCUAAGAUUCGUACCAGAAUUAAUAAAAAUACAUACGCAUAAGUCCACGCAUUUAUCAAACGAAAGCAGUUUUAAGGACUGUCUGUUUAUAUAUUUUUUUUAUAAGUGUUUUUAAAAAAAUUAAAUUUUUUUUGUUUUAAAUUAAUAUUUUUUGAUAUUUUUAUAUCAUUUUGAUAUACUGAUAUCAAAAAUAUUUUUUAAAAAAAUAAAAUAAAAAUUAUUUUAAUGUAUUUUCAAGAAAAAAACACUUUAAAAAACAAUCGUUAACACACUCCGAAAUACCCCUAGAAAUAUUUAAGUAUAUGUAGAAUCUUGGGUUCGUUAAUUUCUUGGGUGUACAGUAGAGUUUGGUUAGCGUUCUAAGAUAAAUUAAUAAAGAAAGGAUAAAAAUGUUUUUGAUUGGAAAAACAAAGAAAAAAACAUAAAAUAAAAUAAAUGUCUUUUCAGUUAUUAAUAAAAAAUACAUGGGAUAUACAAUCCAUCUUUUUUAUAUAUCUUGAAAUAUUAAUCAAACAUCAACUCACAUAUAUAUUCUAAUAUUAUUAAUUAAUCAAUUAAUACAUAAUGAGACUUUUAUAAGUGUAAUGAAGAUAGAGUUAACAGCAUGACAAUUGAGUUAAUUAAUAGCAAUCCUUGUCCUCAUUAAGAUUGUAUAUAUCACAGUUGGAAGAUUCAACUUGCCAAAAUACCUGCAGGAAUUGACCGACCUCUUACACUUGCAAUUCUAACCCUAAUACAUUGGAAUUGGUAUCGAUUCACUGGGGUUCUGAUGAACAACAUUCACCGGGAAAUUCAAUAAACCAUUUCCAACCAUCUAAUUCAGAUAGAGUAAAUAUUGAAGAUUAUAGAAACAGAAGUGAAAGAGAGAUUAAUUAAAAGGGAAAUAUGCCAAAUUUAUCUACAUACGAUACAUAUCUCCAUACUUGAAAUUAAUUAAGCUUGAAAUAGAGCUUGUAAAUCUUUGAUUUUUCAUUAGAGCUUGGGCGUAUCACAUGGAGUCCUCUUCAAAAACGAGUAUCAUCAAUUUAGUCCCUUGUAGAUGAUGAUAGACCAUCAAGGCCAAAUUAACCAGGUGGUGGCCUAGUGGUAAGAGCUUGGGACCAAGAGGUUUGCUCCCUCUGUGGUAUCAGGUUCGAGCCAUGUGGUUGCUCAUAUGAUGGCCACUGGAGACUUACAUGGUCGUUAACUUCAGGGCCCGUGGGAUUAGUUGAGGUGCGCGCAAGCUGGCCCGGACACCCACGUUAAACUAAAAAAACUAAAAAAAAAAAAAAGUAUCCACUAUCAAAUUGUACUUGGUUAUUUGAAAUUCUAUAAAUUAAUAAACCGAAUCCUGAAUGACGUUCUUACACUUGAAUACAUUAUCUCUUAUCAAACCUGGCUUGCUCGCCUUCAACUAUGAUGGCAAAACAUGCAUGCAUGCAUUAAAUGAGGAUAGCCAUACAUAUCCUCUAGAGAUUGAUGAUGUUAUCAUCGAUAGUCAUAUAGAAUCUCAAAACCCAGAACUUAUAAGAUAUUUUUUAUAGUGAUAUGUUGUCAUUUUGAUCUUUUUUUUAUCUCCAAAUAGUCCAAAACUGUAGAUAGUAAGCACGGCGAUCAUCAUAUCCUUGCAUGAACACGCUUUGCAUGAACACGCUUUCAUGAAUUCAUAUUCUUUUUUAGAUGAAGUCGAAGGCUUGAUUUUCUUUUUCUUAUUCAAAUCUAAAUAUUCUCUGCAGUUAGAUAAAUACAUACAUAAUCUCACAAAACUCUCAUCGGUACCAAAAGUCACCAGCUUUUUUUUAAAAAAAAACACCUUAUUUUUGUAGAUGUUACAACCAUGUAAGCCCAACCUCCCGUGCCUUCUAACCUAUAACAAUAUUAAGAAAAUCAUAAUUUUUUUUAAGGAUUUUCAACUAUCUCAUCACAUUUGAUUGAUUGUUUUUUGGUAGGAAAAGGCGUGGUACUAAGUUCCAUUUUAAGUGAGACUUUUUCAUGAUACUCCGUUGUGCUACAGAACCCUAAUGUCCCACACUCGCACUUGAUCCUUUGAUGACAGCUAAAAAUGUGCUGUCUAAGGGCUACCAUUGAUUUAAAAUGCUUAAGAAAAUAGCCCUACAGUCACUAAUUUGGAAAGGCAAGAAAUUACUUGGAAUUAGAGGUUUCAAAAGGGAGCAGAUUUCAUUUUAAGAAAAAAAUAGUGAAUUAUAAGGGUAUAGCGAGAGAUCCAAUUAAUGAAAUCCUUUUUAUUAUAUAAAUAUAUAGUAUAAAAAAAUAUAACCUUGAAUAUACUUUUUAUAUGGACCAAUUCUACUAUAUUAUAGUGACAUUUAUGAAAAAGCUAUUGAAAUUUAUUGCACAUACCAAAAAGUGUUUUUUAUAUUGAAACAUCAUUUUCUGGAAUUUUUAUUUUUUCUCUUUUGAUUUCAUAUGUUUACAUGGUUGAUAAAGUCUUCAUUCCCAUUUGCUGUAUUUUCCGUGUCAGGGCGGGAUUGACUGCCGAAAUCAAAACCAUGGCUUCCUUAAAAACUGUACGCUGUCCCAAACCAUGGUUAUAUUUUAUAAAAAGUGUAGCAGCCACAUUAAAUAAGGGCCUACACAUGGCUCAAAAAGAGUACCAAGGACUAGUUCUCUUCCACAAUAAAUAUUCAGGGUCAAAAAGUCAGAUUGAUUUAAAGUUUGACCAUUGAAAUGUUAGAGAGGAAGCAUCGAGUGACAAGCUAGAUAUUAAGAGACGUUUGAUAAUGAAAUAAUGUUAGUUUUUUUAAAAAAAUUUAAUAUAUAUUAAAAUUAUUAUUUUUAUUUUUUAAAAUUUAUUUUUAAUAUCAACAAAUUAAAAUAAUUUAAAAACAUAAAAAAAUUAAUUUAAAGUAAAAAAAAAAAUAAUUUAAAAACAUAAAAAAAUUAAUUUAAAGUAAAAAAAAUUAAAAAAUUAAAAAACAUAAAAAAAUUAAUUUGAAGUAAGAAAAAAUAAAUAAAUAAUUUUUUUUCAAAAAUAUUUUUAAAAUCCUUAUCUGCUUUAAAGAAUUCCUUUGUUUUUAUAUUUUAAAAUUUAUUUUAAAAAAUAUAAAAAUCAUUUAUUUUAUUUUAAAUUGAUUUUUUUGUGUCAUACUAAUAUUAAAAAUAAAAUAUAAUAUACAUAUAUAUAUAUAUAUAUAUAUAUAUAUAUAUAUAUAUAUAUGUAAGGCAGUAAAAACCUCCAAAAAUCAUGGGCUUCCACACCAUGUGGAAGAAUAUCACUCUUCUUCUUAUGAAUGCAUGCAGAUGCUGUAGUUUUCAAAACCAGUUGCUGAUGCUUGCGAGCAGAUUUUUUAAGUUUCCUGCCAAGGACCACAGCUAGCACAAGUGGGAUGGUUGCGUGCCAUUUGCGUGGAGGUUAAACUAUUCCAUUUCUAGACAAUAUAUUUGCCAUCUGCAUAAAAGUUAAAGAACUACUAGCUCCUUCAAGUUGUUAAAAAAUCAUCUUUAAUUACUUAUUUACUCUAUAAUAAAAAAAAAAGUUUGUCUUGAGUAAAAAGAAAUAUACUCAAACUUAAUUGAUUUUUUUAUAAUUAUGAUAAUUGAAUCAUCGGCACCUAUAUGCGAUGAUUAAGGCCAUUAUGAUGAUCAAGACAAUCUCAGAGCCUGUAAAGACUUACAUGGUUGUUAAUUUUAGGAUUCAUGAGAUUAAUCGAGUUAUACGCAAAUUAGUUCGAAUAUCAAUGUUAAUAAAAAAAAACCUAAGAAAAUGUUCAAAAUGAUAGAAGAAUUCAGGAAGAACUUGUUAAAGAAGUGAAAACAGAACAAACCAAUAUUAUUAAUUUGGUAACAUAAUAUGAAGCUAAAUCAAAUUAUCUUGAUCAUGUCCAAAACUUCAGUAACAAGUGGCAUGAUUAGAGAAGGGAUAUUCUCGACGCGUUUUUGCAAAGUAUCUUGCAUUCACUCAUGGACCGUUGUAUCUUGUCAAAGAAGCUGAAUUGAAAAGGAAAGAAGGAGAAAUAUCUAUACCAGAGGAAACCCGGCGCAUAUGUUUGACCCUAUUUCUAGUUUUUAUAUGCAUGGGUUCCCCUCGUUAAUUAAGUCUUCAAUGGCUCCGGUGGUCUAAUUUGGCAUAUAUAUAUAUAUAUAUAUAUUGGAAGAAAUCAAACUAAUAAUUAAUAUAUAUUGAGGAAAGGAAAAGGGCAGUUCAGUGUGGGUGGCUGCUGAGGGGAGUUGCUUUACGACUGGUCUUGCUGGUCCACCCAUGAUGAAAGAUGGUUCUAUAUUGACGCUGGUCAAGACCCACAUGGUGCAUGCAAUUCUUCAAUUUUAUUUUCUUUUUAUCAAUUGAAAAAAUAUUUCUGUUUUCGAAUCACAUACAGCCUUAAUUACUAGCUAGUAAACUUCUUACCCCCUUUUUACGAGCUCUUUUCAUAUAAGAAUUAUUUUUAUGCUUCUUUAAACGUGACCAAAUCCCUUCAAAUCUUCUGGAUGGUAUGCAUUUGGAGGAUGGAGAUGAGUUUUAAUUAAUUAGGUUAAAAGUAUCCUUCUCCAUGAAGUUCGUUUUCCUUUCGAUUCCCUCAAUAUUAUUCUUUUGAGGCACUUUACAAGUUGUGAUGGAGCACUUGAUGAAUCCAAGAGAUAAGAUUUCCCAUCACUUUUUUAAAUAUAUAGUUGAUGAGAUCUUUAUAGCAAUUUAAUCCAACAAAAGCGACGUAUAUAUGCAACCAAAUGGUCCAGCCAAAUUGCCACCAAUAAAGAUCUUCUUGGUAGAUCCCUCGCUAUAUAUAAAUAUAUAUUAUAAAAUGGUGAUUUCUCGCUCUUUUUACUGAAAUCUUAAGGGUUAAGCUCUUCAAAGUUGCUUUUAAAUUAUACAAAAUGCUUUACUCAAUGAUGAAUUCGAGUAAAGUGGUAAGAAAGAUGGGUAUUGUUGAGAAAACGAUCAUCAAUCAUAAAAUAUUUCAAAAUUCAAAAUUAAUAAUAUAUUAACUAGAUAUAUAGUUAUAAAACAAUUCAUUUUUUUGGUUAAUAACAAAAUAAAAUACAAGGACGUAUCUUUUUUUUUAUUUAUUAACGUGGGUAUUCAUACCAGUUUGUGCGUAUCUCAACUAAUUUCACGAGCUCUGAAUAAUGAUGAUGAUAUUAGUAACUAUAAUUACGUAUUUUUGAUUUAAAAGAUCGUGAAUCGAUACAAUCCUUUUUUUUCAUUAUAUAAUAUUAUCUAAUGAUGCUACGCACAAUAUAUGAAAUGGAAGAUAGCUAGCAAUGAGUCAUGCUGCAUGAAGUCGAGACAUCUUUUUACUAGGGCACACACAAGAGUUCAGAAAACGAAAAAGAAGCAUGACAUAAAGUGAUGAGCACUUCCUCCAUUUCUAUUAUGAUAUUAUACUGCAUUUAUCUGUUGAUUCUGCUGAGCAAGCAAAGAUAACAAGAAAAGCCUCCUUAGUGGGUCAGUGACAACACAAUCGAUAUAAAAAAUUAGAAAUCGUAUAUGAUCAGAUAGGUAAAAAAAAAUUAAAUUAAAAUGAUAUUGUAUUAAAAAAAUAUAACUAGAUUAUGAAUUUUAACCCGCUGAAUAAUUCCAGAUUAAUUUUUUAUAGCUAGCAUAGUCUUCGAAUGGAUUGGUCAAAGUCCGGAUCAAUGCACCAAGCCUAGCUAAGUUCAAUAAUAGUGAACAAACCAUCAGCGGCCGCCAGAAAACAAUGCAUAUGGCCUAGUGGUUUGGGUUUGAUUUCCAAAACCCAGUGUACCUGACACGUUGUGCCUUUUUAUGAAUUUAAUUAAUUAAUUGACUACAUUAAAAUAAAUGAUCUCCAAAACCCAGUGUCACUAAAAUAAGGGAGUUCAGUUUGUUGACACGACUCUAGUCAUGAAAGCCACCCAUGCCAUGAAAAUGUGAAAAUAAAAAUAUAUUGAAAUUCGUUUUUUAUUAUUAAAAUAUUUAAAUAUAUUUUGAACAUGGUUUUAUUUUAUUUAUUAUUUUUUUAGCUUUCAAUUGCAUAAAAUAUAAAUAUAUUGUUUUGAUUUUUUUUUUAUUAAUUUAAUAAUUAUAAAAUAUUUUUUCAAUAAUUAAAGUAAAUUUCUAAAAAAAUAUACAAACUAGUAUAGAUCUAGAAUUACUAAAUAAAAAAGAAACAAAGCAAAAAAGAAGAAGCACUUUCGUCAGUGACAACAUCAACACUAACCUCGGUUAACAACACAGCCUUAAAAAGGACUCAAGCGAGAGAGAGACAGGGACAAAAGAGAGAGAGAAGAAGAGUUUCCCAAAAUGUACGGUACUUGUUUAGGAAAUUGUAUCGCUUGAAAGUACAAUUUUUUGAUAUAAAAUUAAUUCUCAAAGAUGACAUUAUUGAGUUUUAAUUUAUUAGUGUCAAUGGGGUUGCCAUAUUGUUACUUAUGAUUCAAAUUAAAAAAAAAUCGAGAAAUUUUGUAUGCGUUGUUUAUUUAAGAACUGAUCGGGUUGAAGUAUAAUCUUAUGGUGUGGCAAAUAAUGUUUAUUUUUUUUUUUUUAUCCUAGUCUGGUUAACUAGUAAAAAAUAUAUUGAUGAUGAAAUUAAAAAUAUAUAUAUAAAAUUAAAAGGAAAAAAACACUUAACUAUUUAUAUAAACAACUGCAGCAUAGAGUAAAAUACCUUGCUUGAGACUAAGGGGUUUGCUCUCUCUGUGAUCUCAGGUUCGAGCCAUGUGAUUGCUCAUAUGAUGACUACUGUAGGUUUACAUAAUCGCUAAUUUCAGGGCCCGUGAGAUUAGUUGAAAUACGCACAAACUGGUUCGAACAUCAAUAUUAAUAAUAAAAAAAAUACCAACAAUCCUCUCAUUGAAAUCGAGAAAGAAAAAAGCACCUGGAUUGGGAAUGUGUGGUAGUUGGCUCAAGAAUUUAAUCAUUGAGAUAGGGUAAAUUUAACCCUCAUCUAAGCUAGCAGGUGAGAAGUUCUUUCCAGAUAGAUACAAAUCUUCACCAUAAUCUCAUCCAUAAUUAUAUUUGGUUGGAGAGAUUUGAAGCAUUAAGCCUUAUUAUCAUUUGCUAGCUGUAAUUUUCAUCCUGUGCUUAGUGGAGAUUAGCUAAACAUCAUUUCAUGAUGUCAUGGGCUUAUAACACGAUCCCAUGUUAUUUGUUCUUCAAGAAACCAUCAUCAUCAUUAUUGCUGUUAUUAUUAUUAUUAUUAUUAUUAUUAUAUAACCAUAUGCUUAAUUUUAAUUCCGGGAAAUGUAUAUGAACUCCUCACACUAGGAAAAAAAAAAGGGGGGGGUGGGGGGGGGCUAGUUUAACGGUAACCUUUACCGGCUAAGAACUUAGACUGCGGGCGCAGCUCCAAGUUACAAAUUUCGAUCAUGUACGUCAAAGAUUUAUAAAUGUGUCCAUGGUUAUCUCGUGAAGGUGUAGUAUUAAAUAGGUAUUUGAAGAAAAAUUAAAUUUUUUAUAUAUUUUAUAUUAUUUUGAUGUAUUGAUAUCAAAAAUUAUUUUUUAAAAAUUAAAAAUUAUUAUUUUAAUAUAUUUCCGAACUCAAAUCAUUUUAAAAAUUAAUUAUUGCUACACUUUUAAACACCCAAAAUUAAAAUUAAUGUCGCGUGAUUAAUAAGUUUAUUUGAAAUAAAAUAAAAAAAGCCUCAAUGGUUUCUCAUUGUAGAAAAAAAUAAUUGUAAUUUGUAAAUAAAAAAAAUACCCUAAAACAUAACCACGUAUAACAUUAUUAUAAUGGCACAACUUCACCAUUCAAAUGUAUUUAUUGUGUUAGCUAAGAACAAUAAAUAAAAUUAUUGCCUCCUUUAGUUAGGAUCAUCAAGUAGCAUGUGCAGAGCUUCUUCUAGAGACACACACGCCUACAUUGUCCAUCAAUGCCCAUGGAUUUGUUACCAUGAAACAACAGGCUGCUAACGAUGCCCAUGGAAUUGCCUAUAUUUUUAAUUAUAUAAUAUUAAAAGUCCCUCUUUUUACGUAAUAAUUAAAUAAUUUAAAAUCAUAAUAAUUAAUUUUUUAAUUAAAUAAGACUUUUAGAUAUAAUAUAGUCAAACUAUACUAAAUUAUGUAAAAAAAAUAAUCUAUUCAAUCAUAAAACUAACUAACAUCAAACUAUUAUACACGGGAAUAAGCCCGACAAUACAAAUUGCUUCACUAUUAAAAUAACAAUAGCAAGAGAAACAUAUUUAUAUGAGUAAGUGUACACAUUUAAAUACUUGUUUGGAAAUAUGAUUGUUUUUUAUUUUUAAAAUAUUUUUUAUUCAGAAAUAUAUUAAAAUAAUAUUUUUUUUAUUUUUAAAAAAUUAUUUUUAAUUUCAGUGCAUUAAAAUAAUUUAAAAAUACUACAAAAUUAUUAAUUUAAAAAAAUAAAAAAAUAUUUUAUUUUAAAAUAUUUUUAAAAUACAAAGGUUAAAUCAUUUUUGCUGCCUCAUCUUUCUGUUUAUCUCCACAAUACAAGUGAAUGAAAUAAGUACUCGUAUUUACUAUUUACUGUUUACUGUUUAUCUCCACAAUACAAGUGAAACAAGAAUACAAGCGGAUAGACGCGAGUGUAACGUGGAAUGUAAAGCGCGUGUGAGAGUAUCACAGUAGGAGACAGAGCCUUUCCAAGAACUGUCAGUGAAACGGAUCAAAAUUCAUUGCUUUCUAUUCUUUUUUAUCGUUUUUUUUUUUUACCUCAGAGACGGAGAGAGAGAAAAGAGCCCAUAGAUUUGGUUCGGUUUCUGCUUUGAAAACCAUUUGAUCAGUUGGAUUGUUUGUGUCCUAACUUGGUAACUAGCCCAACCAUAGGUCUUGGUUAGGUCUGGCUUCGCUUUCAACACUGCACCUCUUACCAGUCGUACCAAGUUGUUUUUGCAGUCAUGCCCCCAUACUUUCCCUUUUCUUAAAACUAAUCACUGAUGAUGGUUUUCUACUUUUAUGUAUACUUUUUUUUUUAGUUUAACAAGAGUGUCCGGACCAGCUUGCAUGCACUUCGACUAAUCCCACGGGUCCUAAAGUUAACGAUCAUAUAAGCUUCUAGUGACCAUCAUAUGAGCAACCACAGGGCUCAAAGCCUGAGACCAUAAAGGAAGCAAACUUCUUGAUCCUAAACUCUUAUCACUGGAGCACCAUCUAGAUAGUUUAUAUACAUUUUUUAUUAUCAUGGUUUGUGCUUGCAUGUUGCCAUGUUGUUCUACUCUUUGUUUUUGUUCACAAGAUUUGGAAUGAAUAAUCUAAUUCAGGGAAUUAAUCCAAUUCAAUUUCCGUGGAAGUCCUAUAUAAAGGGGAAAAAUCCUGUUAAUUCCGUUAUUGAAUAUUGGUAUGACAAGGAGGAAUCAAUAUACUGGAGAGAUUUUCUUUAUAAUAUAGUAAUAAAUUCAAUGUUCUAAACUAAUACAUGGAGAUUGAAUGUUUUUUUUUCCUUCAAUGCAUUGGAAAGAAUUAAUAAAUACCAUGAUAAAAUAAAAGAGAUCAAUUGUUUGUAUAAAAUGAAUAAAACAACAAUCUAAAUUAAUUUUAUAUGAAUUUUUUAAAAUGAUUUUUAAAAAAAUCAAUCUCAUGUGAUAAAAUAACAACCAAUAUAUAUUUGUAUAAAAUUUUAUAUGAUUUUUUAAAUUAAUUUUGCGUUAGAGGAGGCCAAAUUAUUUUUUCUCGACAUGAACAUUAAAAAUUAAUUGUCCAUAACAAUGUUAAUAUUUAAUGACCUAAAAUACUAAAACAGAAGAAAUCUAAAACAUUCUUCUCUAUAUGUAAAUAAUCAAAUGUGUAAGGAGUCUAGAGGAAAGUCCAAAUUAAAAUAUCCUAAACCCCUCGAAAUAUCGCGAAAUAUCGAACACCCCCUUCCUCCCCUUCCUUCCCUAUAAAUACAUCGCUAGAGUGAAGUUAGGUUUGCCAAACUCGAUAGAAAAACAGUUUUCUUUAUUUCCCUACAAUCUUCUCCUCAUCCCUCUUUACUGCAACCCCUAAGAACAGAACAACCACCAUCAAAAUGGCGGCCAUGGCCACUGGAUCUUCUAGAAGAACCUCGAGCGGUCCGGUUAUUCGCUCUCUCUCUCCAUCCGGUAGAUUCCACCAGCACUUCUCCAGAUCUCCGUCAGCUUCCGCCUCCUCCAGCCCCUUCGCUUACUCAAGUUCAAGUUUCAUGUCUCGCUCAUCAACUUUCUUCACCAGAUCCUCAUCGCCUACACGGGUUAACAUGUACGGGCACUCCACACCGUCGCCUUCUUCAUCCGUCCGCUUAAAUGCCGUCUCUCCUAACCGCUCAAUCUCCACCGUCAAUCCUUCUCGGAGCCACAACCAUCAGGUAGUGAGAAAACAGAGCACUCCUAAACGGACUUGCAUGUGUUCGCCGUCUACACAUCCAGGCUCUUUCCGGUGUAGCCUCCAUAAAGGCACGGGGUUUGGCAGUUCUACCUCAUCAAGUAAUUACUCUUCAAACAACAAUCGGCUGAAUGCGAGAAGAUCUGCCAUGACCAAUUCGCUAGUGAGAAUCGGCGGUGUGGAAGGUGAUUUGGUGAGAAGAGCCUUGGCCUCUUUGAUCCGGCCGUCUUCUCACCAACAACGCCGGCGUACAGCAUUCCAGUCCCGACCGAGCCGGCUUUCCGUCAUGUCAAAAGCUGAGUCUUAAGGGUAUGUUGGUCACUUCAAGUUUUUAUUUGCUUGCUCACCCGACGAGGACUGGACUCAGAUUGCAGUGGUGGCGCGUGGAAAUCGGGACGGAAAGUUUUUUAUCGGAAUCCGGUGACGUAACACAAUUCGACGACAGGACUUUCUGAAUAUAUAGAUACAUAACACAUGGCUUUUGAGUGUGUAUAGUUAUCAAAGCUAUAUUAUUCAGUUGCAAAAUCAAGUCAUUUUUAAGGACUUCAAAAUUCUAACCAACAAAAAUUAACAAAUAACCAACUCUAAUCUAACUAGAAAAUUAACUAAACUAAGUAAUCCGUUAAUCAGAAUUUGUGGAUUUCAUCAAGCCAUGUCAAUUUCCCAGCUGUGAGUGGAUUUUUCCGUUUGGACUCACGUUUUCUGUGAACUCCGUGUAGGGGUUUUUGUGCUGUGCGCGUGUUGUUUACGCCCAUGAUCCAUCCGUUCACCGUAUUCGUUUAUGUGGUUUAUUUUUCUUGUCGAGGUAAGGGUGUUUUUUAUUGGUUAACUUUGCUGCUUCUUUUUUAUUUUUUUUAUUUGCAGGUGUGCAUUUUCACUUGCCGGGAAAUUGAAGUGUUUAUAUUUGAGCUGGAAAUUAAAAGUUUGAGAAAUUAUACCGGACAAGGACAAACCUUUGCUCUGCUUGGAUUGGAGAACAUUAUUAAUGAUAAUAAUAAUAAUAAAAUUGAAGUGGGUGAUUAAUAUAUUCAAUUAAUAAUGGAAAUGACGUGAUAUUAUUUGGUUACUUGAUAGGAGAAAUUUAAAUUAAAUAAUUAUAUCAUAAAUGCAGAUUCAUUAAUUUAUGAAAAAAAAGAUUGAGAUUUUUUCUCAAUGAAUAUUAGAAGAAAUUCUUGCUUGGAAAUUAAGUCCUUUGAGGAAAUGGAAAUAUUGUGAACAAUUGCGUUUGGCUAAAGUACCAUAUAAUUACGCGCUGAGAAAUAAGAAAAGGGCUGAGAAGAAAACUGAAAUGGAGAAAAAGGAAAUGCAAGCUUGAAAAUGGAGGGGAAAAACGGAGAAAAAAUGACAGUAUAUUUCAUGUAAAUAAUCUGCUAACGUAAGAUUAAAAAGAAAAAUGAAAAUUGCAGAAGAAUUCGUGCAAAUUAAAAUCACAGAAAAACGAAAAAUACGUUGAAGAACAUUUCUUUUUUUGUGGGAAUACAUUAAUAACAAUUCUAUAUUAAACAGCUGUUAGGUGAAUUCUGGUCCUGGUGACAAUAUGCAUUAUAUUUUUGAAAAAUAUUUUUUAAUUAAAAUACUUUUUAUUAUGUUAUCGACACAUAAAAAUAAUUAAAAAAAUACAUAAAAAUAAUAAGCUAAACAUAAGUCUAGACUCAAAAUGCUACAUCCCUAAAAAAAAACAUAGCUUCAUGGAAGGUCUAUGGAUUAUCUUUAACAUUUAAUUACGGGUGUCAUUUUUAAUAUUGUAUUUCUAUCACCUUAACUAAAAAUACAAUAUAAUUAAUAUAAAUUAAUUUUAAUCUAUGUGUUUUUUCAUUCUAACUAUUUGAUAUUUUUUAGGUUCACUUAAACCUAUUAUUUAUAAGUUUUUAUGUUUUUCACUUGAGUUAGGAAUCAUUACUCUUAGAUCUGGUUUCUGUACAUUUGAAUCACUUAUGAAUUUAUUUUUGAUAAAUUCAAUACAUAUAUAUUCAACAAUUACAUUAGUUUCUAAAUCCAAAAGCCUAUAAACCUUUAAAAUUUGUGCAUAACCAACAAAAACACUAUAAAGACCCUUGGAUUCUUUUUUUUAUAUAUAUAUAAAAAACUUUAUAAAAAGCUACACACUCCCACAUUUUAAAAUAUUUCAGAUUUGAUUUUCUACUAUUUCAUGCUUCUAAGAGAGAAAUAUUUAAUUUUUUUAGAAGAUAUUCUAUUAUUAAUAUGACAUCCAAUAUGACAUCCAAUAAGUAAAAGUUUCACCCCAUAAAUUAUUUAGUAAAUUAGUAUUUAAAAGCGUGGUUUUUUGUGUGUUUAAGCACUUAUAAACACAUUCAAUUAAAUAAAAUUGAUAAUUAUUUAUGUAUAUAAAUAAAUAAAAUCGUUAACAAUAACUAAAAGUAAAAUUAAAAAAAUUAAUAGUUAAAUGUAAAACAAAUUAUUUCCCGUAUGCUAAAAAGACACAUGUAUUUCCCAUAUGCUAACACGCGAGGCCCAUAUUCUUGCAGUGUAUUGAUUUAAAAAUUCAUUAUUAAGGUCAAAACAUUCAAAUUAUCUUUAAUGAUUAUGAAAUUAAUAAUAAUAAAAAAACAAUGUGAAAAGAUGAAAUCUCUCCUCAACACAUGCCUUAAUGUUUUACUAUUCAAAAGGGCAUAAAAGUUAUUUUUCUGUUUUGUAAAAUAACAUAAAGACAAAAAUACACUUGGCCAAUAGUUUUUUUUUUAAUAUGGUGGUAAAUAAGUUGUUUUAAUUCAAAAAAAGUUGGAAAGAUGAAAAUAACCCUUCAUUAAUGGCUGGUUGAUCUUUUGAAAAUACCAAAUCCUCCUCAAAAUCAAGAUCAAGGCUCUCUAUUUUUUUUUUUCAAAGGACAAAAUUAAUUAUUAAGAGCAAAAAGUUUAAACUAUCAGAAUUAAUAAAAAAAUUCAUAUGAAAAGAUGAAAUCACCCUAAAUACAUGCCUUAAUUUUGUACUAUUCUAAGGGCAUAAAAAUUAUUAUUUUUAUUUUGUAAAAAAACAAAAAAACAGAAAUACACCUUAUCAACAAUUGUUUUUUAAUGAGGGGUAAAUUUGUUGUUUUAAUGUUCAAAAAAAGUUGGAAAAAUGAAAAUAAUCCUUGAUAAUCCAGGUUUAUCAUUAGAAAAGAUCAAAUUAUCCUCAAAAUCAAAGCUUUUUAAUUUUUUUUCAAAGGAUAAAAUUGUAAUUUAGUUGUCAUAAUGAUUUUUUUUUCUGUGUCUAUAUGCAAAAACCGAACCAGAUCGACUUUUUUAAAGUUUUCUAACCUGUUUUUAUUGGUUUGAUCUCUCAAACCGGUUUUUUUAAUUAGUUUUAAAUCAAUUUUAGAUUACCCGGUUAUUUUGCUCUGGUAUUAUAGUGGGACUCGUUACUAUGAACCCCAUUGUCGCCUCCGAGAUACACACAAACCGCUUCGACUUUCUGGGUGAAAAGAUUUUCUAUAACUGAUCUGUCUCUACUCAAACAAAACUUCGAAAGAUAAAAAAAAAGCUUUGAAUGAUACCUCUCAUGCCCAUCAAUCUACAGUGCAGACCAUACGGAGGACUGCCUCGAAAACAGCUCCUGGGAAGAUAAGGUUUUGAAAAAGAUAGGUGGGGGUGGGUGCCGAGGGAAGGAGGAAGGCAAUGGCAGCUACUGAAUUUUUGGAUGAUUGUCGUUGUCACAAGACUUGUACAGUUGUACUAGAAGAGGUCAAACAAACAAAGAAAUGAAAUCCCACUCUGUAUAAAUCAUUAGCUAUGGAUUGAGAAAUCAGAGAAAAUAUUGUAAAAAUUACGUGUAUCGUCCAUGUAUGACAAGUAGUUUGAUGUCAUCUCAUACUAUAAAAAAAAGUCUUCUUGCUUGCAGAUGAGGUUUUAUCUUGUAAUCGUAAUCAGGCAGAGAAAAAUAUCAUUUAGACAGAUUAAAGAAGAAGGGUCGUGGGGGAUAAGGAGAUGGAUGAUGAUGAUGAGUGAUGCCUACUGAAAGAAAAUGUAACAUGGUUGACAAUGUCAGAGCUUUAUUUAAAACCAAAAUUAAAAUGUAAAUAUACUUGUCUCUAGGUUUAGUAUGUGUUUAAAAACUGUUUUUUUAACAUGAUUAGUGAAAAUGCAGUUGAAAUUAUAUUUUAUAAAAUUUUAAUAUAUAUUUUAAUAAAAUAUAAUUUAAAAAACAAUCAUUACCACGUUUCUUGGAUAACCCUCAAGGUGGUGAAUGAUCUCCUAACUAUAAUCCAAGAAAUAUACCCUUACCUAAAUCCUUGCUCAGUUGCAUCUAUAUGAGAGGUUGUAAGAAAUUUAAAGAAUUUUUUUACUGAAUCUGUCAUAAAAUACAAUUCCAGCAAACAAUUUAAUAUUCCAAAUUGUUGAGCAAGAAAAAUAAGAGAAAAAGCCAUGGUUAGGUGCUCAGAAUUGAGAGAGAAUAUAUAAUUUGAAAAGGAGUAAACCACCUGCUCAUACAAUUGGAUUCAAAAUGUCCAUACGAAGAGGUAAGAUUUAACCCUUUAUCUGUUCCAUUUGCUGGUGGCACCCACACUGGGCCUCCUCCCAUACAAAAACACUCAAAAUGGGGAGACCAAAAGCAGCCCACAUGAUUGAAAAGACACGUCUUGAAUGGGUUAUAGCUGUGAGGGGUCACGCCAGCACCAGGGACCAUAGGCAUCCAUUUUCUCAUAAAAUUAAUACAUAGCAUGGAGAUUGGAGAGCCUCUAGCAAUCUAAUUUAAAGUCACACCAAUCCUCUUGAACAUUAUCUUCUAGAUUCCUGCGUUUGUCACGGAGAAAAAAAUAUGUUUUUUUUUAAUAUUUCAUAUCAAUUCUAGAAAAAGUUCGUAAUGAAAAUGCGUGGCUGGGAGCUGUAGGUCCAUCUUACAUGUAAGAUUCUCACCGAGAUUAUAUUUACUAAUCCUUGCAAGAACAGAAAUCCAAUCCCUUGAAAUCUUGUGCACUUUCCCAUCAAACUGAGAAUCCGAAGAUGAAAGGAAAAGAAAAGGGAUGAGUCAGAUAUCUGAGUAGCUGCUGACUCAGGAACUGGUGUCUGUUUGGACGACAGACAAAAUGUACUGCCCAUGGUGGAAAAUGGGUUACCCUAGGAGAAUUUUAGAUUGUAGUUCAUUAGAGCUUCCAUGAUAGAGAGUAGGCCCUUGUUAGGAUGUUGUCAUCUUCCUCCAUGGCUGUUCACAGCACAUGUGCAUGUACCAGCCUCGGAGGUGUUGUAUUGAUGAUGUCGAUAAGGAUAAGGAUAGAUGUCGAUUCUACAUUCGUGUGCUUACACCCUUUUUUUUUUUUUUUUUCCCUUACACUUUUACUAGGGCUGCUUCUAGUAAAAUGCAACUAAUGUUCCAUAGUCCAUGUGCGUAACAUAAUUUUUUAAUUAAUUUAUUUUUGUUUAAUAUGAUAAGUAAUAUAAAAAUAUUUGUUUUUGUGUUUUAAAAAUAUGUUUUUUUAAAAAAAUUUUAUAUUAAAUUUUUUUAUGUUUUCAUAUUAUUUUGAUGCGCUGAUAUCAAAAAUAAAUUUUUAAAAAUAAAAAAAAUAUUAUUUUUAAGUAUUUUGAAGAUAAAAAUACUUUAAAAAAUAAUCACCGUUAUUAUUGACCGGCUAUAAAGCUGAUUCUAAAAUCAACAUGAAAGCAUUAGGUUUUUGGGUUAAUUAGAGGGUUAUUGAAUCAAUAGAGUAGUGGUCAAUUAUUUUAUUAAAACGAGGAUGUUUUAUUUUUUUUCUUAAGAGAGUUCUUGGUACUCACCUGGUCGAUUUUAAAUUUGAUUUUACCGAGCUAAUUAGAUGCUAUCAUAUAAAUAUCUUCUCUGAUUUAAUGAAAAAUCAAGCCUAGAUCUUUUUUUAAAUCAACCCACAAAAUCACCCAUAAAUGAUAUGGAACUAAAGUGGUAGUGUGACACACUUCCACCAAGGCUAAUGCAACUUUACGCAGCUGACUUUUCUUUCAGCGAAGAUUGAUCUCUGCAUUUGUCUUUUUCCAGAAGAAGAUUGGUUCAUGCUUAUUCUAACAUCAAUUGGCGUCAAAAUCAUUCAAGGGAGAAAAAGGACGGAGAAAUCUCAACGCCACCUCCAAUAAUAAUGAUAAUGAAAAAAAAAGGAAGGCCCAGUCAUCAAAUCCAAACUGCCGGUGGCUGUAUCAGGCUACAGAUAAGAAUUCAUCAAAUUGUAGAGGGUUUGGCAAGCUAGUCGUAGCCACCAUCGCCGUUAUUUGCACUUCGGUGACAUAUAGGUUAGCAUGGUCGGAAAUACGUGCCGGUUUAUUGAUAAUGGUAGACGUAUUUCAUUUCUCAGGCAUACUGCUUAGCAAUUUAUACUGUCAUUCUGAUGAUUUUUUUUUUGCCGUGCCCUUAUAAUUCCAGUUCUCUGUGGAGACAUGAGACCUUGAACGUAUUUCUUCUAGUGAAGUAAUAAACAAAAGCUAUGAAAACUCUUAUUCUUUGAAAAAGUAUACUUUUCCUCUCGCAAAAUCAGCCUUAACUAGCAACCCCUUUCUUCGAAAACUCUUAUUCUUUGAAAAAGUAUACUUUUCCAUCGAUAAAACCCAAGCAGUUUCUAGCAAGGGAAAGAAAAAUACACAAUCCAGCAGUCCUUGACAAGGAGGCCUGCAUUGCUUUCUGUCAAAAAAGAACAAAGGAGCACUGCGUUGAAUGUAGCUGUUGUAUUACUGGGUCAGUGUAGGCCUGCGGAUGCUUGGGCUGCUCUUAGCUUUUAGUCAUUGGGCAGCCAAGUUUCAGGGGUGGGCUUGGUUAAGCAUGUCUAUGUUCUUUCCUCUUAGGCUUAUGGUGAAAAUGGUUCUAUCUUUUGAUCUUCAAUUGGGGGGCGUUUGUUUUUGCUCCGGUCAUGGUUCUAUCUUUCUAGUUUGGUAUGGUUUAGUAUUUUCAUAAAUUCAAGGGUAGUAUUUCAGAAUUGGGAGUGGUUAUAGUUAUUUUUUAAAAUAUUUUUUAUUUAAAAAUAUAUUAAAAUAUUAUAUUUUUUAUUUUUUAAAAUUUAUUUUUGAUAUUAUUACAUUAAUUUUUUUUAAAAAUAAAUUUUAAUAAAUCUUCAUUUAUAACAUAAUGGGUUGUGUUUCGAUAUACCAAUUACUUUAUUGGUUAUGGAAAAAUGGGUGCAGAUCAAAAUAUUUUUUAAAGAAAAAUUGUUGUGUAAAUUGUUGCGUAAAGUUCUUCAUAUAUAUAUAUAUAUAUAUAUUAAAAAACAGAAAACACAUUUUUAAUGUUAAAAUGCAAUAUUUUUAAAUUAAGAAAAUUAAAAUAACUAGUUUUGAAAAUUUUAAAAUAUUAUGCUGAGUUUAGAAAACAUAUUUUUAAAAUUCCUUACCGUUUUUCUUUAUAAUUUUUUAAUCUUUUUUUAAAUAAAAAACUAAAUGAUGAAUAAUAUUGUAUUUUUUAUGUACAGUACUUUUUUAACAAUGAAAAAAUUAAAAUUGUUUUUUAAAUAUUUUAAUAAAUUUAUUUUUUAAAUAUAAAUAUAAUGUAAGAGACUUUUUUGAAUUAACAUGUACAAUUUUUUUAUCAUAAUUUUUUAAAUAAAAUAAAAUAUAUAUUUAUAAUUUAAUUAUCAGAAAUAUAAAAUAUUAAGAUGAUUAUCUUAUGCUAUAUUUUUUAUUUUAUAAUAAAUAAUUAUAAUUUCUAUUCAUUCUUAGUUUUCCCGUAUAAAAAAUUAUUUUUCAUUCUUGUCAAAGCCCUAAAAAAACACCCAAUUUUCCUCUUUUCCCUUCAAUUUUUUACCCUUUUCUUUCCUUCUUCUCUUUUGUUUCCACUCUUUCUUUUCAUCCUUCCUUCCCUUUUCCUUACCCUAGCUGACCAGCCUCCCUUCCCACCACCGCUGGUUGAACUCCAUUCCCCAUCAACAGAACCUAGCGGGAAAACGGCAACUCUCACUCUUACACCGACCCAUAAAUAACCAUGGUGUCAGCCCUCCCUGGUUUCCACCUCAGCCAGCCACAACAACCACUGAACUAACCACCACAACGACCGCCGAACCGAACCAGCAACCCCACGCCCCUAGCUUGCCAUCCCCCCCCCCCCCCAUCUUCUUCUCCUUCUCCUUUUCUUUUAAUUUUUCGGAAAAACCAAAUCCGAACAACCAUUCCAUCGCCACCCCUCCAUUCAUCGUCUUUUCCAUACCGUAAACGACCUCGACAGCCACCGCGCCAGCAACAUUCCCUCGAGCCGAUCUCCUCAACCAAAGUGGGCAAAGGUGGAGAAGAAGAAGGCGCAGCUGAUCUGACAGGUAAGCUCCUGUCAUUUAAUGCCUUUAUGUCUUUUUGAUAAACCUAAAUGGAUUCGCAUUCAUAGCUAAAAGAGGCAGAAUAAGCCACUUGAAAAGAAGAAGAUAUAAAAGAUUUGGAAAAGGAAGCCAAAGAAAGCAUGAAACAAGACCAUUUCAUGCCCAGAAAAGAUCACCAUAAGCUUAAAUAGAGCUUGAUAGCUUAAAAAACAACAAGCCAAUACCAUAAGUAAGUGGAUAGCAUAGUAGCAAUUCAAACCAACGUUAGCAACAUCAUAAGAGGGUAAGACGUUAGUGCAAUAGAUAGGAUAUCCAAAAUAGCGCAGCAAAAGAUCAAUCUUCUGAGCCCAGGACAGCAGCUCGCUAGGAAUCUUAGUUUCUUGAGCAAAAAGAUUAAUGCUUUAUCAAAGACCAUCUAAGCCAAACCACUAGAACCUCUAAUCUAGACACCUUUUGAUUCCCUAAAGAAUCUGCCACUCCAUUCGCUUCCUAAUUGGCACGGACAAUGGUUUUACAAACUCUUUUUUCAGUCACCUAAUGCCUUUUGAGGAGGUAAUUUUAAAAUAGGAUAUAGCCCAAUAAUGUUUAGAUCUGGACGGAAAUUUAGAGCUCUAGAAACUUCAACUAUUUCAGCCAUGUAUGAAAUCAAUUCCCUAAAGCAAGAUUUAUUGACAACACCAUGAUGUAUUCUAGUUUGCCCAACUAGUUUAGUCAUUUAUGACUUAAAUGUAUAUUUUAGUUCUUAAAUAAUCAAAGGCAAUGGAUUCUCAAAAUUGACAGCUUGUAAAAACCAAUCAGCUAGGUUUAAGCAAACCAGAAAGUGAUGUAUAAGGAAUGUGGAUUCAAGAGAGCAAGGACUAUAAUCAAUGGGGAACGGACCACACCAUCAGGCACUAUGGUAGUAGAUUUUAACCAUCUAAUACAUUCAAUUCUAUCUAAAUAACAGAUACAAUCUCCAAACAUUUGUUGAGAGGAUCCAAUCUCCUAGAUCUAGAGAUAUAAAACUCCCAUUUAAAUCUAGAAUCAUAUCUGAAAAAAUCAUGUCCUAACUACAAGAAAUAAACAAAAAGAUAGAGAAAAAUAUCAACCAUAUAAAAGAAAAUGAAGGAAAAACAAUAAAAGGUUGUUGUCGACUAUUUUUAGCUGAGUGUCCCAAACUAGAGUUUGAGAGGAAGUAUUUUGUCGAGAAAAGUGAGAGAAAUAAAUAGAACUACAGGUUAUUUGUUUUCAGUGAUAUAAGACAUGUCACAAUUUCUUACUAGAAGGAAAGAAGAAGCAAGCUGUAACACUAAAUGAAGUUGAAUCUAAUAGUAGAGCUCACAGCAAAGCUGCGAAGGAGAAUGAAAAUGACUAUAGGAGUUUUAUGUCUUAUUAUUAAUGUAUACAGGUUUUGUAUUUUCUAUAAAUUUAUAGUUAAAUACUACACCUAUAGAGUUCUUGAUAAGAAUUCCUGUACACCAAAGGUUGUGUGAAUACCCCAUCGAAGUUUUUUUAAAAAUUACCUACCUUUAGAAAAAAAACUCGAUCUCUUGAUAGGAUAUAAACAGGACAGCAUCUGCUACAGAACCCAGUAUAAAAAGCCUAAGGAUCAUGUUUAUUCUAUAAAACACAUCUCUUAGAAUUGAUGGAAAAGAAUUGAGUCAUUGAGAGGAGAAGAGACAAAGUGAAACCCUUAUCUUCUUGUAAACAAAACACGCUGAUCUGUAUUUGUCUCUCGAUUGUAGCUGCUUUACAUAUAGCGAUAAGCAUCAUAUUUUAACUAACUGGUAAGUAAUGAUUAAUUAAUGCAUGGUUUGGUUAGUGAGAUUUAGUUAUGGUUCAGGGUAUUUUUUUUUUUAAUGAUAGAGUUUUUUUUAAAACUUUUUUUUGGCAGGGGUGCUUAAUUGGAGCUAUUGAAAAAUUGAAAAUGUUGUGUAGUGAUGGAAAAAAAAAGUUAUCCUUUUGUGGAUCAAUUAAAGAUGGAGAUUUAGUUAUUGUGUACGAGAAGAGAGAUGUAAUGAAAGCUGUGAAAGUAUGUGAGACAUCAGUGCUUCAAAACCGUUUUGGUGUUUUUAAACAUUCGGAUUGGAUUGGAAAGCCUUUUGGGUCCAAGGUUUUAAGUAAUAAAGGAGGUUUUGUUUACUUAUUAGCUCCAACUCCUGAAUUAUGGACUCUGGUUUUAAGCCACAGGACUCAGAUUCUGUAUAUUGCUGAUAUUUCUUUUCUCAUUACCUACUUGGAAAUUGU